This 97364-nucleotide long non-coding RNA is filed under the name Malus domestica (apple). RNAcentral's name for it is "long non-coding RNA (MDOM_LNC006751)". Lineage: Eukaryota; Viridiplantae; Streptophyta; Magnoliopsida; Rosales; Rosaceae. The record is from RNAcentral.
UUUUUUUACCUUAACUCUUUGGAUUCAAAUCCACCUUCAGAGUUUGUUUAAUGAAUGCAUUUCAAGUUUGACCAAAAAUAAAAAAUAAAAUUGACUUUACCCGUUCAAAAAACAGAACAUUUAAGGAUCCAACUAAAUCCACCCUCAAUAAUCAUUGAAAUGAAUCAAUUCAAUUGUAUUUUGAAAAAAGAGUGGAGACCCCACCCUUGUCUCUUCGCCGUACAACAACGACACCGUAACGCACACAAAACAAAUUGGAAGGUCAAAUCACGUCGGGGGCUGAGGGUUUAAAGCCAUAAAGAAACGAUAUUGUUACUUAUACAUUCUUAUUAAUUUUACAACAUUAAUUGUUUUUUUAACUCAUUCAAUUUGACGGUCAAAACUGAAAAAAUAUGUGAAAAAUAAAAAUGUAUAGCGUUAAUCUAUCUUAAAAAUUAUUUAAAAGCAUGUGUGGCAAUGAGCUGUGAUGGAGGAAGGAGGUGGCUACUAUCCAUUGCAAUAGCACGUACACGUACACAUCCGCACGUCACCCGCCCUAGUCCAAAGUUCCAGUUCCCCACGCGCAUGGAGUUCAUGUGUUUGCAUUGCAACUUUUCUAACUUCUGUUUUGUUUCUUCUCUAUUUUUUCUUGGCUUUGCUGAGGACUCUACGUUCAUCGAUCUCACACCACAAUUCACCUUGAUAUUAAUAAGGCCUUUCCAUUUUCAUCUCUAUCCCUCUCUUUUUCUCUACCACAUAAUAUAGUCCAUGUUUUCGUUUAAUUUGCUUUUUGUCAUCAUCUCUUGGUAUAAGAAACAAUAUCACAUGUAUACUCAAAUCAUAUAUGUAUAUUCUAUACACAUGUAUGCAUACUUCUAUCAAAUUUGUAUAUCACAUGUAUACUUAUGAAGUAAAAUGUGAUGUAUACAUGUGUUAUAUAAACGUUCCAAGCUAGAUAAUGAAUUUGUUAAAAAGUCUCACAUAGGAAGAAAAAACAAUUUUGCAAGUAUAUGGUUCCCAAAUUGUUGAACUUACAUAUAUAUAACACAUUAGCCACUUAGUACUAUAAUUUAGUGAUAUUUCUUUUAUAAAAAUUUUAUGUUCGAUUCUCGUAUAUGACAAGUUUGAUAUCCAUUUAUUCUUGCUUGCUAUACAAAUUAAUUAAGCAAACAUACGUCCCCAUCUACCCCAUCAUUUAAUCUACAAAUACAUUAAUAAUAUAUCUAAUAAUAAAUCAAUGAUUUAGUUGUUACUGUCACGAACGCAAAGCUGAUUUUUGUUUUGAAUAAACUACCCUUCUUGUUAUUAUUUUUUUCUACUUGGUUCACCUUUUUGGUAUCUCAAAUGGAUAAUAUUAGGUGACUCAAUUUUUUAGACCAAAUUUGUAAAUCAUAUGAUAUAUCAUAAAUAUAAAAUAAACACGUUAAUUAAUACUUAAUAAUUCAAUCAUCGACGAACAUGCAUGAUUUAAAUAAAUAGAGAGUCUAUUUAGCAUUAAUAGCCAUCUCAAAUAGUUAGAUACUACUACUCCAAUUAAAAGCUGUCAGAGACAUCCCCUUGCUUUCUCAGGCUAUUAUUUGCCAGCAGCUCUGGGCAUAAUAAAAUGACCCGGCACCCUAUCCUUCUCUUCUCAUCAUUCUCCCUUUUCCCAUUCUCAAACACUCAGGCCCUGCUUGUUCCAUACACAAAUUUGCGCAAUAUAAUUGAAGCACCAGCAGAAGAAGAAACAACCAUGUUAGACUAUUAGUAUAUAAUUACCCUCUUCCCUCUCUGAUCUACUAAACCAUUUACACAAGUACUCAAAUCAAGUGCUCUCUCAAAAAAUGAGCCAGCGCGUUCCUAGCUGGGAUCUUGAUAAAACUACUACUACUCCACCUGCUCCUAGGCUCUCUUCUCGCUCCCACUCCCUUCACACAGCACCUACAGAUGUCCCUCUGUAUGCUAAACUCUCUCUUUCUCACUGGUUUGAUUAGUUUUUAAGGGAAAUGAUUUCCGUACUAUUUUGCUAUGUAUGCACACUCCUGUUUAUUUUAGACCUUGAAUCGAGUAAGUCAAAGGAGAAUUAAGUGGCAGAAAUAAACGGAGAAGAAAAAUGAUGUACUUAAAACAUUACCCAUUAUUAGUGAAUCACUUAAAUUAUUUUUACAUUUAUGUGCAGGUUGGACUACGAAGUAGCAGAGUUGACAUGGGAAAACGGCGAGGUAGCCAUGCACGGCUUAGGACCACCGCGCCUGUUGGCGAAGCCUUUAUCUACUACUAAGUACACCACCUGGGACAAGCCCCGGGCAAGUGGCACCCUUGAAUCAAUAGUCAACCAAGCCACAUCCACAGCUUUACCCCCUCCUCUCAAGCCUCCCUUCGAUUCUUCCUCUGGUGGCGGCAGCGGCGCUAAGGAACUAGUGACCUGGUUUGAUCGACACCGUGCUGUAGCAACGCCCUCCACCACUGUGACUAUGGACGCAUUGGUUCCUUGCAGGAACCAAAGUGAUGACCCAAGUAGUCAAAUGAUCGAGUCCAUAUCCGUGCCAGGGGUGAUUUCUGGUACGGGCAUGGUAGGAUGCUCCACUCGAGUAGAUUCGUGCAGUGGCGCCACUGGUGCCGCCACACACGACGAUGACACCCUUCUUUCAGGAAAAGGAACGAGCUUGGCACGUGUCCCUGAAACGCCUGAGUGGAGCAGCAGAUCCCAAAGUGUGAGUGGUAGUGCCACGUUUGGGAUCGAUAGCCAACAUGUUACACUUGACAGUACAAAGGCAAGCGACUAUGACUCCGUUUGUCACAGUAGACCACAGGCAAACUCCCUGUUUUACUCUCUAAAUAUGUGCAUAUGUGUUGGAUAAUUAUAUCUGAAUUAUUAUUUGAAUAAUAUAAUGGAUUUGUUGGUUACUAGUGUUUCCAUAUUUUAUUUUAUUUUUUAAUUAAUUUGUUAUUUAUUUAUUUAUUGUUUUUUUUUUUUUUUUUUUUUUUUUUUUUGAAGGGGGAGGUAGGAGAUGGAGAUGACAGAAAGAAACGAAGUACGGGAAAAUCUUCGAUUUCUACAAAAAGGAGUAGGGCUGCCGCUAUUCAUAACCAGUCUGAACGAGUAUGCUAGCCCUCUCUUUUUAGAAAUACAAUCCAGUCUAUUUUUUUAAUGAAAGGAUAUGAAUAAUAUAAAUACAAAAAUACUACUUUUAUCCUACAUGUACUUAUGAGCUUUACUUUUAUUAAAAAACAAUACAAAUAUGCGAUAAAUUUAACAUUACACAUAUAAAUAUGUAAAUAUGUAAGACGAAAUUUUCAGUUUGUUUAUCAAGAACUGCGAAUAUAAAAUAUAUAUCAAUGAUUGGAUUGGGUAUAGUAUAUACCUAGUGGAUCCCAGUCUAAAAGUAGGUGAUGAGCAUAUACAGUGCGAUGGAAAACUACUUGACCUCAUUGGAUUCAAAUUAUUUAUCAUAAUUGUUUCUUAUUAUCACAAUUGCUGUUUCUUAACUAUAGAAUUUUUUUUUUAGACUUUAACGAAAAGAUUUUAGUACUGGUUAGUUUAACGAAAAAUAACAUUUUUACACUAAAAGGUCAAUCAUGAUACUAUUCAUUUUAUCAUUUAUUUUGUUCUUAUCGAUAAAACUCAAAAUUUUCAAAUAAUUUUCAUUAAUUUUUUUCUUUUUUUCACAGAAAAGGAGAGAUAAGAUCAAUCAAAGGAUGAAGACGCUGCAGAAGCUGGUCCCAAAUUCCAGUAAGGUAUGAUGUUCCACUUUUGGGUUUAUGUGCACUAUCUUUCUUGUUUUUGUUUCAUCGAAUAAUAGUAAAAAUGAAAAAACCUCAAUAAAUAUCAAAUUAGAUGUCAAUAUGAGUUGUGUUUUUUUGGUAACCUGAUAAUUAAAAAUUAAUAAUCACUCAUAUUUGAAUUUGAUAUUAAUAAUUAUAUUUAAAAUAUUAAAACCACAAUAUUUAUUCUCCACAUUUGAAAAAAUCUAAAGAUAAGUGACCAUACAUAUUUUAGUCAUGAGAUAAUCAAGAAAACGUUUCUUGUGCUAAUAUCAUCUAGUUAUCAUGUGGAGCCUUUGUAGUUUUAGUGGUCCUGUAAUUAUUCUAACACUCACAACAAGAGUAUGUACGAUUCAAGUCCUCAACAUGUUCUAAGCCAAAGGAAAAAGAUACUAAUUAUCACUUGAGAUUUCACAAUUUGUUCUCAUCAAUUGGGAUGAAAUGCAUGCAUGCCCCAAGGGCAGCUAUUGACAGAAAAAUAGUCACUUCAGGGUACUUUUGGUUUCACAUUUUGAUCGAUAAGCAUGAGACAGGUCUGCCGAUUACCAUAAAUGUUGUCCAAAAUCUCAUUGCAUUUGCAUGUGGUUGAGUGUGUUUUUGGUGAAUUCAAUGAUCCUAGUCCACAUCCUGAUUCCACUUAAAUAUUUACAAGUGGUAGGCCCUAACCCUUGUGUAUUGUGAUCCUCCCAAAUAAAUGACUUUUAUAGCACCGGUUUACUGUUGCGUGACAUUCUUGAAAAGUGUCAAUAAAAAAAUAAUACUACAUUUAUCAUUUAUUUGUAUCAUCUGUUAGAGGUAGAACUCACUAACGCAUGUUAGAGAGAUGAUAGAAAUAUAUGCUAAGAGUAGCAUUUUUUUACUAAUAAAAGACAUGUAUUAAUUCUUUCCUCAUGUACUUGUGUUAUUAGCACGACACUUCACUGUGAUGGUGAACUCGUGUCAUACAAGUUGUUAUCCCCAAAUAAAAAUAACUUUCUUCGUAUAUUAUAAAUCUAUAAUCUGAUGUCCAGCUGUAGGUGAAUGAUUUUUUCACCACUUACAUACUUAAUUAUUUCCAUUGAUUCUUCUUUAAUUUGUUCAAUCUAAUGCCUCUUAAAAAAAAUGGUUGCUUAGGGUUGAAAAAAAAAAUAUGUGCAUAAUGGACAAAAGAACAAAUAAGUUGUUGUAAUGCGGUCAAAUUCUGAAGAGCAAACCUUAGAGGUAUAUUUUGGGUUUAUAUCCCCUCAAUCUGUUUAUAUUUAAUCACGUGAAGAGUAAUGAAGAAUAAUAGAGAAUGAAGUGGUAUAAAUUCAUAACAUGUAAAUUUCUAACAUGAAACAUAUAUGUGGUAGUGGGAUAGAGAUUGAAUGUGAGAUUAACAUUUUGUAGGUUUUGAGAAAAGGAAGUGCUAUUUGCAAUUCAAAACUCUCAUUUUGCACUCUUCACAAGUGUUUUUUUUUUUCUUCUAAAUAUAGAAAGUUUGAAUGCAAAAUGAGAAUUUUGGAGUGCCAAUAACAUUUCCUUGAGAAAAUAUAAUUGGAUGUACAAUUUCAAGAAGUAAAAUUACCUUCAAAGAGUAUAUUUAACAUUUUACUAAAAAUUUAAUUUUACUCCUUGAAAUUCAAUUUAAUUUAAGGAAAACUAAUAAAAAUGGCUUGAAAACUUUGAGUUUUAACCAUAAGGACAAAAUAAAGGGUAAAGUGAAUAGUACUAGGAUUGACUUUUUAGUGUAAAAUAUGGUUUUUCGUUAAAGUGAACAGUACUUAGAGCUUUUCAUUAAAGUUCCUUUAAUUUAACCUAAAAACUCACCAUAGUAAUUUUUCCAAAUAUAAUUCAAUGACUAAGUCCAACUAAGCAACUUCCUUAAUUUUAACUUUGCACAAUUUGUAUUUUUGGGUGUCUAAAAUAAUCAUAAUAACAUUUGACAUUUAUUUAGUUAGUUACUUGUUAUCUUAGCCCCUCCGGGUCCAAAAGAGAUGGAUAACCAUUGCUUACCACCAAUUGUCUCCAUUUGAAGGAAAAAAGAAGUAGUUACUUGUUAUCAAGAUUUAUUUUUCAAAUUAAUCAAUACAAUUAAAUGUCUCCUCAUGAAAUAAAUCUUAAUAAAUUGAAAAAAAAAAAAAAUUUACUGCCAUGUUUGAAUGCAUACUAAUAAUAAAAUUACAUUAUAAAAUAAAUUACUUUUUAUAUACAUAUAAUAUACAUACAUAGGCCCUUUUAAGUAGAUGGAAAAAAAUGGGGAUUAGUUGUGGGACUUACUUCACAUCGAACUUCAACGAUUCGAACUGUCUAUUUUAUAAGUCUCGAUUCAUAAAUUAUCCUUGCAAAAAUUCAAUUCAACAAUGAAAUUUCUUUGUUUCUUAUAGAACAAAAUGUUCGUCAAUUUCUUUUGAACUCAAUUAGAUGUCUCAAAUAUUUCUGAUUUGGCUAAUAUUUUGGAAGAGAUGAUCUAUGAGGUGCAACUUGAAAACUAAAUAGUUUACAUCGUUGAAGUUCAAUGUUGUGUGGGCCACCACUAGUCCUCAUUUAGAAAAAAUGGAAAUCCCCUCCCUUAAAGACCUCAUAUACAUAUACAUAUACAUAUUAUAUAUGUAAAAUAACAAUACAACAUGCCUAAUCUAUGUGAUAAUACAUGCAAAAAAUGUUAUGUGAUUCGAACCAACAUUUUAUAUCUCUAAAGAACCAACAUUUUAUUUCAGACUGAUAAAGCUUCAAUGCUAGACGAAGUGAUUGAAUAUUUGAAGCAAUUGCAAGCACAAGUCCAAAUGAUAAGCAGAAUGAACAUGCCUACCAUAAUGUUACCAAUGGCCAUGCAACAACUUCAAAUGUCUAUGAUGGCCGCCGCCCCAAGAAACAUGGGGAUGGGCAUGGGAAUGGGGAUGGGAAUGGGAAUGGACAUGAACAACAUUGGCCGCCCCAGCAUCCCCGGCAUUCCUCCGAUUCUUCACCCAUCCGCAUUCAUGCCCAUGGCGGCUUCUUGGGAUGGCACCGGCGGUGAUAGGUUACCAGCUGCUUCAACGGGAGUAAUGCCUGAUCCCAUGUCCGCGUUCCUCGCAUGCCAAUCACAGGUAUGCUUUGAAUCUAGAAUUUAAUUUACUGAUUAAAUUUUAUAUUAUAUUUACAAUAAAACUAUUUCGACAGACAAAGCAGUAUUAAUUAAAACGGAGAUUAUAGCAUUGCCCCUUAACGUUUGUAUUUCGAACUUUUUUGCAGCCUAUGACCAUGGAUGCUUACAGCAUGAUGGCAGCCAUGUAUCAGCAGUUCCAUCAACCUCCAGCAUCUAGCUCUAAGGGCUAAUAAGCAAUAUAUCACAUGCUCCAUACUUAUGAGUGGGCAAGAACUGGUUUGAACGUGGAAUUCGAAUACUAUGGUGCAAUAAUGUCUUUGAUUAUUUCAGCUGGCUACAUGUAUAUGAUUGGUAUCUUUCAAUGAGAAUGAAGAUAGAGUAAAACCUCUCUAUAUUAUACAGUUGAGACCAAGUCAUAUAACUUUAGGAAGAUUAUAUUACUUAAUAGAUGUGUAGGUAAAAAAGAUUACUUUAUUGACUUAUUCUUAAUGAAUGUUGAAUUUUCUAAAGAGGAUUCCUUAGGCGCCAACUAUUUUAUUUCCUGCAUAUUUUGUACUCAUUAACAAUUAUAACUAUGUGGAUGUGUGUUUCAUUAAGAUGGACUAAGAAAAAUUAUAACUUAUUAUAAUACGGAAUUUAUUCCAAUACAUAAUUGAUCUCAAGUUGGGACUGAAAUUUUUUAUGAGUUAAGGAGAUUAUUCCAUUAUAGAUAUUACCUUAGAGAGGUUUUACAGUAGUAUUAGUUUUUUAUUCCGCGGAAUGAUUUGAGAUCCUUGAUUUCGGGUGAAUUGUAGUGCACUACAGGGGCAUUCUGUGUACACUUAAGUUUAAGUUUCAACUAAUUGUGCGAAAUUAUAUUAAUAAAAAAUAAACAUAUGCUCGCAAGCAAGUGUAUGAAUCAAAAGAUUGUACAUGAAGCAACACAGAUUACCUUCCCACAAAGAUUUGAUUUAAUCCUAAGAAACCUUACCUAAAUUAAAUUAUAACUAAUUUAAACUUGAAAUAAAAAUUGAAAAGUUUUGUAGAAAACAAUUUGUGGUUGUUGAAAUUGACUUUGAAUAAUUUAAAUGCAAAAUACAAGGAUCACACAAGUAAACAACAAAUCAAGAGGGGAAAGUACAAUAGCAUGACAUUCACCGUAACAAAUCCUACUAAAUUCUUUUAGUCCGUUAUCAACUAGUAAUUCCCUGUAUAUAUAUUCCCAAUUCUUGUAUAAUAUUAGUUUCAAUGACACUUAAAAUUAGUUAGAAAAAUAACAAUUCAUUAAGUUCUAUAAAAAUUAUCAAGAAAAAUCAUCGUAUCAAUAGCACGAACCCGUUUACACAACAUUUAUGUAUAAGAAUUCAUGAUAUAUCAACUACAAGUUCAGUCAAGUUAAAUGAGUAAGUCUUUAAUAGUCUGGACUACUGGGGACCCCAAUUUUAUAUCGAUUAAAUUGGCAAGCAAUUAAGUAAAAAUACUUUUUUUUCAUUUGAAUCAUUACCGUACAUUUUUUUGUACUACUAAUUAGUUUAGAAUAGUGAAGAAAAAUUACAAGCUAAAUAUGACCAUAACUUUCCAUUUAAUAAAAAUUAAUUAAAAUCAAUUCAUCCUCUUCACAGUCAUCAACAGAUGACCAACAUAACAUGCAAUGUUUGCUCAAAGAUGGACAUUUAAAUGAUUGGAUGCUUAUUUGUCAACUUUGAUCAAAAUGUCACCUUGGCAAAAGGGUUCAUUCAUCUUAUCAUUAGACUGUACAUUGAAUGACUUUGGCCAGUUUAUUGUGCAAUUGAAAUAUUGGAAAAUGUUAGGGAGUCUACAUUUUUAUAUCAAAUUGAUGUACUAUCUGACGUGAUAAGUUAAGUAAUAAAUACAUGUCGUGUCAAAUAAUGAGUUUAUCUCAUUAUACAUCAUUUGUCACAUUAUGUAGUAAACACCAGAAGGAUACAAAAAAUAUAAUCUCUCUAAAACUAGCUUAGAGUUUCCUUUCAUGUACUUAAGACACCUAGCUCCAUUCGUGGAUUCAACUAGUAAAACAACAAACUAUUGUGGUAGAACCAAAUUCGUGUACCGUCAUAGAAAGAGGAGCUAUACGAGUUUGACUACUUGUAAAAGAGAAAACAACCAUGAUUAAUCUUAGGUAGUGGUUGGAUACCGACCAAAGGCUUUCUGACGGUCAAGUUAUUAAGCAAUAUAAGACUCAAGCAGUGUGAAGAGGAUAAAGUAAGCGAUAAUUGCAUUACCUGAGAUAAACCCUAGAUUGGUGUAUUUAUACUAGUUGGGAGAAUGACCUUUUAGGAUAUGGAAUCAGUAUUAAAUUAGAAGAAUAUAGUAAACUAGUCUAAUCACCAAUCGGAUCAGGAAUCUCAAUGAAGUCUGCAGACUUCGUUUACGUUUUCGGUGCACAACAGGAUGUGGUGGCAUUGCUUGCUCAUCUGAGCAGCCCAAUCAUAUCAAAGUUAUUGAGUCCAUGAGUGGACUUGAGGUAUACACAUUCUGAUCCAUCUUACUCCAGCUCAUCCUGGAUCCGUUUGGCGUUCCACUUAAGGAUUCUCGAGUGUUUGCUGCAUAUUUGUUAAUGAUGGAGCAUCUUGAUUAGCUAGACUAAAUUCUUCCACGAAGUGCGUAAGUGUCUGGACUUCAUCAAAGUCUUGGGCUAAUAAAUGAUUUCAUGUUGCCCCAGUUCAAUGGCCCAUUUGGUGACUCUAGAAGAUGCAUCUGGACUAUCCAAGAUGGCGGGUAUUCUAUCAUGUAAAUGACUCGGAUGACUAGAAGUAUGGUCGAAGUUUCCUAGUUGCUGUCACUAAGGCUAGAAUAAGCUUUUCAAUCUUCAGGGGUAUCUAGUUUCUAGUUUGAGAAAAGCUUUAAACACAUAAGACACAUGUUUCUACUCCUCGAGCCUUCUUGGAAUAAGGAUGCAUUAACCCCAUAUUCCACUAUUCGUAGGUCCAAAAUUGUCUUCUACUUUUCUUGAUAGCUGUGAAGAAAGGGUUGUACUUGUCAAUAGACCAUGAAAGAAAUCGACUGAAAGCGGCUGCUCUCCUUGUUAGACUUUGGAUUUCUUUCAUAGUUCGAGUAGACUUUACCUCCAGAUUAGCUUCAUUUUUGUGCUUGGUGACUAGAUAACCUAAAAAUUUUCCCACCACUACUCCGAAGGUGUACUUUCUAGAUUAAGCUUCAUGUUGUAUUUCAGAGUAGGUUGAAAAAUUCUUGUUAUUGAUAAGAUGAUCCUUUUUUUCCUUACUCUUGACCACCAUGUCAUUGACAAAUACCUCCAUUGUCUUUCUAAAUUUCUCUUUGAAGAUUAGGUUAACCAGUCUUUGAUAGGUCGCCUCUGUAUUUUUUAAGGAAAAGCAUAAUACGAUAACAGUACGCACCUCUAUCAAUGACAAAAGAUGUCUUCUUCCUGUCUAGUAUGUUCAUCUUGAUCUAGUUAUAUUUGGAGUACGUGUUUCUGUAACUUAACAAUUCAUGCCUAGCUGUGGAAUUGACAAGCAAGUCUAUUCAAGGUAGAUGAUAAGGAUCAUUGGGGCAAUGCCUUGUUCAAGUCAGUGAAGUCCGCAGAAAUUCUCCACUUAUUGUUCUUCUUCUACAUAAGGACCACGUUGGCAAGCUAAUCUGGAUGAUGGACUUCAACAAUAAAUUUGGUAUUCUUGAGUUUUUCAACUGUGAAGAUUUUACUCCACUCUAUUCCAUGGUUGCUUUUUCGCCAAAUAAUUUGUUUCAUGGUUACAUCUAAAUGAAAACAGUGGCAACUUAUUAAAUGACCAAUUCUAGGCAUAUCUUCGCCAGACCAAACGACCACAUCCUUAUUUGCCUGCAAAAAGGCAGUGAAUAACUCUUUUUCUUGAUUCGACAACUUUGAUCUAAUCUUGUCUUUGCGUUCCAGCCUGUUGGGAUCAAGACUUACGUAGAUAGCAUCCUAGUCCAUUUCGUACUCUAGAUUACUGUCAUCCUGGGGUGGAGGUCCAUGUCGAAUUUGUUGGCCCCUAGUAUGUGAUUGCUAUGCAGACUUUUUCGUCAAAGCUACAGAGCUCUGUUCUCAUUUUUGGAUCAUAUUUAGGUUUUCCAGAGUAGAACUAUGGACUACAACUACAUCACCUGUCAUUUCCUUUAUGUCACUAGGUGUAGGAUAUAAGAGUAGUUGGUUGUAAGAUGACGGAAUCGUUCUUAUCUUGUGAAGCCAAUUUUUGCCCAAGAUGAUGUUGUGUGGGGUUGGAGUCUAUCAUAUGAAAGACUUAAGAUAGUUAUAGGGUUCCACAUGAAUCACCAAUUUCACAGUUUUGAGUGGUCGAAACGGAGCACUUUUAAAGGUAUGUAAAGUAGUAUUACUCUGGUUGAUGUUAUCCAUAAUAUCCAUAAUUUCCGUUGCUUCUUUGAAAAGGAUGCAAAGUUCAAUUCAUUUAUCUUCCGGUACGUGGCUGAUUAUGGCAUUCAAAAUUUUAUGACUAAGGCAUCGUCAUGGGGAGUUUAUACGCCUUCCAAAUCUGAAUCGAAGUACAUUAAGAUAUUAGAAAUGAUUGGAAAUGGUUUGUGGAUGGAAGCUGCCAACUUCGGCUCCUUGCGUGCUGUCUUCCUCUCCUUUCUGGUGCUGCUCAGAUGUUCUUGCUCCCUAUAAAUGCAGUUAACAUUGAUGGUUGGUUUCUUUAUCGGCCUUCGAUCCUCAAACGAUUCCAGAUUUCAUUUGGGCUUCUUACGAUAGGUUUUAGGAGUCCAGCCAUAUCAUUUUUCAUAGGGUUUUAUAUCAACAAUUCCCUUACGGUCGGAACGGCCAUCGUCAUAGCCAGUAGCUUUUCAAAUCUAAAGACGACAUCCUCCAAGGCUUUCACGCAUCUUUCGAGGUCAACCAGAUUCAAUCGGUUCUCCGAUCGAGAAGCCCUUAAAUUUUUUUUUUAAGUUUGUUUAUGCAGUCAAUGAUCCUUAUCAAGGCUUCCCACAUUUGGUUCAUGGUGGGGAUAACUCUGUUGUCAAGGAUGCCGUUGUUUCCCGAAGUGACAAAGGUGUAGGGAUGCUGAUUGCUUCCUUCAUAAAAAUUGGUACCAGCGUUCACCGAACUAUUUGAAGUAGACAUGAUGUGGUAAAGUGAUUUGGUUGGGGGAAUUUGAGUUCACUCUAAAUGAAAGCAUCAAUUGUUGAAACCAAAUUCACACACACAAACAGAGAAGCUACACGAAUCCGACUACCUAUAAAAGAGAAAGCAAUCAUGAUUAACCUUAGGCACCAGUGGGGUACUGGCCAAAGGCUCUUUGAUGGUCAAGUUAGUAAGCAAUAUAAGACUCAAGUAGUGAUCAAGAGAAUAAAGUAUGUGAUAAUUACCUUACCUAAGAUAAUCCCUAGAUGGGUGUAUUUAUACUUGUCAAGGGAGAGACCAAGAUGGAAUAAAUACUAAACCGGCAGAAUCCAAGAGGAUAUCUAGGAUUAGAUAUUAUGUUCUCUUAGAAGUGUGGUUACUUGCGGUGCACGUCAAUCCUUAGAUUGUAGGAAUAUCCAAGAAUGGUCAAUCUUAAUGAGGUCUGCGGGGACUUCAUUGGCCUGUCUAAGCAGCUCAAUCCAAUCAAAGUUGUUGGGUCCAUGAUCGGACUUUUGAGGUAUAUGAGUUCCGAUCUGUCUUACUUCAGCCCUAGAAAAUCAUGAUCCCACAUAUUGAAUAUUAAUUUUUUGAACAAAGAAAAUUGGGUUGAUCUCAUGUAUAAAAAACUUUUAAGUAUAACCAUCACACGGUAACUUAAUGUAAUUAACUCAUGUAUUAUAUGGGCGGAAGACGAGUUUAUCUUUUAAAUUAUAGAAUUAAUAAAUAAAACAUGUGCUAUAUAAGAUAAUUAAAUUAUGGAUUAUACUUCCCUCACUUGAACGGAUGAGCUUGUUCAUCUCUUUGAUAUAUAGACCAAUCAUCUCUUGACACAUGUUCAUUCUUUCAAAUUUCUUUUUAAAAGAAUAACAUGUUGAUCCAUAUGGAAGGGAGAGCUCAUCCCCUUUAAGUGAGAGAUGCAAAUAUUAUCCGUAAACUAUUAACACUAUUCACACAUAAUGGAUUAUACUUCCCUCACUUGAACGGAUGAGCUCAUUCAUCUCUUUGAUAUAUAGACCAAUCCUCUCUUGACACAUGUCCAUUCUUUCAAAUUUCUUUUUAAAAGAAUGAACAUGUUGAUCCAUAUGGAAGGGAGAGCUCAUCCCCUUUAAGUGAGAGAUGCAAAUAUUAUCCGUAAACUAUUAACACUAUUCACACAUAAUGGAUUAUACUUCCCUCACUUGAACGGAUGAGCUCAUUCAUCUCUUCGAUAUAUAGACCAAUCCUCUCUUGACAAAUGUCCAUUCUUUCAAAUUUCUUUUUAAAAGAAUGAACAUGUUGAUCCAUAUGGAAGGGAGAGCUCAUCCCCUUUAAGUGAGAGAUGCAAAUAUUAUCCAUCAACUAUUAACACUAUUCACAAAUAUUUGGCUCACACCAAAAGUAUAAAUUAAUUUUUUUAAUAUAGUUAUUUUGAUAUGUUAUUGAUUGAUUUUUAAUUGAACAACAUAACACUCAAUAUUAUCAUUUUCUACUUGAUUAGUUGAUCAUAUGUAUCGAAUGGUAAACUUCAACAAAAUGUAUGAACAACGAAUGAUUCCAUCUUUGAAAUAGAAAUUUCAUGCGCACGUUGCAUUCGGCAUUCUCAUUCUUUGUAUUUCUCUCUUCACAUAACCUAAGAAAUUGUAGGAAAAGGAGAAGUGUUUAUUUUUCCGAAAGCCAUCAAAUCUAGAGGUGAUAGGCUAAAAAGCUCGUACUUUCUAUGCAUAAAGGUGCAUAUCCAUGGUAUAAAACAUGGAUGUGAUAGAUAAUUGAGCUUCAAAUUUACUCUCUCAAGUUAUAAUCAGAUAGAAGGAGAUUAGAACGUCUAAAUAUAUGCAUGGGUCCUUGACAGAUAAUUUUGCAAGUAGCUGUAGCAUAUAUCGUAUCAAUGGGUUUGAUGUGAUUGAGACGGCCGGCCACUUUGUGAGCUUUUCUGAAAUGAUGGGAGAGAGGAACCUGAGAUGGGAGUAAAUUAAUUGGAGACCAAAGAAAACGCUUGGACAAUGAGAUCACCACACACCUUAUAUUGAAAAAAAUCUUUAUGUUUUUCUGAGCACCGCCUAACUAAAAGCUCUUAGUUUCAUAGCUCAUCAUUUUAGUCAUCAGGUGGAAUCAGAAUGCAUAGAUGUUCUUUUUGAAGGAUUAAAGUAGCAUUAUAAAACCCUUUUUUUUUUUAAUUUUUUACAACGGGUAUAAGCUCAACAAAAAAAAAAUUACUUAAGAAUAUUACACGAUCACAAGACCUCAGAUAUAUUUACAAGGCUAAAUUUUGUUCUUGAUCCCUAUGGUGAGACACUAUUUUUAAAUCGACCUCUGUGGUGAAAAAAGUGUUAAUCUUAACCUUGUGGUGAAGUUUGUUAUCAAUCGUAGUCUAAAUUGAAAUUUCUAUCAAAAUCCCAUCCACGUGCAAGGGUAAAAAGGUCAUUCCAUUUCUUUUUUUCUUUUCUUUUUGGUAAUUCCACUUUUAUAUGAUUAACAAAAAAAGAAGAAAUCCCUCCCCAAUCCCUACCCUUAUCAGCCAUAGCCACAGCGACCAUCCACCACUUUUCCCCCUCUCUCUCACAUAACCCUAGCCAUCCCGUCCACCAUUGUUCUUUUUAAAAUGAAACUAAAUUCAAUGUUUGCAUAAUAAUUUAUAUUCUAACCUAAACGUGCGUGGCGAGGUACUUUGUGAUUUUUUAAACCUUGAAUUUGGACUCUUGACUCUCUGGAAAUGAGAAAGUCUGAUAAUAUGAACCUUGUAAUUUUAUUGUUUAUUUAUUCUUUUAUUGUAGCUCUAAAAGUUUUAAAAAUAAAAUUUUUUGUGUAUGGCACUUUAUGAUUGGUUGAUGGAAUCAAUGAAAACGAAAAUAACAAUUUUGCCCCUACAAAUGAUAGAAGAAUGAGGAAAAAUCCAAUUUGGACUAUGAUUGAUAACGAAUUUCACCACUAGAUUACAAUUAAUAGCUUUUUCACCACAGAUGUCUAUUUAAAAGUAGGGUAUCACCACAGGGGUCUAUUUAAAAGUAGGGUAUCACCACAAGGAUCACAAAAAAAAAAAUUUGGCCUAUCUGCAAAUAGUAACCGACGAUAAAGAGGAGUUUGCUAAAAUUGACUAGACCCAAGUUGCAUGACAAACCCAAAAGAGACAAAUCAUUAGCAACUAAAUUCUUUUCAUGGUAAAUAUGUUGAAUUUUACAAGACCAACCUUAGUGCAUAAGAGUACAAAAAUCCAAUACUAACCUUUCCAAAAAGUAAUUAUUUACUUUUGCAUUUAAAAUCAAUUGUACUCCAAGUCCAAAACUAUAUUAUGUAAUGGUAUUUCAGAUAAUACACCAAUGUUUUAUAUUUUAUUUUUUGACAACUCGAAUACAACGUAGCACUCGUACACUUCAAAUGACGUGGUUCAUCAUAAAUCAAACAAUUACUUCCCUUUUUAAAAUUGAAUAUAGGUUUUUUGUCGUUGUUUAAAAAAAUUGAAUAUAGUUGAAUUGUAAACUUAAAGUUUGAGCUUUAUAAUUAAUUAAUAUUAAAAGAAAUUUUUUGAAAUGUCGUAUGAAUUUAUAUUCUAUUUGUAAUUUAUCAUAUAAACUAAAAAUUUAAGUGAUUUGUCAUAUCAAGUUUCGAAAAUCAUUAAUUUGUCUUUUCACCCUAACUACCCCGUUAAGUUUUCCAAAAUAUGCCAUGUGCAAAUAUGCCAUGUGCAAGGUACAUGACUUACUCUAAGGUUAUUUCGGAUAUUUCAACUCCCUACUCUGAUCCUCUUCAAGAUUAUUUUGGACAUUUCAACUCCCUUUUUUAAUGAACAUGGUUGAUCAUGUUGUAUUCUCGAAGUUUGUAAUUAGUUCAACUCCAUGUUAAUGAGCCUAAUGUACUUUUUUAGUCGUUCACCAUAAGUUUAUAAAAGGAACAUUACAUUUUUUUAUAUACCAAAAGAUAAGUAGAGAACUUAUAAAAAUGAAGUCGAACAUUGAAAACCAAUUUAUCACCCACCACUAGUAUACAUAUAUCUUUGUAUAAAAAUAAUAAUUAAAUAAACUUAUGAAAAUUGUGGUCAAAGUCCAAAAUAACCUUCUUUUGGAUAGAAAACUAACAGAUUUAAUUUGAGAUGACAAAUUAAUAAUUUUAAAAAUUUCUAUGAUAAAUUGCUUCAAAUUUUAGUUCAUAUGACAAAUUUAAAAAAUGGUAUUACAUUUCAAAUUUUUCCCAAGUAAUACAUACAUACAUACAUACAUACAUAUAUAUAUAUAUAUAUAUAUAUAUAUAUUCACAAUAAAAGCAAAGAAAAUGAAGGAUGUAAAGAAUGAAAAGCUAAACAAGAUUGGUAGAGAUAAAUAAUUUGUACAUUAAUUAGUUAAGAAUAUUCUUUAUCAUGUUCAAGUUCAAUUCCCCUCUCUAUUAUUCAUUGUAGUUAAAAUAAAAUAAAAAGCUAGAUAGAAUAGAUAAGGAAACUUCAUCGUCAAAAAUAAAAUAUAAAAGAUAUUGCUACCUAGUUCGGUAUAAUUUCUAUUGGAAGUGCUAAUAACAGUUCCCUUUCUAUUUAGUCAUGAAAGGUUAUGAUCUCAACUUGUGCAAGUUAUAUGUAGGAAUAAACUUUCACAUUGUUAUAAGUUAUAAUUUUUCUAAGUCUCGUCUUAAGAAACUUGCCUCCAAAAAGUAAUGAUUGUUAAUAAGUUUAAAAAUAUGCAACGUCACAAAAAUAAAAAUUUAAGAUGAAACAAUAUAUUUCUCUAAAGUUGUAUGGGACAAUGAUUUUUUCCUAUGAGUUGGUGUUAUGUCUUUUUGUUUGUGAGUACGUAACAACUCGUCAACAUAAGCACUUUAUUGUUGAAGGCAAACUAUUUCUUACUUCUCAAGCAUGUUUACGACUUCUUGGCAUGAAACUUUUGACAUUAUAGAGAACACCACAUACGUAUAUACAUGCAAUAGCUAUUAAAGACUUUUUUAUUUUGAUAAAUAAAAUAUAUUGAUGAGAAAAAGAGAAUACAAGCAGCAAAGUGUAGUUGAAAAUACAAACAGCAACAAAGAGCUGCAACUAAAAGAAAAACAGACAGUAAAGUUAACAAUGCUACGUCAAAGCAGCAAAAAUAAGCACUAACUAUUCAUAGUUAUAUUCCAUUCCCGUAAAGUAGCGUCAUUAGCAGUGGAAUGUGCGAUUUUCCAAGAACUCAAUCGAAGUCUAAUGGUGGACUUAAUUGAGUUGAGAAUUGUCACGCCCUGAUCCUGACUUACGUCCAAGAUCGACACGUGACGUCCCUAAAUGCUCGUAACUCAACAUCCACGCCUUUUGGAUAUGUACAAAAUAUAAUUCAAGAUCCAGAUGCAUAAUAAUUUUGCAUAUACUUUAUGGCUGCAUUUAACCUCUUCGUUAGACUGCCUACGUACCCUCAAUAGGGAUCAAGGCAUUCAUAGUUCAACUUUUCACUAUACUCGAAUAUUCAUCACAUAAACUGCCAUAUUUCAACAUAAUGCACAAUUCAGAGCAUGCAACAUCUCAAGGAACAAUCGAUGAGGCGCAAUAAUAAUCUAUAGCCAUAUUGGUCAACGGUACAUCAUAAUCAUAACAAUUACAUCCAACAACAUCCAAUAAUCACACCAAAUAAUAACCCAUACAACACACUGACAUGCAGGGCUAGAGUAACACAGUUCGGCCGAAGCCUACAUCUCUAAAGCUGAAAUCAAAUCCAAGGAACCAAAUCACCAAAGGGAUUCCAGACCACUCAACGAAAUCAAACUCAGGAUACGAUUCCGGACCAUCACUCAACAGAAUCGAGUGGAAGACCAAGGGAUACAACAACGCCUUGAAGAAACAAUACAAGAACCAAGUACUUAAUUUAAAAGGGCUAAAUGGCACAAAAAGUGCAAUAAGGAAACAAGAUAUGAAACAAGUGUAUAAGUAACAAACCCCAUGACAAUAGGUUAACGGUCCACUACUAGCCCUCACAUUUCAUCACAUCAAUCCAAUCAUAAAAUACAAACCAUAUUUCCAAAGCACAAGUCAAAUCAUACUUAAUGAAAAUAGAUCGAUGGCUAGAAAUAAAAAUAACACUUCAAUAGAAUUCACAUUCAAUAAAUAUAGGUCGAUGGUAUGUGUGUGUGUGUGUGUGUGUGUAUAUAUAUAUAAUUCACAUUUCAAUAGAAUUUCAUUUAUAACCCUUAUCAUAUUCACAUAUGAUAUUAAUAUAAGAAAUCAAGGUAAUAGCUAUAUCACAUAUAUUCAAGUCACUCUCAAACCAAUGUGGUCCCACUAGGCUUCACUUAGUAUCCCGUGGUACUAGAUUUAGUAUUUAGAACGUUUCGAGACAUGUUGACCAAAAGUCAACUCUUGGUCAACGGUAGGGUCCAUAACCCUACGUAAUUCGAUCCGGAAGAUCCGUUCAUCGGAUUUCCGAUCCAUAACAUCCCAAAGUCCACAUUAUGCUCAUAGAACCACAUACUAAAUUCUCAUCGCGAUCAAACGGUCGGAUCUCCACCAAUCGCUAGAAUUAAGUGGUAGUUAACAAUUAAUUUUACUAACGUAGAAAUCUAAUUCGGGAAGAUCCGUAAGUCGGAUUCCCUAUCUGUCAAUUCUAGCUAUCCUCAAAUAUUAUGUUCUAUAACGCAUUAAGGUUUGGUGACGAUCCAACGGUCGGAUCAUUGAUUCAUACUUUAACUAAGGUAUCGUAAUGAAACUAAGUCCAAACAAUCAAAUUACGUCAUACAGAUAUCAAUUAUGAAAUCAAGGCAUCUAUUUGAACUUAAAAGGACAUCGUCAGCCCACUGGCUAGGCCACCGCCCCACGCACCGCUGCGGGUGGUGGUCGGCCGCCCCGACUUGCCGGAAAAUUCAACUAUUUUUUAAAAUUACCAAAAUUUACAGAAAUGAAGAUCUCAAUGAGUAGAACAAGUUUUAUACCUUUGGACAAGUCCAAUUUGGCCGGGAAAAGCCCCAAAUUCACUCAAACCCCCCGAAAACCCUAAUAUGGGUGUUCUUCGAUUCGACUUCCUCAAUGUUCCAAUGCCCCUACAACUGAUUGGGUCUUGUUCCUAGGUCCAGGGGGAGUUGAUUAAGGGUGGUGGUGGGUGGUGAAACUCGCCGAAAUGACGAAACACCGACGAAAACCCCCGGUUUCUUCGGCGGAGUUCUAACCGAAAUAGGCCUUAAAACAUUUGAUUUUUGGGCAUAAGAGGUAGAUGGAAGGUGGUGUAAGAAGUUACAAGUGAAGGAGGGAUGAAACUCGCCUGAAAAAAUGGUGGAUUUGGCCCGAAAUUCAACCGGGUUGGGUGCGGGUAUAUGGGUCACAGAAAGGGUUCGGGUUGGGUGCUCUGCACUCCUCCCCUUUCUCUCUUUUCUUUUUUUUUCUUUUUUUUUUUCUGAUUGGCCUCCCAUGUUCCUUCCUUUCUCUCCCGCAACCCCAUUCUUUUCCUUCUCUCUUCCCUUUUUCCUUCUUCCCCCCGUUUGUCCCUCAUUUUCCUCUGUUUCUUUUCCCUCUUUUUCUCGCCACUCCUGUGGCUUUCCUUUUUCUUUUUUUCCUUCAGCCACUCCUGUGGCUUUUUCUUCUCUUUUCAUUUUUUUUUGGCAACAACUUCAAACGUCCGUAACUAUACCGUUAUAAUCCAGACUCGCAAACGGCUUUCGCCUAUGCGUUCGUGAUCUUGAUAUCUAUUCAACAAUAUAAAUUGUGACCUCGAAUGGUCUACGGAUUUUAAAUAAUUAAUUUCUCGAAAAAUAAUAUAAAAUCUCUAUAAUACCAAUACGUAGAUUAUAAUAAUGAAAUCCAGGACGGGAUUUCACAAGAACCAUCGCAACAGGUUGACAUGAGUUCUUGAAUCUACGGUUGUUCCGCUCCUUCCAAACAUAAUACAUUGUAACAACAAACUUAACUUCAAAACUAUCGAAGAUAGAGAUUUUCCCUUGCAACGGUUAGUAGCCCGCAUUACAAAAAGAGGCCAAGGGAGCCUUAGCCAAGGGACACCGCACUUGAAUAGAACCGAAGACCAAAUACCAUCGGUAAAAGGACAGUCAAAGAAGAGGUGGCAAUGGGACUCCGUAGCACUAGAGCAGAGUAUGCAAGUGACUGGAACUGACUGAGCAAAAGUCAAAAUUCUAUCCAUAGUAAAAAGCUUGCAUUUAAUAGCCAACCAAAGAAUGAAGCUCAUGUUAGGAAUAUUUUGAUUAUACCAAACAAGCUUAGACCAACCUACCAUAGGCUUAGAUUGCUGAAACUUAUCCUAAGCAGAAGCAUCAAAGUAGAUGCCAGACCAUGAAGGUGUCCAUCGAAUCAUAUCACCCAAGCUACAAUUUGGCACAAUAUUAGACAUAGAAAUUUGAAUUUCCAACAACUCAUGAGAAAAAUUAUUAGGCCAACACCAAUUAGAACCAUUCUAAAUAUUGCAAACCAAAGCAGUUUUUGGAAACCUAGACUCAGCAAUGAUAUGGCAACCCCAAUUGAUAACAAGAGGACCUAAAGGAUGCCAAUUAUCAUUCCAAAGAGAUGGUCCCCUACCGUCUCCAAUUUAGUGGAAGAAGAAGAGCCGAACAGAAUCUCUCAAUCGGAGAAGCUUCCUCCAAUUCCACAAGUAGUUUUGGGGGAUCUUAAUUGGCCAAAAGUUCAUAUUUCUCGAAAGAUUGAUUCUAUCCCAGACAGACCAAAUAUUGUCUUCAUCGAUAAGCAAGUUCCAGAUGUGUCUAACCAUAAACGCUUUAUUCUAGUUAAUCAAUUUUUUAAUCCCAAGACCUCCUUUAGAUUUUGGAAAACACACAUCAUCCCAAGCAACUUUAGCAACACAAUGACUAGAAAGCUUACCAGACCAUAAGAAUUUUCGGACCCUUUGCUCAAUAUCGCAAAGAAUUUUCUUGAGCAUGAGGUGUGAGGCCCAAAAAACUUGCAUACUACAAAGAAUAGAUUGAACAAGUUGUAAACGACUGGCAAAAGAGAGGACCUUGUUCUCCCAAGGUCUAAUUCUAGCCUUAAUGUGCUCGAUAAGAAUGGAGCAAUCUUGCAAAUUAAGCUUUGUUGAAAUGAAAGGCACACCAAGGUAGCGAAUAUGCAAUAUUCCUAUGGGAAAAUUGAAAAGAAGCAUAAUUCUGGAAUGCUCAACUUCAUCCACGCCCUCAAGAAAAAUGGAGCUUUUAGUUGGAUUGGCCUUAAGACCAGACAAAGAAUUAAGAUGCAUAAAGAGUCCUUCAAGAUCUUAGCUGAGUGAUAAUCCCUUUCACAAAACAUAAAGAGGCCAUCAACAAAACAAAUAUGAACAAACUGGACUGCCUCACAGUGCCAGUGGUAUCUGAAAAAAAGGCUAGCAUUUAUAUUAGAGGUAAUUAAUAAAGAAAGCACCUUCACCCCUUUCGGGGGUGGGGGCUAUUAAAGAGGUGUCUAUUUGUUUCCAUGUCUACAUCUUAGAAUUUGACACGCUAUACUACUAAUGCGGUUCUUUGUAUCCAUACAACUAGUUGAAAAUAAAGGAUUUGGGAUAAAUUAGAAUUCUCUACAAUCUCAAAAUUCUCAAAUACAACUUCAAUACUUUAUUCUUCUCUACAAGGAGGUAUUUAUAAGAUUACAAAUGAGCAAUACUAAGAAAUAAAACAAAACAAUCCCUUGUCUACAAGACAAGGAAACGUAAACCAAAUCAAAUCAUAUCAAAUCACUAAUUAAAUCAAAUCCACAAAACACUUUCCUUUUUAUUUUCCAACACCCCCAUCAAACUCAUGAUGUGAAAUAAUGAGUUUGCUAAGAGGGAAAUAAGAUCUAAUUUGAAACUCUGUAAAUUCAACACCUUCCUCAUAUGGGACUACACAUUAAGUGAGCCACAUAUACAAAAAUCUUCACUGAUACGCUAAAACUAAUGUCAAUCUUGUUUGAAAGCUCAACAAAUCACAAUUUGUCAGAACUAACGUCUCUUUUCGAUUGCCCAGUUGUAACUAUCACCAAUCUUUUCAAAAACCCAACUAGAACAAAUGCCUCUUUUCGAAAUCUGACUAUCAAAUCAUAAUCCUCGGAACUAAUGUCUCUUUUCGAAAGCCUAAUUGGAAGUAAUGUCUUUUUUCGAAAGCCCGAUAAAUAAAUCUCUUGAUAUGUUCAAACUAACGUCUCUUUUCGAAAGUCCAAUUGAAACAAACAAUAAUAUUUUCGAAAGCCCAACUGAAACUAUCGCCUCUUUUCGGAAGCUCCAACCACCAAAUCUCUUUUUCCUUUUUUAUUCUUGUUUUUUUUUUCUUCCUCAAGCUACCGACAACACAAUUUUUUCUUCUUUUUUCCUUCACCAUGGCAGCGGCAAUACUUUAACUUUUAUUUUUCUACUAACAAUCGUAGACAAUCUUCACCCUCAGGUUCAUGGCGUGUGGGUGCACAAAGAAAGUUAGCUAGCUUCGUGCACCCACAAGGAAGUGCUCACAGCAAAGUUCAACCAAGAAUCAAACUCUGCUCUAAUAUCAAGUUGAAAAUAAAAGGUCUAGGAUAAAUUAGAAUUCUCUACAAUCUCACAAUUUUCAAAUACAACUUCAAUACUAUAUUCUUCUCUAUAAUGAGGUAUUUAUAAAAUUACUAAGGAGCAAUACUAGGAAAUAAAUCAAAACAAUCCUUUGUCUACAAGACAAGGAAACCUAGACCAAAUCAAACAUAUCAAAUCACACUCUUCUCUAUAAUGAGGUAUUUAUAAAAUUACUAAGGAGCAAUACUAGGAAAUAAAUCAAAACAAUCAUUUGUCUACAGGACAAGGAAACCUAGACCAAAUCAAAUCAUAUCAAAUCACUAAUUAAAUCACAUCCCUAAAACACUUUCCUUUGUAUUUUCCAACACAGCUUUCACUAUGAAUAACUUGGUUAAAAAAAAAAAAACAAAUUUAUAGUUACAUUUCUAUUAAGUAAUAAACCUCUAUAUAGUUAUAAAAUUGAUUUGAUUUUGACAUUAUAACAAUAUAAAAGUUUGUGUAAAAGAGAAACCAAAGGAAAGAUAAGUGAGAUAUUCCUCAUCUGUUGACAACUACGAAGGUUUGAUUCACGGCCAGUUUGACUAUUAAACGGACAUACAUUUUUGUGCCCCAUCGGUUUAACCAGUUUGGAACACUCAAUUCACAUGUACAUAUAUUUCCAGUAGUCAUGAAAUCACUCCGUACACCGACCUUUUUUUUGUGCGAGUUUUGAUUAUACAAUGGAUCCGGUUCUCAGACCAAACAUUACACAGCAUGUGAACAGCAAUUGCAAAUAAUGACUUUUGGAACUCUGCGUAUCUAAAGUGGGGACCAAACAAAUUCGAAUGGGAUUUGAUCAAAUAAUGAUGUUUCGAACUUUAUUGUUUAUGCAGAAAAGCCACUGGUUGCGAGCUACAACCUCUCAAAUUCUUAUAAUUUGUUUGAAGCUAGAUUUAUCGUCCUCACCUGGAUCAGAUAAUCAGUACCUCCAUGGCCGGAUUUGUGCUCACUUUCGUCCGUGGAAGGACGUGCUCACGUAUGUCCGGGGACGGAUAUAUGAUUACUCAUGUCCACGGACGAAUCGCUUACUUGUGUCUGUGGCUCUACUCACCUACUUGCGUUCCAGGCCCCAAGUGCAUAUGUGGUCCGAUAGAAAGUUGACUGAGAUAGACAAAAUAUGUGCAUGGAAAACAAGAGUUUUGACCAAUGGCGCUACCAAAAAGGAAGUUAACACCGAAACUUUAUGUCUCCGGUUGAAAAUAAGAGAUCAGAUCAAAAAAGUCACACUUGUAUUAAAUUGAAGGCAAUCAAGGGUGGUUUGCGCCUAAAAGAGGGAAAUAAACUUGUUUCUCCAGCUUCAACUUGUAUAAACGGGACGAACAAGCUCAUUGUCAAGAGGCAAGCACCGAUACAACAACUCAUCUUCUUAUUUUCUCAACAACCUGUGUGUACUUAUCUUUAUUUUUUUUGUUCGCAAUGUAAAAAUACGUAGCUUACAUUUUCAAUUAUGUAGUGUAACUUGUUUUUUUUUUUUUUUUUUAAUAACUAAAUUUAUUUUGCUCACUCCAAAUUUAUGCGCUUUAGGUUUUGAGACCAAAAUAAAUUCUCGUCCGCACAAAUAGUAGGACAAACAGUCUCAAAAUUCUCGUCCCGAUCGUCAUGUGGCCGGAACGAUUUUGAGACCGACAUAAAUUCUACUUAUUAUCAUAUAAUUUUAUAACAAUUGAUAUAUGUUCUUUUAGGAAAAACUUUACGCUCUUUUCGUUUGAACACAUAUUAUGUAGUAAUAAAAUCUCAGUAUAGUAGAACAACUCGAAAUUGGAAAAUUUUAUUCAACCUCACAUUUUGUAUCUCUACACCCAACUUACUAUUUACACCCAUAUUCAAAUUGAUUUAUCUAUAGUACUGUUAUUUUCAUUCCAGUGUCUUAUCUCUCCAUCCACUUUUUUAAUAAAUUUUUUAUUAUAAGUUUACUUAUUUGUAAAAUGACUAAUAAAGAUCUUAAAAGAAACAUAAUAACAAGGGUAAUUCUAUUAACACCCUACAAUCUUAUGAAGGCACCCCACACCUUAAUUUUUUCACUUAAAUUUCCUCCUUUACCCCUAUUUAAUUUAAGUUAGUAGACAAAGAGAAACCCCCAGCCACCUAACUACUCCUUGCCGGUGGCAGCGUACCUCAUGCAAACAGAGGCAAAAAAGCCCAACCAAUCGUAAUUUCUCAUCAUGAUAGCACAACUCUCUCUCUCUCUCUCUCUCUCUCUCUCUCUCUCUCUCUCUCUAUUGCAUUUGCAUCUGAUACUCUAGAAGAAAUGUCUUGCUUUUUUUUUUUUUUUUUUUUUGUGUUCUUUUGAGAGUGAGAGACAAAGAGGGGCCACGAUGGGGUGGCCUGCGUGGGACGACGACUUCAAUGACGAAGGUGAUAAAGGUAAAGGAGUAUCCAGGUUGGUGAGUCAAAGUGUUGGAUUGUAACCAAAGAAAUUGGAAUUUUUUACCGAUGUUUAUGGAGGUAAUCAAAUAUACUUGGUUGUCAAAUUGGGGCUGCCAAGUGUGCUUUUUGUUAUUUGGAGUGGGGAUGUGGGGUGGCUUCAGAAGAAAGAGGGACAAUGUUGGAAUUUUUGAGAAAGUUUUUUAAUGUGGGGUGUUUUCAUAAAAUUGUGGGGUGUGUAUAAAAUAACCCUAAUAACUAUAGGUUGCGGGCGACAAAGUAACAUGAGCUCUAAACUUACAUUGGGUUGUGAAAGGUAAAAAGCUAGCGAUGGAUGAUAAUUGGAUAUUGAUGACAAUUAUUGGAGUGCAUAAUCACAACAACAGAGCAUUUGGAGGGUUAUUCAUUCGAUGAUAGAUUAUCGUUUGACGAGAUUUUGUUGUUGGGGAAAUAGCAUUUAAAUUUUUUAGGAAUAACAGUAGGUGGGGCGUAGCAUAUAAUUUUGCAUUUUGUAUUUUUUUUUAAUAAAUUGUAAGAGAUUUAUUAAAUACUUAGAUAAACACACAUUUUAUGCUUAUUUUUCAUGUUUUGAUUAUGUUUUAAUUCUCUCCAAAUCACAAAUGGUGUAUUGAUAAAUUAAAUUUUUUAAGUUAAACACAGUUUGUCCUUUACGGUAAUGAAUUUUCAUGCCGACACAUGGGUUAGUACAACAACAAUGUAACUCUAAUCAGUUGGUGCCAUUUGUGGCAAUUUCAACAAAGUCUAAAAGGGCAUCUGAUGAGACCAUGGAAUGAGCUAGCACGCCUGGACUUAGACUUUGACAGAUGACUUCUUGCCUGACAAUUACCAUAAAAUCAAAAAUGGAGCUGUAGAACCUUUUUGGUUUUGUGAGCUAAAAUUACUACACAAAGAAGGCCUAAAGCCCCCAAUUAAAUGAUUGAAAAAAGAACAAAAGUGUGUUGGACCACAAUCAUUGAAUAGAAUUCACAUAGGAAAGAUGCUUAAGGAGUAAGGACCAUGUAUUCCUUUCAAGACUGUCCUUUUCAUGAGCAAACUCUGUAGGUUCAGUUUUUGCUUUUGAAUCAUCCAAUGGGAUUUCUCUCUCUUGUUGGAGGUCAAGGUUGGAAUAAGGUUGGCUUGCCUGUUAAUAGCAAGAUGAGUUUCUCUAUUUACAUUUUUUAAUUAGAAAACUUCAUUUUAAUCCCUAAAUAAGAUUACUUUUUCAAUAAUACCGUAUGUAAGAUUAAAAACUAAAAAUAGUCCUCCAUGUCAGAUUAUAGUAUUCCAUGUCACAUUCAAUCAUUUUUUAAUAAAUUUAUUGCAUUUUUAGUUUCCCUAUUUACCCUUAUUACUCUCUUAAAACCAAUUAGAGAAACAAAUAUAUAAUUAAUUUUUCAAGAAUGCUUAAUUAACUAGAUCCAUAAUUAACAUGUUUGUUAUAACAUAAAUCUCCAUGUGUUAUUCCAAUCAAAGAACCCAGAAAACUCAGAAACCAUGAUCAAACAAAAAAAGCCAUAAAACUUACAAACCAAAAAUCUUGUUGUAUUCGGAAGAAAGAAGAAAAAUGGGCUUUUAGAUGCCAAAUUGACUGUGAAUCCAGAGAUAAAUGAAAAAAAAAUACAAAUUGAGAAAAUAGAAUGUGAAAUCACAACUUAAUUGACCGUACCAAAUUAAUCGGACAUACACUAUAUAGUACCUAACCGACCAUACCGAAUGGAUAAGACCUAAUUGAUAGUACCUAAAUGAUUAAGGUGAUUCAUAUAGGUACUAUGAUUUAGGUGCAUUCAUAUAGGUACAUGAUUUAGGUGCAUUCAUAUAGUACCAUAGGUGCAUUCAUAUAAGUACAUGAUUUAGGUGCAUUCAUAUAAUACCAUUGGUUUAGGUGCAUUCGACUAGGUUAUAUUGAUUUAAGACAUUAGGACAUGGUUUAAGUGCAUUCGAUUCAUGUAAAAUAUAUGAUUUGGCUAUUUAUAUUUCCUCUAGGCUUUGAAUGGUAUAAUGAAUAAUUUGAUUAGGUAUUGUUAAUUCUUGUACGUAUCACUAAUAUUUUUUUGAAUUAUGUUUAUCAUUUUAGAAAGUCAGACAAUAAUCAAUGCCAAAAAAUAUGGAGCAAAUUAAAAUCAAAUAUUUAAUAGGGCAUUAUAGGAACAAAAAACGCAUUAAAUUUUAAAAACAAGAAAAAUAAAUUUUAAUAUUUAUGCUGACAUGGAAAUUUAGUCAAAGGACUAUAAUGAAUAUAUAAUCUAACAUAAGGUUUUAAUUGAAUUUCAAUCUUUAUCAAGGAUUAAAAUGAAGAAACCCCCUUUUUAAUUCUCAACAUAGUGAACACACUCUCAACUAUUAAAGCCACAAGUCCCUCGCUUCCUUUUCUUCUUCAUGCAAAUGAUAUUUUACUUUACUUUAAUUUAAAUUACCAAGAAAAACAUUUGAAUUUUGAUGCAUAAUAAGAAGCACACCUUAACUACAAUAAAUUUUAAAGCACUUGAAAGUCUUUUGGUAGUUUACCAUUAUACCAUAUGUGAAAAUAGGGCAGGAAAUGUGUUUCAUGAUGUGGAAUUCAGAACCCAAUAAAUAUUUUGGUGAAAACCCAAAACAAUCUAUAAGGCCAUCUCCAACUAAAAGGGUUAAAUAUAGUCCCGUCUAGAAUUAUAGCCCUGCGAAAAUUUAUUUUUAAAUGAACUGUGGUAGGUCAUACUCAUAUAUUAUCUCCAACUGAGGAGGCUAGAUUAACAUAGCCCUCUCAAUAAUUUAUUACUAUACUUUAAUUUUUUUGAUUAGUUUAAUUAAACUACUGUUGGAUGUUUUCAAAUCUAACUAUUGAAUUUGAAACAAUUAUUAUAAUUCAGCAACUGCCCCCCCUGCCCCCACAAAAAGGGCUAUGCGGAGGGCUACAUUUAGCCAGCCUAAUAUCCUUUUGGCCAAAUAAUGGCCUAGUGGGCUCCAUAAAAUUAUAGCGCAACUAUCGGUUGUAUAUAAGUUCUUGAGAAAAUCUGAUCAUUUUUUAGCUUUCGGACAUUUAAUCCCUUUUUCUUUAAAAUAAAUCUCCAAUGAAGGCCAAGAGGAAUCUACCCAAAAAGAUUGAGGGGCCGAAUUCUUGGGAGCUUGCUACAUUUGGCCCAUUUGGUAGGAAUGGGUUACCACUGUUCAUGGGUUCCAUGAAAUACAAAAGCAGCCUGGACAACACAAGAUGUCGAUUGGUGCUGUGGGUUGCAUGUUUUGUCAUGCACCCAAAUUGUUUUUUCCACAAGAUCAGGCACACUAUUAAAUCCAAUGGUUCAGAUAAAAAGAUAUGUUAUGCAGCAUUGGAGAAGAAAAAUUAUAACCAUGCACUAAUCAUUUAUAAUCUAUAUUGUUAGUGUGCUAUUAAGAAUGGUGACUUUAUGUAGCCAAACCAUUAGAUAUGGCCUAAGUAUAGGGCUCUUAGCUCAAUCCAUUGUCACCUAAUGCCCCACCUCCCUUCUUCCCUAAAAAGAGUCCUCAACCUAGUCCUGCUUGAUAUGCAGGAGAAUGAGUCUAAUGCAAUGCUAAUAGCGAGUUUUAUUCCCACAUUAAGGAUCGCAACUUUCGGCGGUCCCUCGGUCUAUGAUCUUGUAUUUUCAUUCUUUUCGUAUUAAGUCGUGUAUGCCUUAUCCUAAGCUUGGAUUUUAAGAUCUAUUAGAAACCUAGGAUGGGCUUAGUUUGAGGGCAACCAGGCACUGCUAUUAGUAGUCUGGUAAUAAUGGGCCUAUAAUUCACAGAGGCAUGAAUUGGGUCAAUGCUAGGCUUCACUAGAAAGCUAGGUUUUUCAUCAAAUAAGGACGCAUAAUGUGGGCUUCACUUUUUGAUCUGGUAGUGUUGGUUUAGUUUAGUUUUAUGUUUGGGCUUUGACCCAUUAUUGUACUCCCACCAAAAGUAGUGAUAAGUAGACUAUAGUUUGUUCCACAUGCUAAAAAUAGUUGAAAAAUGCUCUAAUAUACCGCUAUUAAAAUUCAAAACAAUUGGAAUACAACUUAAGCAAGUAACGUAUUCAAUUUUUUUUCCUCCAAGGCAUUCAUUCACGUUGAGCAUGUUGUAGAAUACAGUCCCAUAUCAGACAACUAACAAAAUAAUAUACAACUUAUAUAUGAGGUUCACUACUAAAUAUCAUUGUGACUUUUUGUAAUUAAUCUCAUUGAGUUAAGACAAUAUCAAUAAUGUGGUUGGUGGACCAAGUUAUUCUUGCGACACAUCUUGACCCUAUUUAUUUGGUUCGAGCUUGCUUCCUUAAGGGUAAUGACUGAAUGAUUGGGUCAUUAAAAAGAUUGGUGGUGCCUCCUGAUAGGAUUUUUACCACUUAUUUUCUACCACAUGCACAAAAAGGGUUAAAACACCUAAAAUACUUGCAAUAGAAACAAGAUUAUCGUCGCAUAGUUGGCUCUAGUAAGGUCAUUUUUCAUAGGGAUUAUUGUAAACAAUUUAUAUCUUAAAACCAAUUCGUACUACGAUCUAGUGGCACUACUAGAAAUUAUAAUUUUGCCAACAAAUUAUAAGCCGAAUACUCAUGCCAGAACCAAUUUAAUUUGUCGGCUGAAUACUCACGCCAUAACCAAUUUACAACGCCAAUCUUAGCUGAGAAAAUUGGAACAUUAGCCGAUGAUCAUUUUGUAGGCGUAAAUUCGAUGCCCUGACGAAUUUUGUUUUGACAGGUAAACUCUGGUGGGAACUGUUCCCGCUGUAUUGAAAUAUUAGCCGACGAUGUGAGGCAACAAAAUAUUUCAUCAGAAAAUUGAUAAGAGAGGCAACAAAGUGUGUCAUCGGCAAAUUGAUAAUAACUCUACGUGAUAAGAACAAACUUAUCAAAUUCCCAAGGCAAUCCUAACCUAUUUUGUCGGUUCACAUCCCCCAAAUGCUCAUGAUCUCCCACCCAUAUUCUUCCUAAUCCUAUUUUGUUGGUUCACAUCCCCCAAUUGCUCAUGUUCUCCCUCCCAUAAUAUUUCUAUUCCUAUUAUGUUGGUUCACAUCCCCUAAUUGCUCAUGAUCUCCCUCCCAUAUUCUUCGCUCUCACCGCGCCAUCCAAUUUCACUUUCGUAAGAAUUCCUAUUUAUCGUGUAACAACUUGGCAUGGUCUUUCCCACUCAGAAACAAUUUUGACGAUCCUAAAUCUCUUAAGUUUAUAUAUUGGAAUAAAAUCACACCUCAUUUUUUAUUUUGUCAGGUGAACUUCAACUUGGACACCAAUAUUAAAGAACAUUAUGACUCUAUUGAUAGACUCAUGUCUAGACGAUACAAGGAGUUCAAGUAUGAGUUACAUGUAUACUUUUUAGAGUGGGAAUUGGCUGAGGAGGCAAUGGAAAAUCCUUCGAAAGAGAUGGACUCAAGACCUGGGGAACCUGGAUAGUUGGAGUUUUUAUGCGAACAUUUUCAAUCAAAGAAGUUUCUGGUAUUGUUUUAGUUGAUUCAUGCAUGCAUUUGGUCUUACUUUUUUGUUAAGUAUAUGGCACUAGCUAAAAAACUGUUAUUGUGGUGAAAUAUAGAAACAAUUAGAGGGUAACAAAAAAAAUCGAGCCCAAAAGAAGUAUGAGCAUCACGCUGGUUCACGCCCACUUGCCUACAUAAUGGAGGAAUGUACAUAGGUUAAGCAAUGAAUGUUUUAAUGCUAUGUUUGUAGCAAAUUAGAAUUUGGCGUAUACGUUUUGAGUAUGAGGGAUAAGGACUUUUGACUAAAUAUAAUGUUUUGUUAUUUAAGAAUCUAGUUGCUAGCUUGAUCCAUUUUUAUGGCUACUUAAUUUCUGCCAUUUAUAGUUGAUCUUAUAUAUUGAUCAUUACUAUCUUUGAACCUAAACUAAUAAAUGGCAGGGGGGUUCCCAAUUCCCUGAGAUUGUUACCUUUGAGAUUGCUUAUGUCGGGAAGAACAAAAAAUGGACCAAUGAGACUGCCAAGUCCAAAUUUGUAAGUCUAAAAUUGUAUAUUUUUUUAGUUUUGCAUAAUAAAAGAAGCUAUAAAUUUUUAUGUGCUUCGAGAUGUCGAUACUAGAGAAUUAGAAUUUUAUGGAAUGUUGACUAGUGUCAUUGAAUUGUUAUAUAAGCAGGGGUAUAAACUGGUGUUACUUAAGUGCCACUGGUUCAAUACAUACCUUUCUAGAUAAGGGAGUAUGAAGCACGACUACCUCUUAAUAUCAGUCAACACAAACACUCGUUGGUAUGAUAAUGAUCCUUAUAUUCUUGCCACUUAAGCCAAGCAAGUGUUUUAUGUGGCUGAUCCUAAGGCAGGUAAUGGUUGGAAAGUAAUUCAAAGAAUUCAACAUAGAAAUGUAUGGGAUAUUCCGAAAAAGAGGGACUCCGAGGGUGAUAAUAGCAAUGAUGAUGUGACAUACCAAGAGAACUCUUCAUCAGACAUUCCCGAUACAGCAUAGGUAUAACACAAUGAUGAAACUUUGACUCUGUACUGCUUGGAAAACGUUCCUCCAGUUGCAGUUGAGAUUGACUCCAUCAUUACAGAUCUUGGGGCUCUUCCCUAGAAUUGAUGAAAAUGAAUUCAUUUACAAUUAUAAUGAAGAAAGUAGUACAUAUAAUGAUGACUACAUAAGCAAUGAGGAAAAUAGUACUCAUGAUGCUGAUAGUUCAAGUAGUACUAUUGAUGACGAUAGUGAUCUGGAUUAUUAGUAAGUCAGUAUUUAGUUUGCUCAUUGUGUUUUCAUCUAAAUAAUUUCGUCAUUUGUCUAUGCAUUUUCCUUACCACAUUAGUUUGCUAACUUAUUUGUUUGUUUUUGUAUUCGUUUUCCACGUUUUUAUUGGAAAAUGAAAUAAUUGUAUUUGCUUUGAUUGAAUCGCACUUGUAGAUGAAAAACAUGUUCUUGAUUGAACUAUUUCAUUUGGGUUUGAGUUUAUGAUCUAGGUUUCCAAUUUUUUAUUGAUUUGGGUAUCCAUUUGUAUAAUAUUGGUGAAAACAAUGUCCUUUGGCUUUAAUUCCAAAUUUCCAAUAUAAUUUUUCGAUAUUGUGGUUCAGGUUUGACAUAUUUGAUUUUCCUUUCUAUAACACUUGCAGGUUGUCUAUGCCUAAGUGGAAUUCUAGGCUAGAUAGCUUACAACUGGUAUCAGCCAGGCAUGGAGACCAAUGUGAGGAUCAUUCACGCCUGGUAAUUUUGAUAUUUGAGGAUUAAUUUGAUUAGUAGAUGUCUAUGUCUUCUUGUUUACAUUGAUAAAUAUUAUAAACAGUGGUGAAUUAGGAUGCUUUUGUAUAGUUUAUUUAUGUUUUCAGGUGCAUAUGCUUAUGUUCUAGAGUUAUAAUCUACUUAGCUAGGUGAUUGGUAUUGUUAUGUUUAUAUAAAUUAUAGACCCUUCAAGGAUUUAUAUCAUCUACUUAUGAUUUAAUUGCUAAGGCUACUACUCCUAGUCUCGAAAGUCUCUCCCUGUUUCCUUCUUUUUCUCUUGAAUAAAUGGUCAAAUCCUUGCUUGAAUAUGACUUCUCUAACUAUCACAUCCCAGUCUCAACUCCGCCGUAGCACGAUAUCAUCCGCUCUAGGCUUCCCAUUCCUUUACGGUUUUGUUUCUAGGAACUCAGACGAGAACUUCCCAGUGGGUCACCCAUCCUAGGUUACUCUUGCCCGAACUCGUUUAACUUUGGAGUUCCGAUGGAAUCCGAAGCCAGUGAAUUCCUAAAAGGCCUCGUGUUAUAGGGAGGGGAGCAAAUACAUAUAAGGCACAUCAAUCUCUCUCCGUUGGUUGACGUGGGAUCUUACAAUCCACCCCACUUAAGGGGAACCCGGCAUCCUCCCCAGCACAUCCGCACUGAAUGGCAGAGUGGCUCUAAUACCAAAUUGUCACAUCCUAGUCUCGACUUCGCUGUAGCAUGAUAUAUUGUCCGCUCUGAGCUUACCAUUUCAUCACGGUUUUGUUUCUGGAAACUCAGAUGGGAACUUCCCAGUGGGUCACCCAUCUUAGGAUUGCUUUUGCCCGAACUCGCUUAACUUCAGAUUUCCAAUGGAAUCCGAAGCCAGUGAGUUCCCAAAAGGCCUUGUGCUAUAAGGAGGGGAGCAUGUAAAUAUAAGGCACAUCACCCCCUCUCUGUUGGUCGAUGUGGGAUCUUACACUAACUCUUUCGUUGUUUGAAUUGGAAUGUUGAAGAUGUGGCACACCAAAACCAUAAAAAUAUGAAUUAUGAAACUUUUAGGAUAGUCUUAAACUCUUAUAGAAGCUUUACUUUUGCUUUGCACGUUUUCUUUAAUUAAAACUUGUAAACCCGAAAUCAACUUGCAAAUAAUGCGUAAGCUUAGCUGACAGACAUCCUGUACGAAAGUCGCUAUAACGUCUUCUAGGGAACUUGGAAUCACGAACCGUAAAAUUCCUUUGAAAGCUAACUUACAUAUCUUUUCAAUGGUAUAAGGCUCAACACCUGGUUCCUUCUGAGGAAGUACAAUUUAACUCAUAAAGUUGGCUAAUCUGCACAUAUAGUUCCUAUUCAUUUCAAUCGAACAAGUUCUCUGUUUUCUUCUUUCUUCAUCUUCACUCUUCAAACCUAAGAAAUACAUAAACUAAGUGAAAUAAAGAAAAUAUUGAAUUGCAUUUACAAGAUAACUUAGUAACAUAAUGACAUUAAAAUAGUAGUAAAGUAAAAAAUAACAAAGAAAAAAAAUUCAAUAUGUCCUAUCUCUACUUUCUUAUAUGACAUGUAAUAAAGACCAUAUGAUCAUGCUGCCUUGUUUACAAAGUGUGAGAAUCAUGUUGCCUUGCUGUUUAUAAUGUUCAUCUUGUUGUUUACAGUGAUGAAGGACAUAUAAGUAGUUGAUGGUAACUUGAUUAUUACCUGGUAUCUAUUAACCAUGUAAUUUUGCUAGGUUAUGAUGCUGCAUGGCGUUGGUAAGUUAACUUGAUUAGUAGAUAUCUUUAUCUUGUUGUUUACACAUUGAUGGUUUCAUAAGUUAUUUGUUUAGAAAUACCACACUAGUGUGGCCUUGCGUUUCCUUAGUGUCAAUGAUAUUCAGCACCCUUAACAUUUGCUAAUCAAGUUUUUUAAUUUGUCUUUCUUCUAUAGUUGUUUGAUACUGGAAUGUUUCAUGAUGAUCCUCACCGUUUCUCGAUUUCAUUAUGUUGCAUUUCAACGUGAUGAGGACUAUAGUGAGAAUGGUGAUACUUAAGGAUAUUUUAUCUAUAUUAUAGUAAUGUCGAAAUGAAAACAUAGAUAUUUUUGUAUUUUGUAACUGAACCGAAUUGUGAACCUUACAUUAGUUUAUAUUACAUGAAUUUUUGUGUUGUCCCUACAUUAAUUCUUCAUUCACGCCCCUUCUCGAUCUCUUAAACUUGCUUGUUUGUGAUGGUUAAAAAUAUUAUUAAAAAAAACAAAAUGCGAAUAAAAAUCAGAAAAUAUUGGACUUGACAUGUUUUGUCGGCACAAAAAUAAUUAGCCGACAAAUGUUUUUGUUCACAAAAGAUUCAACCAACCAAUUAUUUUUUCUACACAAGUAAUUUGAGCCAACAAACUAGUUUGGUGGCAUAGGACUUCGCAGCCGAAAAAUCAUUUUGUCGCCACAAGAUUACUCAGCCAACAAAAUGUUUCGUCGCGACAAGAUCACUAAGUCGACAAAUAACUUUGUUGCGAAAAAACAACCUGUGCUGACAAAAUACUUUGUCGCAACGUUGUUUUGGUGACAGGCAUAGUUUGACGGCUGAGAUUUGUUGCCUUAAAAAUGAGCCGACGAAAUAUCAAGAUUCGUUGGGAGAGAUCUUGUGCGACAAGCUUUUAGCGACAAAAUUGCCAACAAAUUUUUCAUUGGGAAAGGCUAUUUGCCGACAAACUAAUUUUGUCGGCAAAGUGAAAAUUUAUAGUAGUGUGGUAUUCCUCUUUACUUGUAAGCGAGAGGUCUUAAGUUCGAUUAUCGUCAAAGGCGAAUUCGAACAACUUUAUUACUAACCCAUUGUAAGUCUUAGCCCACUCCUCCACCCCCUUACUGUAGAUGAUUAAUAUCGUUUGUUCAGGAAAAAAAACCAAUUCAUAAUUAAUUAUUUGAAAACAAAGUUUAGGAAAGCUUGAUUUUAUAACGAAAUAAUAAAAAUAAAUUUUAAGGAAUCGGCAAUAUAUAGGAAAUAUAAACUCAAACAAAAUGGUUUUGAAAAUCAACUUAAAAGACGGUUCCGCCAUUACCUUAACAAUCCUAUAUAGUUCUUCCAAUUACUUAUGAAUUACUCGUGCAUAUUUUGAAGGUUAUGAAACAAAAUAAUUACCAAAACAUAUUAAGAAAAGGUACAACAUAUAAUAUAAAAUCAACUCAUCAACUCCAAUGAGGGAAUGAUAAAUGACUAGCUCUGGUAUAAUGAAUUGACCAGUUCCCACUGUGGGAAUUGGUGUCUCAUGUGACCCCGUGUGGGUCACUUGUGAGGGAGCGUGUUGGACAAUAGAGUCCUACAUAGGACAUAUAACAAAAUAAUAUACAACUUAGAUUUGGGAGGUUCACCACUAAAUAUCAUCGACGUUUUUUGUGGUAAAACUCAGUAAUAAAGAAAGAAGAAGUGAGAAUAGGAUUUGAGAAAUUGAACUCCAAAGAAUGCGUUUUCAGAAGAGGCAUGUAUACAAAUAUGCAAGAAGAGAGAACAAAAUAUGUUGCACAUGGACUCUUGAAGAUCAGAAAUUGCUUAUUUUCUAAGUGUUGGUGUUACUAAUUUCUUGAGCCUAAAAAUCUUUAGCACGUGGUCCCAUUUUAUUUUGUUCUUUUCUUCUCGGGUUUUCCUGGUUAUUAGCUUGGGUCACCUUGACGCUACAUAAAAUGGGAUCGAAGAGUGAAUUUUAUAUAAAACCUUCUCUGAUUUACAAAACCAUGAUUUCAAUUUGGUGUCGGUUGCUAAAUCCAUUAUUUAUUUUUUUCCAUAUAUUUUUUUCCAUAUAUCACAAAAAACCAAAUCUUUAAUUAUUGUGGAAAAAAAAAUAUCUGAAGUCGCAAAAUCUCGAAGGAUAUUGUGCCCCAUUGUUUUUUCUGAGAGGACCCAUUGACUUGCUUUUAGGUACCAACACAAAAUUCCAUAUGUUCAUGCAUUUUAGGUUCAGCCCCGACUUUCUUCUUUAUAUAUUAGUGUUUUUGCGGUUUAUUAAUCCAUGAUAUAUUAGUAAAUUGGAAUUAUCGUGUAAUGUUCUAUAGAUCUUUGCAGCAAAAUCUGUCCAUCUUAGUAGGGGACAUGAAAAUGUAUAAAAAGAUUGGUCUAGUUUGAUGCGGUUUUUUCCUUGUUAUAUUGUGCAUAAUAAGCAAUCAUACAUAUGAUAUUUAGAUUAAAAGAUAAACGUGGUGAUUGGACAUACUUACAAUGGUACUUUUAACAAUAAAUUUAUGCAACACAAGUAGAUUAAACAAAACUAGAUAUCAAAUUCAUCGCAAAUAUAUACUAUCUUCGUAUGCUUCUGAACCGAAAAUGAGACAUCAUUUAACCAAGUGAAGACAAUUUCUAUAGGGCCAAAGGUAGUAAGUUUUGUUUCUUACAUCGUCUUUCAUUUCGUCCUCCUCCAUUACCAUCAUCUUUUCUCGCCAGUUUUCAUCUCAUUUCAUCCCAUUUCCUCUCAUAUACUUCAAUUUAUCUAAAGUGUGGAAGCAAAUUUCUGCCAUCUUCUCUUUUGACGAAAAUGCACCUGCAAAAUAAUAACAUCUAAGAUUAAGGCUAAAAGCCUCAUGCACCUACAAUGAAUGGGGGGCUUUGGCUGAAGAAUCUUUGCUGCCAAAGUUAGAAUUCUAAAAAGAUUGUAUUUAGAAGUUUGUGGGUAGCAAAUAGCCUAGCAUUUUAAUGGGAUACGAGCGGUAUUUAUAGGAGAGUGGUAGGCCCUUUGGUUGGAGAGUGGCCGGCCAUAUAUGGUGUAAUUAGGUGAAUAAUUGCAAGUCAUUAUGUGGAAUAAUAUCUUGCAAUUAACAUGUCAAUUAUUCCUAAUUUAAAUAAGAAGUUUUUGGAGUUACCUUUUGAAUAAAAUCAAUAAGGGAUUGAUGAGGAGGGAUGAGAGGAAUAUGAAAUAAAUUCCAAAUUGAUCACCUCUAACUAUUCCUUGAUUGAGUCAUUAUUGUCCAUUGCAUGCGCGUGGGAAUUCCGAUGUGCCUUGAGGGUCCAAAAAUCCACGUGUCACUUCCAUGAUUUUUGGGAUUAUUUUUUGUUCCACAAAUGCCUCACGCCUGCUGAGCUGCUUGCAGGAAAGGGCAAUAGGUGUAGAGAUCUCCAACUUUGAUGCAAAUUCUCACUUGGACUUGGAAUUAGAUUCUCCUAGGAAAGGGAAUAAAUCGCCACCAAAGCCUAUUUAAGCCUACCUUAAGUAGGGGAUUAAAUCAACUUUGGAGGGCAAUUAUUUAUCCAUACAAGAAAUAGAGAAAGCCAGAGGAUAUUUGUUCCCCCUUCCCUAGCAUUCUUUUUCGCUUGCUUGUGCAAAGAACCAUUUUCUGUUGAUUUCUUUGUCUUGCAAAGAACUUAAUUUUCUUUGUCUUCUUCUUUGGUGGUGCUGUCAUGGGGCAGUUGUCGAGGUGGUGCGGCACGUCGGCUGGUGGGGACUAGGAGUCAGCUUGGCAUGGGUUGAGGAGGUGGUGUGGCAGGGGCCACGUUUUGUUUAGAGCCAAGGGUUGGCUCGGUAUGGGUCGAGGAAGUGGUGUGGCAUGGGCCACGGUUUAGGCUGCUCCAAGAGCAGUUGCGCAACUGAGGCCAUGGGUUGAGGCGUUGGGGUGCAUUGCUAGUACGUUAGCUUGCUUACUAGACCUUCAGUUGAGAAGAAAUCAUUCGAUUUCUAAAGAGGCGUCAAAGCCUACUCAUUCUGCUGCUGCCACGUUUGUGCUACUUGCUAAGAAGAAUGAAACUGCUUGAGUUUGAUUUCUCAAUUGUCGUAGUUGGAGCAAUUGACGAUGGUGCUGCCAAGAUCGAAGUUGUUAUAAAUGAAGUGUAGGGUGAGCAAACUACUGAGAAUAAAGUGGCUAUUAAAGGUAGGAUGGUUGUUGAAGAGCCCAAUGUCAUCCAAGCUGCUAAAUAAGUAGUCUUUUUUGUUUAGCUUGUGUCGGAUUUCGGCGACCUUCGUAUAAUUUUAUCAAUUUGCUAGAAAUUUAAUAAACUGAUUUUGCUUUACUCUAUCUUUGUUUUUCUUGAAACUUUGCUUGCUUAAAGAGUCUUGUAAAACUUUUAGCCAUAAAAUCAUCAGUUGGGCACGUUGCUUCGAAAAAGGCUGACGAUUCCACAUAGUCGUUAUGGCCGUGAGUUUAAGCUUAUUGGGGCGUCAAGUUGUUGAGUUCAUCGUCGGCUACUGCCUCUCGACCAUUUUCUACUUAGCCGGUUUUCAAGUAUUCGAUCCUAUGAGCUGCGUGGCUUGCAUAAUAACAUGAUAAAGAUUUGUGGAAUAUGAAAAUCGUCAACUAAUCAUAUCAAAAUGAGUAGUUGUGUGGAAAUUCACGAGCAGUUUGCCGCUUUCCGUUGAAGAGUAAACCCAGAUAGGGGUUGAGAAUUAGUUUAUCUUCUUGCAUUGGAAAGCAGACCUAGAUGGGUGUCAGGGAAUUGGUUUAUCCUCUCGCACUGGAAAGCAAACCCAGAUAGGUGUCAUGGAAUUAGUUUAUCAUCUCGUACUGGAGAGCAGACCCAGAUGGGUGUUGGGGAGUUGGUUUACCCUUUCGCAUUAGAGAGCUUACCCAAAUGGGUGACGGGGAAUUGGUUUACCUUCUCGCAUUGGAGAGCAAUUAAUUUACCCUCUCGUACUAGAUAGCUUACUCAUAUAGGUGUCGGGGGAUUGGCUUACCCUCCCACGCUGGAAAGCAAUUAGUUUACUCUCUCGUACUGGAGAGCAAUUAGUUUACCCUAUCGCACUGGAUAUUAUACCCAAAUGGGUUUCAUGGAAUUAAUUUACCCUCUUGGACUGAAGUGCAUACCCGGAUAUGUGUCGGUAAGAGCGUACCUAGAUGGGUGUCGGGGAAUUAGUUUACCCUCACACACUGGAUAACAUACAUAGAUGGGUGUAAGGAGAUUGGUUUACCCUAUCGCACUGGAAAGCAUGGAAAUUGUUGUGAGUGCAACUGAGGAAAGGUAGACUGCUAGACAACUGAAAUAAUCCUCAGCUUGUGAGGUCUUGCUUAACUAUCUGAUUAAGACUUUGAACUAUUUGUGGAACCUAUGUAAGGGUGUACGUGGAAGCGCAAUGAAUUGCUCUUAGACCUUAUCGCGCCAUCCUUGGAUGUUUCAUCAUGUGCUCUCUUGAGGCUUGGUUGGUGGUCAGGUGAGAAUCUGAAUGGAUUGCAGUUUUCAUCACUACUAGUAAAGCCUCGUAAUUUGCUGGAUGCUUUGAUGUUUUAAAGUGUUGUGGGUUUAGUUGGCGUAGAUAGGAGCCGUAUGGCAAGAUCGACACGGUUAGGAGUCGUGGUGUAAGAUUGGCACGGCUAGGAGCCGUGGUGCAAGAUCGACAUGGCUGGGAGCCGUGGUGACAGAUCGAGGGUAACAGGGAACUGAUAAGCAGGUAGAAACAGUUGUGAGCGCGAAGUUAGGGCCGACUUAGGCCAGGUUAUCCACAGCAAGAGGAAUUAGACCACUAGGUUCGCGAUGCUCGGCUACUGGUGAUGUGUUGCUUUAGUAAUGAAUCAUCUGGAGUCAUGGAAACAAGAUCUGCCUCUUGGUGGUUGGGUUGGUAUGUCUUUUUGGUACUUGUGUGCCCCUGGUAUGCCAUGAGGUUGAGUUGCUGCAUUUGUCUAAAUAUAAGUAAUCUUUGUAUCCGCCAAUUUAUGGGAAUGGUUCCGUCUGCUUGAUCUCAUUAAUGAAAUGUGACUUGCUUAUGUUGGUCAUGUCUCGUCAGAGCGUUUCGUCAGUAACUUCGUUAUGCUGGAAAUCACGUAAUCGUUCGAUCAGGAACCUCUCUAUUUUUUCCUGAAUUUCCCUUUGUUGGGGUAUCGGAGCUUUUGGCUACCCCCGGUCGUGACAUUCUGGUCUAAGUUGUUAUUCCCUAUGUUUAGCUCAUUUAUGUUGAUGCUGCGGUGCAUGUGGUAUGUUCCUAGUAGGCGAACGAGUUACUCGUAGGCUGUCGGUUUAACUUGAGCCGAAUUAAGUGACUGCUUUUCUCCGUCCGUCGUGCUGUUUGCUCAGAUGUCAGGUGGAGGAUGCUCCUUGUGGGCCUAGCCAUAAAUGAACACUUCGCCUGAAAGGUUGUCCAUGUUGAUUAUUGAAAUGUGGCCCCAACCGUGAAUGUAUGCUUGUUCGUGAGCCUAACCGGGAGUGCAUGCUCCUCCACACGCUAAGACGAGUAUAUACUGCUAGAACACUUGGUUCGUGGCUGGUCGAGAGACUACCUGCCAAGAAGCUGCUAGAGAGGGUCGUCCUCUGCCCUUAUCCUGCUUUGGGAUACCUCGUCUGGGGUAUGCUGCAUCUCAUUACGCUACAAAAAUUGAUUCACCAAGGUCGUCUGUUGCGCGAGGGUGCUCGUCAAUUCUAUGACUUGUUGAGACAAGUGUUGUUCGCUAUGCUAGAUAGAAGAGUUUGGAUGAUAUGCGUUUCAUUAAAUAGUCGAAAUGUAAUGAACUCUAGGAGCAAGAUUUGAGCUGGGAUACGUCAAAUCUGCAAAAAAUGGAGUGAAAAUACCCCAGGUUCAGUUAUCGGUCUAGAAAUCUAAAGCCGGGACGAUUGAACUGAUGUUGGACCAAUCGGGAUCGCUAGGUGGACCAUGGGAACAGGUUGGGCCACGAAAACAGGCUGAGCCAUGUGUAGGGCGCAUAGGUGCUGUACUUUUUAGCUUACUUGGCCUUGGCUUGAGGGUGCAUUGGGCUAUCAUUGGGUUUAUAGCGCUUUUGGCUCAUGUUAAGUUAUGGCUUCGGCUACUACUCGUGCGGCUUGGGUCAGCUCGCCAUGGACGUGGGCCUGUAUGGGGUGGACUAGCGCUGGGCAUUGCUGCCUUGGGCCUGCAGCUCUUGGGCUUGCUGGAGCACAGUGAUUUGGACUGCUUCGUGCUGGGUUAGCUGCUUGCUCACUGUAGGCAAAGGGUUCGCCAUGGGCUGCCAUAGUGGUGCCCUGUAAAGGUAGUGCCGAUCCUCUUGUCAUCAUGUUAAGCCUCAUGGAUCGUCGUGGUGGGACUAUUUCUGAAUUUCCCGUCAUUGUACUUUUCUUUUACGUUUAUUCAAAGAAUUUUAUAAAAAAAUAUAGGAAUAAGAACGUACAAAAAAUCUACAAAUGAAUGAGAAAUGAGAAACCUUGAAUGCGAGAGUUGUCUUUGAGUGCGUGAAUCAAACUCUCAAUGAAAGCACCAAUUUGUGGAUACAAAUUUCCGCCAUCUUCUCCUUUGACAAAAAUGCUCCUACAAAUAAUAACACCUAAGAUUAAGGCCAAAAGCCUCACGCGCCCAUGAUGAAUGAGGGGGCUUUGGCCGAAGAAUAUUGAUGCCAAAGUUUGAAUUUUGAAAAGAAUAUAUUUUGAAGUCUGUGGGUAACAAAUGACCUAGCAUUUUAGUGGGAUGAGAGCGGUAUUUAUAGAAGAGUGGCCGACCUUUGGGUGGAGAGUGGCUGGCCAUAUAUGGUGUAAUUGGGUGAAUAAUUGCAAGUUAUUAUGUUGAAUAAUAUUUUGCAAUUAACAUGACAAUUAUUCCUAAUUUAAAUAUGAAGUUUUGGGAGUUACCUUUUGAAUAAAAUCAAUAAGGGAUUGAUGAGGAGCGAUGAAAGGAAUAUGAAAUAAAUUUCAUAUUGGUCACUUUCACUCUUCCUUAAUUGAGUCGUUAUUGUCCGUUGUAUGCACAUGAGAAUUUCGAUGUGCCUUGAGGGUAAUCUCGUCAUUCUUGUCCAAAACUUCAAGUGUCACUUUCACAAUUUUUUUUAUUAUUUUUUGCUCCAUAUAAAGCACAAAAAAUAAAACUACAUAUUAAAAUGAAAUAUUAUCAAUCAUGUCUUCAACAUAAACUUUACUAAUUAAAUUCGGAGAUAGACCCUGUGAUAUAUGAGUAUGAAUUUUAAGAUAUUUAAAGAUGAACGUUCAUUAAGAAAUAUGAAUAUUCAUUGUAUUAUAUAACAUAUGAACCUUACGGCAUUUGAAUAUGAAUCUUAUGAAAUAUAUGAACAUUAUGAUAUCUCAUUCGUAUGAGUUUCGUGUUGAUCAUUUCACUCACCUGAAAUGCCAUCAAGAAUGAUAGUAUCUCUGCACACUCCAAUCUUGAUCACAGUUUCUCAUAAUGUGGUUCAAGAUUCUUGUGUGUAUUGGUUUGAACAAAAUAUAAGAAUUUUUCGGAUAUUUAAUAGAUGUGUCAUAAAUAUCGACAACACCUGAUGAUUUUAACCUAAACUUAAGAGUUUCUCAUGUUAGAGUAUAAUGUUGUAUGGAUUAGUUAGUUUAGUAAGUUUGUUAGAAAGUCUGUUAGAGUGACUAAUUCACUAUAAAUACAUACUCUUAUAAUUACUUCAACAUUAAGAAAACAAUUCUGAAAUCUAUUUUACCUUAUUCUCUCUCUGUUCUCUGCUACUCUCUCUCAUAACUAUAGUUUCUAUUUCUUCAUAUUAACAUGGUAUCAAGAGCCAAAGAAGCUUAAUAGCAAAAUUUCUUUGAUCCUUUGUUCAUUGCUUCUGCUAUCUAUUUCUUUCUCCUACGAUCUCUCUGGGAUUUUUCCUCUAUGAUUUCCUUAAAUUGGCAUUUAUUUGAGGCCUAUAAGUUCCUUCCCAUACCUCCAUGUGUCCAAGUUCCGACUGCUGCUGCUACUGUUCCCGCGCUCAUCCUCCGACAAAUGUCUUUCUUCUCGACGCCCAUAAUUUUUAGGAAUCUUGUUUUAGUUUUUAACUGACCAUAAGGUAUUAGUUGUGUCUUCUUUUUUCUUCUGGGCAUCUCCGAUUGCCCAUUUCAUCAUUUUACAGUCAAGAAAGUUUGGCACACUAGGUGUUUGAUCUUUUGCCUCAAUUAAAUUUUAUGUAAUUUCUCAACAUGGUCGUCGCAAAUUAGUUACAAAUCUUGCAAUCACCAACUACUGGCUUGAUUUCUUCGGUCUCUACAUCCAUUUCUGUCAAGUUGGAUGAGACUAACUACCUUCAAUGGCACUUUCUGUUGCAGUUGAUGCUUGAGGUCCAUGGCAUUAUGGGAUUCGUUGACGGAUCAAAUUUGUGUCCUUCUCAGUCUGCAGCAACCUCUGCACAUUCUAUACUCACAAAUGGGCCAUCUGCUAACCCUAAAUCAGAUGAGUUUAAAGCAUGAAAAUCGCAUGAUUAUGCUUUGAUGUUGCUACUUACUGCAACUCUCUCUUCAUCUGCUAUUUCAUGUAUAAUUGGUAGCAAGAGUUCUCGAGAGAUAUGGGUUCGUCUUCAAAACCACUUUUUCUUACCAAGUACAAAAAGUAGUAUAAUCAAGUUACAGAGUGAUCUUUACAACAUUAAGAAAGGAUCAGAUUCAGUUUCCCAAUAUCUUCGAAGACUUAAAGAAGCAAGGGAUGGACUUUUUGUUCUUAGUGUCACAUUUGAUGAUGAAGACUUUGUGAUCAUUGCAUUGAAUGGACUACCUGCAAAUUACAACACAUUCAAGUGUGUAAUCUGAGGGCGUGAGGGUGUCAUUUCACUCAAGGACUUUCGUGCACAAUUGCUCGCUGAAGAAGCCAUUGUGGAUUGUGCUUCUGUGACACCCCUUAUGUCUAAUGUGGUAAUUCAAUAUGGUGAUUGUGAGGCACAAGGUUCUUUCUUUCCUCUCUCUAGCUCUCAGUUGCAUAUUGGUUUUAAUGAUGGUUAUCAUGCUCAAUACAAGUUUAGUUCAUGCCAGUCAAGCUAUGGCAAUAUUGUUGAUGGUUAUAAUAGUGUGAACAAAAACUUUCGAUUCAAGAAUCGUGGUAAAGGGAGGUUCCAUUAUGAUAAUGGUGCAACCUACAAGACUUUUCCUCAUUUUUCACUUGAAAUUCUUGGCUCCCUUCCAUCUCCAUAUCAUAAUUCUCUGCCACCUAAAAUUACUACAUGUCAAAUUUGUUCACAAAAGGGCCAUCUUGCUGCCCAUUGUUCUGCUCAAAUUACCAACUCGUCUAUUACUUAAGAUACAAACUUGCAGGAUCAGCUUCGAUUUUUUUAUUCAAUGGAUUCCGUCGAGCAGGACUAUGUUAUGGUCAAUUCCACAAUGAAAACUGAGAAGCAGAUAACUAGUUUUGGUGCAGAAAGUUCACAAACUAGUGGAUCAGCUCAAUUAUUCACAAACUAGUGGAUCAGCUCAAUUACCAACAUCUUGUGAUUCAACUCCAUUACUGGAAAUGCAAAGACCAUCUAUACUGAACCCUUCUACUAGGCUCCAUCUGGUACAUCAAUUUGCACAGGUUCUUGCAGACAUGUCGCAGGAAAAGUAUAAUGCAGGAUUAUUUCUCGAAUUUUUUGUUCAACUUGUUGUUUUGGCCAUAUGGGAGAAAUAUAUUCAAACUGCUACACAUGAAUUCAGAGGAUAUUAUGUGUCUUGCUUAUGCAAAGGUGGCAAUAUAUUUGAUAUUCAAUUGGGUUACCAUAUGGGCAUUUGUGAUAAGUGAGGUGACACCAGCAACCUCACUCUCUAAUUGCCGGGAAUACUGCUCUAAUGUUCUUUGACAACCUGAUGAAAUACUACAUUUGUGAUGAUACUGCUUCAACCUCAUGAUUGGGCCCCCCAAUCUUGAGUUUGAGGGGGGAUGUCAGAGUAUAAUGUUGUAUGGAUGAGAGAUCUUGCCAUUUGUAAUUAGAUUAGGUGGUUUGUUAGAUUAGUUAGUUUGUUAGGAAGUCUGUUAGAUUGACUUGACUAGUUCACUAUAAAUACAUACUCUUGUAAUUACUUCAACAUUAAGAAAACAAUUUUGAAAUCUCUUUUACCUUAUUCUCUCUCAGUUCUCUGCUACUCUCUCUCAUAACUAUGGUUUCUAUUUCUUCAUAUUAACACGACAUGAGGUGAAGUUUAGACUUCACUCCCUAUUUUCAUAUCUUUUUAUGAUUUUCUGGAUAUUUCUAUGAAAAUAUAGAUCGUAUCGAAGAAAUUUAAACACUAGGUUACAUAAUCUACAUCCAAUAGAAUGAAAGAUACCAAUUAGUACCAUAUAGUCCUGGCUGCCCAACCUUCUUUAGUCAUGGCCCAAGCUCUACUGACAUGGAUGCAAAUUACGCAACAUAUAAACAAUGGAGAAAACAUCACGAAUAAUGUAAAACAAGAGUAAGGCAUUAUAAACGCAUAUAAAAUACCAUUUUAUUGAUGAAGGAUAUCAAUUUGGCCCAAGUAUUUGUCAGGACUUUCACUUUCAUCCUCACCGUUUUAAUUUGGAAGUACUAUUUUUGUACUCUAGCUAACAUGACUAAACAAUGCCCGGAAAUUAAUAGCACUACAACAAAAUGUUUUAUUUUAUUAAGUGGAGACGACUGUAUAAAUUUUAAAAUGUCAUUGUGUUCUGUUUUACGCCAAGUCUAUCAUUAGUUUCAAGUACUCCAUGUAUUUUCUUAUAGUUACUUUCAAAGUCUUUUUAGUUCUUUAUCUAUCUCUUUUGCUUUGAGCCUCCUUCUCAGAGUCGUAUCUUCUAACCGAUGCAUAUGUAAGUCUUCGGUUCACAUGCUCAAAUCAUCUUAAUUGAUUUUCUUUCAUCUUAUCCUCAAAUUCGGUCGCUUCUACUUUAUUUUAGAUAUUCUUGUUCUUAAUCUUACUAUUUCUCGUGUGUCUAUAUAUUUAACGAAGUAUUUUCAUCUCUAUUACACUUAUUAAUGCCUUAAAAUUAAUUCUUUCAUUUUUCUUUUCAAGAAGCAGAAAAGAUAUUGCCCGUACCAAGUUGAAAACCAAACCAAGAUACAUGUUGACACCGAUGAGUCAAGGCCUUCAUUGCACGUGUAACUACUACUACUCAGUACUCCAGUACAGUGCCAUUUUGGAUUUUGUACAAUGUCACAAAUCUCGAGGAAAAAGUCAAUCUUUAAAUGCCGUCUCGUUCUCUGGGUCCAAAACACCAACCCGAAACCCUACCACCUAUCAAUGCUCCUCCUCCCCUCCUCUUCACUUCCUAUAUGCCCUUCUUGUCCUUCCGACCAACUGUCGGCGAGAAUAUUAUAUAAUUCAUAACAGGGUAUUUCUGAAUAAAUAAACAAGUAAAUAACACAGUGUAUGUGUUUGUUUUAGGCUGAGCUGUUUGUUUUAUAUACAAUGAGAAAGCUGAGCUGUUUGUUUGUACUUUCCCUUUACAAUUUGGAGGCACACCUAUUUUGUAGUUUGAUUUCAUCUUCAGCUUCCACCCACCUUCCAAAUGUCUCGAACCAAUGUCACUUGACUCUAGUCUCCAUUUCCUACUUUUAUAUAUAUUCUCUCCCUCUAAACCUCUCUCACCACAAAAACCUCAAAAUUUAAAGCCCUCUCUCUCUCUCUCUCUCUCUCUCUCUCUCUCUCUCUCUCUGGAUCACAUACAUUUUACAGAAAUAUGGUUUCAUCAUCAGCAUCAACUUCUCUGAUGAUCUCUCCAAGAAAACUUAGGUCAGAUUUGUAUUCUUACUCAUACCAAGAUGAUUCAGAAACCCCACUAGUGGUUAAUGUUCUUGCUUCUCUGAUUGAGAGAAACAUGGCAAGGAACCAGAGGAUUGCCAAGAAUUGCAGCAGCCCUUGGUACAUGUCCAAGGACAUGAAAAAGACUAGGAUUUUUGAGUGUCAUGAGACUCCUGACCUGACAAUUCAGUCAUACUUAGAGAGGAUUUUCAGGUACACAAGAGCUGGGCCGUCUGUGUAUGUUGUUGCGUAUGUGUAUAUUGAUCGGUUUUGCCAGAACAAUCCUGCAUUUAAGAUCAAUGUCACUAAUGUCCAUAGGCUCCUCAUCACAACUAUUAUGGUGGCUUCCAAGUACGUUGAAGACAUGUUAGUCUCUCUCCCUUUCCUUAAGUUUCCGAGAUCCUAUGAUUGAUUCUCUCUUUCACAAUAUCGCUUAUAUGUGAACAUAAGUUCUAAUAUGAAGUAUACAUUUUUUUUCUUGACAGGAAUUACAGAAAUUCAUACUUUGCAAGAGUUGGGGGAUUCACAACCAACGAAUUGAACAAGUUGGAGCUUGAAUUUUUGUUCUUAAUGGGGUUCAAAUUGCAUGUGAAUGUGAGUGUGUUUGAGAGCUAUUGUUGUCACUUGGAAAGAGAAGUUAGCAUUGGAGGAGGGUACCACAUAGAGAGCACAUUGAGAUGUGCAGAAGAAAUCAAAAGAAGGCAAAACGAAGAGAGAAGAUACAAUCAGUUUGCUGGUGUUUUGCUGUAGUUCAAAUGAGGGAUAUUUCUUUACCCUUUUUUUUGGGGAUUUUAUCCUACCAUUCUUCUGUAAAUAUUGGUUUAUAAUAUUUGUGAAAAUGUAUUAUUUGGGUGGUUCAGGUAAGCUAAUACAGAGUGUUGUCCUAUUUUUUUGGGUAAAGAAAAAGCACAAUAUUUAAUUUCCAAAUUGCCUAAUUAUUGGUAACUGUGAAAUCAAAGUAGAAGGUCUGCAAACAUAUUUGGUAUUUUUAUUGUAUAAUGGAAAAUUGGUUUGAUGUGACAUUUGAAAGUUUAUAAAAAAAGACCAUGAAAGUGAUUGAAUUCUCCAGCUAAAAACAAUGUGCAGCGGCCACUAAACACAUCUAAUUAAUAGAUGGAGGUGUUGAGAUUACUAUAGAGUAUGAGAUAUUUCAAAUUUUUUAGUGUUAGAUUUUUAUUAAAAAAUACAACAAAAUAGGAAUUAUUGUAUUACUCCACAUUAUUGUAAAAUUUUGUGGAGACGACACUCUCUUAUUCUUAUCGAAUUGCUGCCGUCCGGUUGUUUUGGAACAUUAGGGAUACUGGAUAAGUAAAAGGAUUCCUUAGUUCUUUUUUACUUUUAAUCUGGUGAGGUGAACAAGUAGACAAAUGAAGACGGCUACUUUGGAAGUGUGUUAAGACAAAGGUAACAAACAUGACAAAAAGAUGUAAUUAAGAAACCACCAUCCAUUUCUUAAAACUAUAUACUCACUUUCUCUAUUACUCCACAAAAAAUCUUAUUCAUUUUAAUUUGUUUCGUCACGCAUGUGGGCUAAUCAAAGUAACAGGAAAGGAAGAGAUGACAUUUGUAAAGCACAAACAUGAAGACUUGACCUUCUCCUUUGAUCAUUACUCUUGGGUUUGAAUCCGUUAAACUGUAAUAUUAGAUUUAUGUUUAACGUAUUAAAAAGUUGCAAAGGAUCAAGAUUAUGGUGGAGGAUGCAUCAUUACCGACAAACGACAAAAAUUAAGGAGGAAAAAGUGAAGAAAAAGAAAACAAAUUGCAGUGGUGGAGAGGCCAAGUUGUUGGUAGGAGAAGCAUCUUGUACUAUUAUAGACAGGCAAAGAAUGAUCAAAAGAGUUCUUUUAUUGUUAGUCAAAGAUCAAAAGAGUACUUAAACACUAUUUACUUCAUCGUAAAAUUGUUUUCAUGCCUUGAAGGUCUCUCAUUUGAUGUGGUUGCUUUGAUUUUUAUGUUGUUAAACUCUUAGUUAGUUCAACAGAAGGCAACGCUUAUUCUUAUUCACUAUUCUCACACAUCGUGUGUAUAAUCAAAAUAGAAUCCAAGGAAUGGAAUUAACCUAAGAGACAAGUGAUCUAAGGACGUUAGAUCAAUGAAACAUUUCUCUUAUGUUAAUUCCUAACAAGUUCGUAAUCAUAUAACUGUCAAUUGGGCAUUAACAAUCUUCUGCUAGUAUGUAUUAUUUCAACUCAAUCGUGAGUAUGAUUUGUCUCAAGUCAGGAGAGUUGAUGCUUUAUUCCUUUAUCAGACAAAAACUGUUGAAAUGCUUUGUUUAUGUAUUCACCACCACCAUCACUGUGGAGAGUUUUAAUGGCUACUUGAAACUGGUUUAAGAUGAAAUUGUAUAAGGAAACAAAUAUACCAUAAACAUCACUUUUAUUGCCAAUGGGACAAAUCUAGCAAUAUUUUGUACAGUGGUCAAUGAAGGUGACAUCAUAUCUGAAUCCUUCUAGAGAAACACAAGGAGCAAGGCCCCACACAUCACUGUGAACAAGAUCAAAAGGUUUUACAGAUUUGUCUACUGAAGAAGAAAAUCGGAGUUUACUAAAUUUGCCCUCUAAACAUGUGUGACACAGUGAAGGUGCUUGAUCAGCAACACAAGGAACAUGAGAGGAUUCUAAAAUUUGAGAAACAAUUGAAUUAGAGGGAUGACCUAAUCUCUUAUGCCAAAUAUUGGUUGUAACUUGUUUUCCCAGAAAAGCUGCAAUUUUCUCUUUGUUGAUAACUGCAUGAGAACUUGGUGAGAUGAUCGGAUACAGUCCAUUGUUACACAACCCUUUGUAAAGCACCUUCCCGGUGGCUUUGUCCUGAAUCCAAAAUGAAAAAGCAUCGAAGAUCAACCAAAAAUUAUUAUCCAAGCAGAUCUUAUGAAUAGACAAUAAGUUUUGAGACAGUUUUGGCACAUAUAGAACAUAAUUAAGCCUAAUAGGCUGCAUUGGAGUUCGAAAAAGAGCAGAGCCAAUGUGAGAGAUAGCUAAACCUUCACCAUUAGCAGUCUGAAUGGUCUCAUUAUGGAGUUGACAAGGAAAGAUUUCCCAAUUCUGAAGUCAUAUGAUUAUUUGCACCUGAAUCAGUAAGCCAAAUUUGUUGCUGUGGAGGAGUAGAUGGCACUGAGAGGGAAUAAGUGGUACCAUUGAUUGUUACCGCAUGCAUAGCACUCAUUUGAGAAUUUGCAUUCUUUUGAAAACAUGUGUCUGCAGUAUGAUAAGAGUUCCUACAAACAAGACAUCCUGAGGAACCACUUGUAUUUCUAUAUCAACAGGUAUCAGCGAGAUGGUUGUGCUUGCCACAUAUUUGACAACCUUGUGAGAAAUUUAUGUUUCUGAAUCAACAUGUAUAUGCCAAAUGAUUAAGUUUCCCACAUAUUUGACAGAGUUGAGUCUGAAACCCAUAAUUAUGUAUGCUUGGUGGAGAUGUACCAAGGAUGCCAGGUGCAGGACUUGAGUGAAAGUUCUUGCUAUUGCCAUAUCUCGGAUUGAAAUUGGAUCCAAAACAAUUUCUGCCUUUACCAUUCUGAUUAAAAGACCUAUAUGCAUUUGAAUUGGGACUAGCAUGAUUUCCACCAGCACUUGAAAAAGACUGAUUCUUGGACGCCAAGUCAUUGUUCUGUGCCAUUAGUGCAGACAAAACAUGUGAUGCAGGAAUAGUUUCAAUCAAUGUUUCUUCAGCCAACAAUUGAGAUCGAAGAUCUUUCAAUAAUAUCACAGUUUCACGAUCCCGAAUCGCAGAUCUUAUAAUAUUAAAUUCAGCACGCAGACCAUUCAAUGUAAAAAUCACAAUAUCAUCAUCAUCAAGGAAUACACCAACAGUAGACAAUAAAUCUCUUGCUUCUUUAAUUUUCUGCAAAUAUACAGUCAUAGAAUCAUUACGCUUCUUUAUAGUUUGCAGUUCAGAUUUAAGUUGAAAGAUACUAGUUCUUGUGAUGGUUGAGAAUUGUUCUUUAAGUCGAGUCUACAACUCUUUAGAGCUGGUACUACCGAUCGCACAAGAAAUUCCAGCAGGAGACAAGAUUGCAGUGAUCACCUACAUUAAUGCUUUAUCAUGCAUCUUCCACACUUUGUAGUCAUUAGAUUGAACCCGUGUAGUAGAAUCAUCAGAUAAUGCUUGGCAAAAUUGGUCAGGAUAAGGGAUUGAGCCAUCAACAAAACCAAUUAUGUUAUGGCCUUCAAGCAGUAGCUCCAUCUAAAAAUGCCAAGCCAAAUUUUUUUUGUUUCAUCCAAUUUCACAUUAAUUGAGCUUGAAACCGGCGAGAUCAAAGAAGCAAUCGGAGACUGGAGAAUCUGUAACUGAGCAGUGGUCACCAUUGUUACCUAUUAUGAAGAAAUCCCAAGAAAUCUUGAUAGAGGACUAACCACAAACACUUGGUGGGUAUACUUUUGACAAGAACGAAUCAGAAGAGGGAGAAGACGAAAAAACCCCCAAUUUUACCAGAAGAAAUCACAGUAUGAAGAGAGAAGAUUGUAAAAGUGGAAGUAACCAUAACCAAAAUCAAAAUCUAUCAAGCUAUCAUGUUAGGAGUAUUAAGAUCCUAUGGUUGAGAAAUAAGAGUUAGUUAAGAUGGUUAUUGUGUAGCUUAGAGGGUAAGCUACCAAUGCAAAUAUAUACAUCUUGUAAUAGUCAUUUGUAACUAACUUGUAAAGAAAUACAUUUAUGAAUUCUCUCUCUUCUCUCUAAACUCUCUUAUUCUUUAACAUUUCUCUCUGUGUUUCUUUCUGCAUAACUUUCUUUGUCACAUAUACAAUGGUUUACAUGGUAUCAUCGCCAGAACAAGCAUGAAAGCUUGACGGAUUUCGAUUCUGGUUAUGGUUGAUUCGGCUUCUACAAUCUUCUUUCUUCAUACUGUGAUUUCUUUUGGUAAAAUUGGGGGUUUUUUCGUCUUCUCCCUGUUCUGAUUCGUUCUUGUCAAAAGUAUACCCACCAAGUGUUUGUGGUUAGUCCUCUUUCAUAAUAGGUCACAAUGGUGACCACUGCUCAGUUACAGAUUCUUCAGUCUCCGAUUGCUUCUUUGAUCUCGUCGGUUUCAAGCUCAGUUAAUGUGAAAUUGGAUGAAACAAAUUAUUUGGCUUGGCAUUUUCAGAUGGAGCUACUGCUUGAAGGCUAUAGUAUAAUUGGUUUUGUUGAUGGCUUGAUCCCUUGUCCUGACCAAUUUUGCGAAGCAUCAUCUGGGGAUUCUACUACACGGGUUCAAUCUGAUGACUACAGAGUAUGGAAGAUGCAUGAUAAAACAUUAAUGCAGUUGAUCACUACAACCUUGUCUCCUGCUGGAAUUUCUUGUGCGAUCAGUAGUACCAGCUCCAAAGAGUUAUGGACUCGACUUAAAGAACAGUUCUCAACCAUCACAAGAACUAAUAUCUUUCAACUUAAAUCUGAACUGCAAACUAUAAAGAAGGGUAAUGAUUCUAUCACUGUAUAUUUGCAAAAAAUUAAAAAAGCAAGAGAUUUAUUAUUUGCUACUGGUGUAUUAUUUGAUGAUGAUGAUAUUGUGAUUUUUACACUGAAUAGUCUGUCUGCUGAAUUUAAUACUAUAAGAUCUGUGAUUCGGGGUCGUGAAACUGUGAUAUCAUUGAAAGAUCUUCGAUAUCAAUUGUUGGCUGAAGAAACAUUGAUUGAAAUUAUUCCUGCAUCACCUGUUUUGUCUGCACUAAUGGCAGAAAACAAUGACUUGGCAUCCAAGAAUCAGUCUUUUUCAAGUGCUGGUGGAAAUCAUGCUAAUCCCAAUUCAAAUGCAUGUAGGUCUUUUAAUCAGAAUGGUAAAGGCAUAAAUCGUUUUGGAUCCAAUUUCAAUCUGAGAUAUGGCAAUAGCAAGAACUUUCACUCAAGUCCUCCUGGCAUCUUUGGUACAUCUUUACCAAGCAUACAUAAUUAUGGGUUUCAGACUAAACUCUGUCAAAUAUGUGGGAAACUUAAUCAUUUGGCAUCUACAUGUUGAUUCAGAAACAUAAAUUUCUCACAAGGUUGUCAAAUAUGUGGCAAGCACAACCAUCUCGCUGAUACCUGUCGAUAUAGAAAUACAAAUGGUUCCUUAGGAUGUCUUAUUUGUGGGAACUCUUAUCAUACUGCAGACACAUGUUUUCAAAAGAAUGCAAAUUCUCAAAUGAGUGCUAUGCAUGCUGCAACAAUCAAUGGUACCACUUAUUCCCUCUCAGUGCCAUCUGCUCCUCCACAGCAACAAAUUUGGCUUACUGAUUCAGGUGCAAAUAAUCAUAUGACUUCAGAAUUGGGAAAUCUUUCCUUGUCAACUCCAUAUCCAUCUAAUGAGACCAUUCAGACUGCUAAUGGUGAAGGUUUAGCUAUCUUUCACAUUGGUUCUGCUCUUCUUUGAACUCCAAUGCAGUAUAUUAGGCUUAAUUAUGUUCUAUAUGUGCCAAAACUGUCUCAAAACUUAUUGUCUGUUCAUAAAAUCUGCUUGGAUAAUAACUGUUGGUUGAUCUUCGAUGCUUUUUCAUUUUGGAUUCAGGACAAAGCCACCAUGAGGGUGCUUUACAAAGGGCUGUGUAACAAUGGAUUGUAUUCGAUCAUCUCACCAAGUUCUCAUGCAAUUAUCAACAAAGGGAAAAUUGUAGCUUUUCUGGGAAAACAAGUUACAACCAGUAUUUGGCAUAAGAGAUUAGGUCAUCCUUCUAAUUCAAUUGUUUCUCAAAUUUUAGAAUCCUCACAUGUUCCUUGUGUUGCUGAUCAAGCACCUUCACUGUGUCACACAUGUUUAGAGGGCAAAUUUAGUAAACUCCGAUUUUCUUCUUCAAUAGACAAAUCUGCAAAACCUUUUGAUCUUGUUCACAGUGAUGUGUGGGGCCCUGCUCCUUGUGUUUCUUUAGAAGGAUUCAGAUAUUAUGUCACCUUCAUUGACCACUGUACAAAAUAUUGCUGGAUUUUUCCCAUUUGCAAUAAAAGUCAUGUUUCUAGUAUAUUUGUUUCCUUAUACAAUUUCAUCUUAAACUAGUUUCAAGUAGCCAUUAAAACUCUCCACAGUGAUGGUGGUGGUGAAUACAUAAACAAAGCAUUUCAACAGUUUUUGUCUGAUAAAGGAAUAAAGCAUUAACUCUCAUGUCCUUACACACCAGAACAGAAUGGAAUAGCUGAACGAAAACACAGGAAUAUUAUUGAAACUUCCAUCACUUUGUUAUAGUCUGCUUCCUUACUAUUAUUGUUUUGGUCUUUUGCUUGCCAAACCUCAGUGUACUUUAUUAAUAGAAUGCCAUCUUCUUCAUUGGGAAAUAAAUCUCCAUUUCAAUUGCUGCACAAUUCCAUACCUGUAAUACAACAUCUGAAAGUAUUUGGAUGCUCUUGUUAUCCUUGGUUAAGGCCCUAUACUCGUACCAAAUUAGAUCCCAGAACUGCAAAAUGUAUUUUUUUGGGGUAUGCAUCUAAAUAUAAAGGUUAUCUCUGUUAUGAUGCUUCUAAAAACAAAAUGUAUAUCUCUAGACAUGUUCUAUUUGAUGAGACAGAGUUUCCUUACCAUUCUUUGGUCCCUAAAUCUCACUGUAACAAUAUUUCACCAUCUCCAUCACCUAUACAAACACCACCUCCAGUUCCCAAUCACAGUAAUGCUCUUGUGUUACUAGAAUCACACAAUCACUACACUGUGAGUUCUUCAUCUAGUCCUGCAUCAUUAGGUUCAGAUUCUACACCUAGUGUCAUGCCAAAUACUGUACAUCAACAAUCUUCAAUAGAUUCUACAGUAGUUCCAGUUACAUUUUCAAGUGACAGUGUAGAAAAUUCAUCUAAUAGUCAAUCCAUUACUUCUCCAACAACACAGCCUUUCUCAUCUGCACCUCCUAUGGUACCUGAAUUCCAACCUGAACAACUAUAAGUAGUUCUCUCUGUUCCCUCAGUGAACUUACAUCCUAUGCAGACACAAUCCAAAAGUGGUAUUAUUAAGAAGAUUGCUUUACUUGCUGAAGUUCAUGAAAAUGGGGGGGUUGAUUUGACACAAGUGGAACCUGCAACAUAUAAGUCUGCAUUGAAAUCCCCAGUUUGGUAUGAUGCUAUGAAAGAUGAGAUAUCAGCUUUGCACAAUCAGGGUACAUGGUCUUUGGUUCCAUUGCCCAUCAACAAGAAUUUAAUUGGGUGUAAAUGGGUAUAUAAGAUAAAAAAGAAUGCUGAUGGCUCAAUUGGGAGGUAUAAGGCACAACUGGUGGCGAAAGGUUUUAACCAAGAAGAGGGAAUUGAUUAUGCAGAGACUUUUAGCCCUGUUGUUAAACCCACAACAGUGAGACUAGUUCUAGCUUUAUCAACACAUUUUGGUUGGACAUUAAGACAAUUAGAUGUGCAAAAAUGCCUUCCUCCAUGGCAUAUUACAAGAAGAAGUCUACAUGGCACAGCCACCUGGGUUUGUUGAUCUUAAACAUGAAGACUAUGUUUGCAGAUUACAUAAAUCACUAUAUGGGUUAAACCAGGCACCAAGAGCCUGGAAUGAAAGGUUCACCAAUUUUCUACCAUCCUUAGGGUUCAAGUUUACAUUUGCAUAUUCAUCAUUAUUUGUAAAAAUUGUUGACAGAUAUGUGGUGAUUUUGCUUUUGUAUGUUGAUGAUAUUAUCAUAACAGGAAGCCAUACACAAGCUAUCACUGAGGUUAUUCAAUCUCUUACUCAGAAGUUUGAUAUGAAAGAUCUGGGACCACUUCAUUAUUUCCUAGGCAUUCAAAUUGUACAGAACAAGGAUGGGUUGUUUCUUUCCCAAGACAAGUAUGUUACGGAUCUGCUUACUAAAUCUAACAUGCUACUGUCCAAAUUGUGUGCUACUCCAUGUUUGCCUUACAACUGACUUCUCAUCGAUGAUGGAAAACCUUACAAUAAUCCUACACUGUACAGGAGCUUGGUUGGUGCUCUACAGUACUUGACUUUUACGUGACCUGACAUUACUUUUGCAGUGCAUCAGGUCUGCCAAUUUAUGCAAAGACCUAUGGAGUCACACUUUAUGGCUGUCAAAAGGAUUCUCAUGUACUUAAAGGCUACUCAAGGCUGUGGUAUUCAGUAUAUCAGAGGUUCACUUGAUCUAACUGCAUAUAAUGAUGUCGACUAGGCUGGAGAUCUGAAUGAUAGGAAGUCCACAACUGGAAUGGUGGUGUUCUUGGGUUAUAAUCCCAUUUCAUGGAUCUCCAAGAAACAAAAUACUGUCUCUAGAUCAUCAACUGAGGCUGAAUAUCGGGCAUUCUAUACUACAGCUGCUGAAUUGGAUUGGAUAAAGUCUCUGUUGACUUUUUUGCAGAUUCCUAUUGCAGAGACACCACUACUAUUCUAUGACAACCUGUCUGCUAUAGCACUGACUUGUAAUCCAAUUCAACAUCAAAGAACAAAACACAUUAAGGUUGAUGUCCAUUUUGUUUGAGAAAGGGUUGCAAAACAGCAACUACAAGUUCAUUUUGUCUCUUCUAAUGAGCAGUUUGUUGAUAUACUCACCAAAGGUCUUUCUGCACCACUUUUUCAGACUCAUUGUGCCAAUCUCAGGCUCAAUCUCUCUGCCCCUGAGCUUGAGGGGGGAUGUUAGGAGUAUUAAGAUCAUAUGGUUGAGAAAUAAGAGUUAGUUCAGAUGGUUAUUAUGUAGCUUAGAGGGUAAGCUACCAAUGCAAAUAUAUACAUCUUGUAAUAGUCAUUUGUAACUAACUUGUAAAGAAAUACAUUUCUGAAUUCUCUUUCUUCUCUCUAAACUCUCUUAUUCUUUAACAUUUCUCUCUGUCUCUCUUUCUGCCUAACAUUUCUUUGUCACAUAUACAAUGGUUUACAGACAUGAAUGACUACCAACCAAGCAAUGUAAUAAUUAAGAGUAUUGAAUUAGCUAGAGAAGGACCGUAUUGCAUUGCAAUUGUAAUUGAAUAGGUUCUCCAUCACUUCUACUCAGUUUGGGUAGCCAUGACAUACUGAUAGGUGUCCCUUAUGGUUUUUAGAAACCUGAAGAUUAGCAAUUACUAAUCUUCAUUAUAGGGAAAAUUAAAAGUAAGUUUUAAUUCACAAUCGAUUAGUAAGAGUUACAAUUGCCUAUUGCCUCACUAACUAGAACCUAAUGGAUCGGAAGGAUGAGAUUGAACAAAUAUAACAUAGUUAAAUAGUUUAAUUGAGUAUGGUUGAGAUCGUUAAAAUUAGAAGGGGAUAUAAAAGCGGAACUAAGGCGUUAACCCCAUUAGGACUUUGUGAGAAGCAAUUUGGAGGAACACCUCUCCCUUUCCUCUCAAGUAGGCCAGCCAUUUAGAAGAGAUUUAGCUAGCACCAACUAGAUCAUCCAUCUAUUCACAUCUCACCUUCAUAUGAAGACUUAGAGAUUCCAUCUUUUUGGAACUUGAACAUCCCAUUCAAAACAUCCAUGGAGCAAAAAUCCAAGAAGCAAGCAGAGAAAUUGAAGGCCCCCCACUUGACUGAUGUGAAAACAAAGAUGAGCUUUUAAAGUAAAAAGCUUCAUCCUUCUUCUCUCUGCCAAUUUGUGUUGGGUCAUCGUUCAUACUCACUAGCUAGGCUUAUGACUUUCAUGGAUAAAGAUUUAUUUUGAGUUUAUGCUUUCAUUAUUUCCGCCUCUAACAUUAAUUUCAAUGCAUGUGUUGCUCAAAAAAUCUUAAAAUGGACAAAGUUUUUGAUGUGGGAGGAAGAUUUGGAGAAAACAAUUUGAAACCAUUAAUAUGCUUUGGAAUAACAAAUGUUUUGUAUUGUAAUUACUUAGGAAUUUGUUAAGUUAUUUUGGGAGUUGUAAGGGUGUCAUGGAAACUUAAAGUCUAUUCAUUUGUAAACGCUUAUAAAUAUUGUACUAGAAAGCCUUGAAUAAGAGACUUGAAUGAAUUAAAAUAUAUUUUACUUUGUGCAAUUGAAGUGAGUGAUUUCUCCUUCCCCAAUCAAGCAUUUGGCUCGGUUGUAUGAGCGAAUACACGAUUAGUGACGUGAGUGAGUUCCACUGCCCCUGGUUGAGUGAUUCCUAGGUUAUCUAUCCCCCUCUCCUCGAUACCCUUGAUUCUGUCCUGUGUCAGUUUUUCCUUGAAAAAAUUCACCGUCCUUACAUAUUACGGGCAUACUUUCGCCUCUUUCCCUUUUUUGUUCAACAGUGUUUUCGAAUGAUGAUGACACGUUUGAAGAGAAUGAAUGCUAUAUAGAGAUUUUAUCUUCAAAAGAAAUUUUGCAAUAAUCUUGAAUCCCAUAUUGACUACGCAUCGCUGUCACUGAGACCUUUCAGUAAAGGCAAAGCCCAAUAACAAUUUAGACAUAAUUCUUAACAUGUGAUUCUUCUUUACCCCUUCUACAUUUAGAAGUCGUUAAUAACUUUUUUAUGGUGAAAUUUGUGUCUUGAAUCCUACAUGGACUUGAGCUAGCAUUUUAGAUGGGAUAUUAGCUUAUUACGAUUUCUUCGAAACUAUUCUGUGAAGGAGAAGAUAUUCCAUCUUUAAGACAUAAAUUAUUUUGAAUAGAUAUGCGACAACUAAGUAGUUAGCUCGUGACCAUUUAGUUUAGUAACAUCAAUUUGUUACUUUAUUAGACAAUGCACUGAGUUCAAAUUCCAUAGACAACAAAUGUUGAAUAAUAUAUUAAAAAUUGGUAGGUUUUUUUUUAUAAACAAGAUGAUGUUAUGAAAUACUCUAAUCUAUGAGGAAACAGAUUUGAUUCCAGCGCAAUGGGUGUCGGAUACUGCAUUUGGCCAAUUAGACUCAUCCAUAUCUGCAUAAAAAAAGUAGUUUAAGAUUUACAUUAGUUAGAUUAGAGAGAUGCUAAUACUAAUAAGUAGUUACUGCCCCAGCUACCGCAAGGCUUUGGAGCAUCUUGUGAACAGUUUCAAGCUCUAUACCUUUUUCUGGGUGAUCCUAGACAACUGUUCGCUUUAUAAUGAUAAAAAAGAAAAAGAAGAAAUAGUUUCUUUAAUUUUAUGGAUGAUCGAUCCACUAUCUCAAGUUGACUAUAUAAAAUACUUACGAAAAUAGAUCGAUAUGCCAUGGUUGGUAUAAGGACCAGUACUGCCUCAACAUUUUGUUGAUGAUAUUGGUGUGCGGGGGCCUUUAGUAUACAAAAUAAUAUGUUGGUGGUGAGUCCUACAAAAAUCUGAGGGUAGUCAUGGUGUUGAUAUUUGUAUAUACCUCAUUUCCUAGAAGCUGAAAUAUUCAUAUAUUUCAUAGUCAACCUUUUCAUAUGCAAACCAAUUCCAGCUAGUGCAUAUAUCCAAACCUCAAAAACAAAAAUAAAGAUAGAGGAAAGAAGGAUUACGCUUUCAUAAAAUAAUAAACUAGUUGGUAAAUAAAAUAAAAGCUAUACUAAUAUGAAUCAGAAGUUUGCAGCACCAUUGUUUACCACCCCUUUUCUGAGUGACUAAAUACACUUUAAAAUCCUCACUGCACUCACUUUAUCAUAAGCUCAUAACACAACAAAAACUGUCUCCCACUCUACAAGUAAUCGGCUACAACCUUAUAUUAAAACGUUUCACUGUACGUAUGUAAUAAUUCGAACAGUUCAUUUUUUUUAUCAUUUAAAAAUUAUUUUUUGAAAAAUUAUUUAAUUUACAGAUCAUUUAGCAAUUCAUGUGUGUCGAACAAAUCGAUGAUUAUAAUAACAAGUAAUAUCUUAACAAUUAACCAUCUAAACAAUCUUCAAUUCAAAUGAAACUUAUUAGAGAUGAUCCUUACACAAUGAUAAAGAGAAUGAAUGAGGCAGAUUAUAAUAUUUAUAUAAUGAGAUUAUGUUAGGAGCUAUAUGUUCACCUAAUUUCCAAUAUACAAUUAGUUACUAAUCUAGUUCUCAAACAACACACACUCUCUCUCAUCCGGUACCGAGAGUCAUACUUUGUGUCUGCUAUAUAUGUACUUUCCUUGCUAACAUAUAUAAGGUAAUCUAAUUUCACUUGCCUGAUUCAUAUUUCUCGGAUCCUUAGUUUCACUUAAUUUCUUGGAUCCUUCUAGUUCUGCUUUCACAUUAAUUAGGUUCCUUAAUCAAAUUGUUUAGUAUAUUACAAGAACUGGUUGUCCAUGUUACAAAGCAGGUAGGAAUGUGAAAAUAUCAAUAUAUAUUACUAGAUCCACCUAUCCCAAGAGAAAGUAACAUUGCUCACCCCUCUUAUGUUCUCAAAUAUCCAAAAAAAAAAUACACAUAAUCAGCAUCGUACGUGGGUCUUCUCUUUUAUUAUGUUGUAGAUUCACAUUUUAAUCAUGGAUAUUGUUUCAGUAAUAAAUUCAAGAAAAUGCCAAAUGCCAAAUUUUGGGAAGUUUGUGAAAAUUUGUAGAGAGUGCACGAGCAGCUGUACCAAAAACUAUAUCAAUUUUUAACAAGGUUCUAAAAGUCACUAGGCGCUAGUCGGGCGGCAGGCUGGGGCCUAGCGCCUAGGCGGCUAGGCGGGGCCUAGGCGGACUAGGCGGAUUUAAGUAAAUCUAUCAUAUUUCAGGUAAAUAAAUGUCUGCUUCUACUUGAAAUAUAUAUAAUUUCAUCAUAAACUACAAAAUAGAAUGCAUAUAUAUCAUGAAGUAUUGGAACAUAAUGAAAACAUGUGAAAUAAGGAUAUAAUGUUUGUUCAUUCAAGUAUGCAACAAGUCUCUUACAAUUUAUUGGAAAAAAACAAAAUGCAAAAUGAAAGUUAUGUAUUUUCUGUCUAAGUGAGUUGCAACCUAGGCGGGUCUAGGCGGGCUAGGCAGGUGCCUAGGCGGUCUAGGCGGUGGGCUGGGGCCCAGGCAUUAAUCGGGGCGGUGGGCUGGGGCCUAGCGCCUAAGCGGGGCCUAGGCGGCGCUAGGCGGGGAUUUUUAAAACAAUGAUUUUUAAAGUGAUAUAUCAAUUGUUUUUAGAAUAAUGCUACACACAUUAAAUAUGUGCACUAAAUAAUAUGGCACCAAUUAAAUAUGUGGUUUAAUUCAUGUUAAAAUUUAAUUAAUAAUUGUCAUAAAAGUUUAUUUGAUAUAAAUUAUAUCACAUUAUUUAGUGCAUGAAUGUAAUAUAUGUAGCACCACCCUUAUUUUUAAUUCACGUUAAAAUUUAAUUAAUAAUUGAACACAUCUUCUCAUUUAGGUUAUUCUUUCUAUUUCCAACCAUUCAAAAUGGAAGAGAAGCUUGAACUUAUUUUCGGUAAUCUUGAAUAAACAAUAUAUAUGUUUAAAUGUAAACGAUACUAUAGUAUAAACAAAUUAUCGUAAAUGACAGGGGAAUCUCUUUUAUGUUCAUAUAGACAUAUUGUAUUUGGUUAAAUAGACACAAAAUCAGAUGUUAAUUUGGUCUAUGCCUCCAAGUCCACGAUCACUUACCUCUUUUUUUUUUUUUUUUUUUUUAUGAAAGAAACGAUGGAAUUUCAUUGUCAUAAUCAGCCACUUACAUGGAUGUCAGUUGGGUACAUAUGCUCCAGUGAUCAAUUUCUUGAUCUGGAGGUAAUAAGCACAAAUUACAAAUAAUUGAAACCCCUAAACGGCUAUCACACAAAUCACACAUCUACAACGAGGAGUCCCGAGAUUGAAAUGUCCCAUAAACAAGACAUGACAUACCAAGAAAAUACACCCUCACCAAAACCAUCGCUAGACAGCAAGGCUACACAAUUGCAGAAGCGACAUAAACCAGUUGCCGAAACAACACCGACCAGUCAUAAUAAACUAGACUAAAAAACAAAAGGACAAGGUGACGUGUCCACAAGGAAAUGCAGCUACAAGUUGGCAGUAGGCGUGGGGAGCAUAGGCAGGGGCACGUGCAUAAAUGUCGGGAAGAGUGCAAACGCCAGCUGUGGCCGGGACAAACUCAGAGAGGUGGGGAGGAAAGGGUUCCAGCCAUAGCCACUGUAGUCAUCCGAACCAGAGUUGGUCGCAGCAGUGGCAAGAAAUAACUAUAACGACUUGGGUGGUCAGGGGUUGCCAAGCGAAUACCACCCACUCCACUAAACCGACAUCCCCACCACCACCACUAACCCAAAGAGGACAAAACGAUAGUUCCAAGGGCAGAGCCCUCAGAUGUCCAACUAACCGAGAGACAACAGCUGGCAAAUAUGCACACCAACACAUAUGGGCUGCCGUCAACUCCACGCCGUAGCAAGGGACUGGCGGCUAAGGUGGUUGCAGAUCUAGGGUUUUGGGCAAGAAGGAGGGCAGCAACUUGAGAGAGGUCUUGAAAACUAUUUUGUUAUAGUCUAAUCCAAUUUAUUUUUGAAAAAAAAAAGAUAUGAAAUUAGAUUUUUGUCAACUUAUCACAGAAAUGGCUAUUGAAAUAGAGUUAGCUAGGUUGUGUGGAGUUUUUGAAUUAGUUCCUAGUCUAGCAAAAAGCUACCGAUCUAUCUUCUCCCAUAAAAAGUCCUCAAUUUAAUCAAGGUUAUUGUUUACGUUAAUCUGAAAAUAAUUUGGAGUAGAUUGCAUCACCAUCACAUAAUGUUAUUAAUCUGCUCAUGUUAUAAUGUUUGUAUUUAUUUUUAUAUGUAUUAUAUCGUAAACUUAUGUUAUAACAUACUCAUGUCAUAUAGUCAUGUUAUAAUACAUGAAAUUGAAACACUAUGUAGCUACAUUACAUAUAUACAUUUCUUUUUAGUUGUCAUAUAUGCAUUCACUCUUUUUAGUUGUACAUCUGACCAUUAGGUAGUGAACACAUCAAAGAAAUGCGUGUACCAUAGUAAAGUCAUUGGUAUUUUUUCAUUUUGAAUACAUUCGAUAUUAUCUAUUAAGGGGGUGUUUGUUUGACCGGAUUAGGGAGGACUGGACUAGACUAGACUAAUUGCUAGUGUAGUCCCUUGUUUGGUCUGGACAAGGAUUAGGUUCAAUGAGCUUAGGCCGGACUCGCUCGGAUUAUAUACCUUGCUAGGUGUUCUUAACGAAGAUCCCCAAUUUCGGCCGGACUCGUAAGCCCUUCUGAUAGAGAGAAAAGCACGAGAGAGUUGCUCGUCCAAGAACCCCAACGUCGCUCGUCCUGCUUGUCGCACAUCGAUCCCUCCUUGCCCUGCUCCCUCAUCGUCGUCCUCCUCACCCUCAUCUCUGUGUCCUCCCUCAUCUGCAUCUGCUCACCCUCAUCUGCUUCGAGUUGUCUGGUAAAUUUCUAAUCUUCGAUUUAUUUCGUCGAUUUGUUUUGCAGAUUAUGAUAUUACUGAGCUUUAUUUGAUUUUGUUGUUUUGGGUUUGAGAAAUUUUCAAUCAUAUACCUCUGCACUUGAACAAAUUAGGGGUUUUUAUUUUUAGGUCAAAUUGAGAUUAGAAUUUGGGGUUGUCAUAUUUCAACUUUUCUUUCAAAUCCGAACUCAUAAACCAUGCUUGGCCAUAAAAUCGACAAGUUUCUUUUGCAAAAGGGACACAUACUUCCAUCUCUGUUAUGUUAGUAUAAAUCUGUGUGGUUUUUCGUUUUUAUGUUCUUGGUUCACGAAUCGAUGACUGGAUUGAGAAUGACAAGGAUUAUUAUGAAAGUUAAGCACUUACCUUGAUUUCCUUUUGGUAAUUCUCUUUUGGAUGUCUAUUUGAUUUGUUUUCAAUUUCAAUUUCGAAUUCAUGUUUGUGUGUGAAUUGGUAAUUCUCUAUAGGAUUUGGGGUUAGUGAGCUACUUAUUAUGUGAAUUUGUGAUUUGAAAACGAAUUAAGCAAUUGCGUAAGAACCCAAAUGGAACUUCAAGUCUCGUCAUUGCGGGCAAGUUUCUUUGUCUAGUUGAAAUCACAAACACCGGCUUUCUUUUUAUGUAAAGAUCUUGAUGAUAUAUGCAAUUAGGGACCUUCCACUUGUUAGAAACUAGUUUGGAGUUCUGGAAAUAGGAAUGUGUGUUGAAUGUCAAUUGACCCAUGAACAUUGAUGAUAACAUCUUCUUUGGUGGGUUUGGUGAUGAUUAAUGUCGAAGGUUAUCAUUCAUAUCGACACCUGGUUUUCUUAAGUCAACCUAGUUACAGGUCCUUAAAAAUUCUAUCGGUCUUGAAGCUUUGGAUUUCACAACUUGGACAGAGGUUAGCAAUUUGUUACAAAGUAGAAAUGUUUCAAAAAGUGCUCAUUAAGGUGUUAUAUUUUCUGGUUAAUAUGCCUAGUGGAAUACUCCGAUUGUGAUGUGUAACUGAUUGAUCGACGAAUGAUCUAUCUUUCCCCUUUUUCUUACUUUCCUGAGUUGUCGUUUUGUCUUUCGUUCUUUUGGAUGAAUGAUGUGCAAAUAUGCAAGAUUUGUGUUUUAAACAGAUUUCGGUUUGUGUUCUAUACCUGUGAUCCGUAGCAUUCAUCUAACAAAUAAGCAUGCACCAAACCAACAGUUACUGGAGGCUAAAGGCUAACUAUGUGAUUGAGUCAGUGAUACAACUAUGCAUUGAGUCAAAUGAGGAUUUACACUUCUUAUCACAUACUGCGUCACAAAAUGUGGGAGUGUUCAAGUCAAUCGAUUCGGAACUCAAGAAAGUGUUCGUCCAAAGGCUUUUAAGCGACAAAGCAAGCGGAUGAGUAUAUUAUGUGGUGUGCCUUUUGACUUGGAUGUAUUUUAUUAAUCGUACAAUCUUAGGUUAUGGCUUCUAAUUUAGCCUUGCACUGUGAAAUAUUUUGGCUAAUGUUAACUAGGAUUUUGUAAAUUAUGGAGAUCUACUUUGGAAUGCUAUACUAUAGUUAACUAGCAUUUUGUACAAUAUCCUGGAGGAAAGUUUAGUGAAUGAUGUUCUAAAGAGUCAGUCAAUGGCAAGGAUUGACUUGUGCAAUGAAAUGAAAUGAUGAAGUAAUUGCUCCUUUCUUUCUUUUGGAUAUUGUUAAUAGAGGAUUUUGUAUAAUUACUAGUAUAUAUAUGUAUAUAUGCGCUUAAUUAGACAAAACAAAAAUUCCAUACGCAUGAUUAUUGUUAUUACUAGUUUAAGUAUGCAUAAAUUGUUCAUGAUCUCUUCCCUUUGCAUAUUGUUACUAGUUUUCUUCAAACUAGUUGGAGCAAGCCAAUUUGCGUGCUAGGAAUCAAAAUGUAGCAAUGAUCAAUGCGCAGCUAUCCAUUUGUCAUUGUGCCUCGCAUCAUUGUGGUCUUAGGAUUGAAUGCAAUUGUCAUGGUAUGUACUAAAAUUGGCUUAUACAUACAAGAGCAAUUCCAAGUAAUUAUUUCACAAUUGAGUUAAAAAUUGAACUUGUCAUACAUCAAUUUUCGUUCUACUCAAAUACAAGUAUAAACCAACACCUUUAACUUUAAUCUACAACUUUAAACCAAAGGUGAAUUAUUAAGAAAAGCAUCCUGAACUUUGUCGAUUGUUGGGAGGACACUUUGUUAUAUUGAUGUUUGGAACAAUGCUACUCUUGAAUCAUGUAUGUUUCUUUCGUUGGCAAGAAAAUUUGGUUUUUGUAAUUUUAUUGAGUCUCACUCUCAUCCAAUAUUAUUAAUUUUAAUAAUAUCUUUAAUAAAAAAAGCAAUUAAAAUAGAACAAUAAUGUAGUUCUAGUCUUAGCAAACACCAAACGGGUGAACAGUAUAUUAUUUUCAUUAUCCUGCUUCUUAGUCUGAUACUAUACCAAACGCUUCACUAAGCUAGUCCAGCUUAGCCCCAGUUUGGGGUUGAGGUGAUUUUAAAAAAAGCUCCUAUGAAAAAAAGCUGAGAGUGUUUUUGGUGUUUGGUAAACUUAAAAAAAAGGGCUUAUUUUGGAAGCUGCUGUGAGAAUAAGCUGAAAUCAAAGGAAAAAGCUGAAGCUGCAAUUUGUAGCUUUGGAAAACUGGCUUUCUUUCAAAGCACAUAGAACUACAGUGCUCCUUUAAUGAAAAGAUUCACUAUCAGACUGUUUUUUUUUCCAAAAGCACUUUUACAAAAAAGUUUACCAAACACUCUGCUGAUUUAUUUCACAGCCGCUUAUUCUCACAGCACAACCGCUUAUUCUCACAGCAGCUUUUUUUCAAAGCACAGCAAUACCAAACCAGCCCUUAGUCUAGUCUAAGCCAGUCCAGGUUAGUCCCCGCAGCUAGUCCAGUCCGAGACAGUCCGGUUCAACAAACGCACGAGGUUAGGAUGUGAGCUGAACCUCACAAUGGGCUACUACUAAUUUGGUUAGAAUUUGCCUUAACUGAUAAUAGAGCUUAAGAUCACUCACUUACAAAUGAAAAAAAAACAAAUACUGCUAGACCAUAAGAUUAGGUAGCAAUUUCUCUUUUAAGUGCUAAAUAAAAUUGAGUGGUGUUAUCACAAACCCAUUUUACCUUUCACACACUCCUUUUAAUUUUCGAUUGCCAAAUCGAAUAAAUCGAAAAGAAUCAACAUACAAAAUGAAUAAAAGUGGGUUAAAAAGUAAAAACAAAAAUGUGAAAUGACACUAUCCAUAAAAUUUUGGUGCAUAUUUCGGAAAUGCCCGAACGGACCAAGUUUUUAGUUUUGUAGCCCGUGACCAAUGGCUCAUAUUUGAUCAAUUAGAAUCCAUAAGUUGUGGCCCAUAAACAAUUGGUUAAAUAUUGGUGGCUCAGCUUGUUUUGUGAACAGCAACUGAUAGUGGUUAAUUGUUAAAGCAGAACCUAGAAGAAAAUAAAAGGUGAAAACCCAGAUCCAAUGCGAAGAACAAAGAAUGAGGAUCCUUUUUGUGAGGAUCCAAAUAAUUUUUUAAUUGUACUCAUUCGUCGUAAAUCAUACGGUCAGUUUUCGUCAUGUACUAUUUGUAUUUAAUUUUAAAUAAAAAUUUUAAAAUGAUUUCUUACCGCAUAAUGUACGAUGAAUAAACACGACUAAAAGAUCCCUGGGAUCCUCACAAAGAGGAUCUAGAGAGGAUCCUCAUCCAAGAACAAAAAGAUCAUGCACUAUUGUUGUCAUCUCCUUCUCUUGGACCAUGCCUUUCUGUCUCAUUGAGCUUUCAACUCUCAUAUGCUACUGGGUUACCUUAUUAUAUACUAGCACACUGCUUGUGGCAUAGUCUGACACAUUCGUGAUAAGCUUUCAUAAUGAGAUUUACUUCCACAAAUAUACAUGCGAGAAAGAUGCCAUUUGCUGCUAUUUCAUCUAUUUGUGCAUUAAGUUCGAAGAAAAUACCGUUUUACUGUGAAUUAUAUAUAAGCUGUUUUCUUUCAUUCAUAUAACUAUUUGAUUUUAGUUUAUCAACUGGAAUAAUGAAUAAAAAAAAAUAUUAAGAUAUCUACUCAAUUCAUUCCAACCCUUUCCUUGAAUGAAAUGAGCGGAGUAGCGAAAUAUAUAGCUAAAAAGGCUAUUUCAAUAGCAGUAUCUAAAAUUCAUUCAUUCUAGAUAGAAAUGUAGAAACAAACAAAAGAAGUUUUUGGAUGAAGAAAAAAAGAAUUGCACAAUAUAUAAUUAAUAUAUAAAAGCAGUUCCGAGCCACAAUGGGACGAGAAUAGUCCCGUCCCGUUCUGAAUUUUUAUUUCUUACUUACUACAUAUCCAAUACAUGCAUAUUAGGUUAAUUAAAUUCAUAUUAUUUAUCUUGACAGGUAUCUGAAAGGAAUUUGUAAAAACUGAUUCAAUUCUUCAUUCAUUGAUCUUGUGUAUGAGUUACCGGGCUUCUUAUAUAAAUUAGGAGUGGGAAAUUUUGCCAUAAACUGAUUUACCGAUCAAAUCAUACCGAUCGACUCAUAAUGGUAUGAUAUAGUUUUGACAUUUUUUCAUAUUCGGUUGGCAUUUUACCGAACCGACAAUCAAUGGCAUGACUUUGGUAAUUGAUUUUGUAUGCCGGCGGUAUGCCAUACCUACCAAUAUAUAUAUAUAUAUAUAUAUAUAUAUAUAUAUAUAUAUAUAUAUAUUUCUAUUUAGAUAUUUUAGGUAUUUUUUUUUUACAUGCUUGACUCCUCAGUUUUAGGGUUUAGAAAAUAAAUGACUCCUUAGUUUUAGGGUUUAAAAAAUAUAUGUAUAUGUAUAUGAUUCAUGCCAUGAUAAAUAUAGAAAAUAUUAUUAACAAAAUUGAUAGGUUGAUGAUUACUGAUACUAUAUAUACACGUACAUAUAUAUGAUUUUGAAAGUAUACGCGUUGCUUAUGUUUAGGAUGAUGGAGUCUAGCCAAUCAACUGCUAGUGCACAACAUGGAUUAACCCAAAAUGAACCACACAUGCAACCGAACAAGCACCCCAAUAUGAAAAUCAAAUUGAGCCCUUGGAAAUGGAAGAUAGCGAGGAAGAAGUGGAAACCACCGGUUGUGUCAUUUACUAACCGAAUUAGCCAAUAAUUUUGGCUUAACCAAUUUUUGGCAACUGCAAGAAAACGAUAGGAUAGCGGUAACUGAUUUUCAGUAAUUAUAUAUAUGUGGCUGGCAGGUGGCACAAGGAAUUUGGCACGGUUUGCCAACCGAAACCAGGCCUAAUAUAAACCUAUUACAUGAUAAGUCUCUAGAGAUCAAUCCUAUGAGAUAAAGUCUGCAACAGAGAGGAUUAAUAUCCUAAUACAUCAUGACGACCCAAGCGUCCAAAUGCUGUCCAACAGAAUUGUCUAAAAUUUAUUUUCUUAAGUUAAUCCUAACCUUUCAGUAACUUAAUAUUAUUAUCAAAUGUAUUAAGUUAGUUCAGGAGAUUGACACCAAAAAUUCCUAUAAAAUCCUAAUCUUCCAUUUUUUUUUUCUUUUGUUGUUUCAUUCAUUCUCUAUUUUCUCAAUAAAUUCUUAAGAUGUGCAUUCCACCUACUGAAAAUGAACAAGGAUUAUCCAAAGUUUUGUAAAUCUCUUUUUCAUUUUUAGAUGUGUACAUUGAUAAUGAGAUUUUAGUUCUCCCACUCUUCGAAAAUUGAGGACAACUAUGCAUGGUUGUAAUGGAUAUAAAUGUUUUCAAUCAGUGUUUUGGCGUACAGUAUGAGUUCCACUUAUUUAUUUAUUUAUUUUAUUUUACGUUAGUAUGAGGCCCCCUCCACAUGUGAAAUUCAAGUUCCGUCAUUUUAUGAGAGUUUUCAUUCAGAAUAUCGAUAAAAUUCAACAUCUAGUAAUGAGUAUUCAUGUUGGGACAAUUUCGUUGAUGUUGGGGGUGAACCAUGUUGGGUUUAUAAAGUUUAGGGAAAUUUUAUUUGAACCCAUAUAACCUCUCUUUACACCCAACUUAAACUUCAAAUGUGAAUUGUCUUUUCUACCAUAUUGCAUAAUUACCGAAAUUAACAAUUAACUUAUAAUUUAUCAAUAAAUCCACCUAAUAAUCAAACCCUACCAUCAUACAAUCUUUAUCCUACCUUCAUACUAGCUAAAAUCUUAAGAUGUUUUCAUAGAGAAAAAAAAAUCAUUUGAUUUCUUUUUUUUUUUUUGAUUUUUUUUUGAUUUUUAGAAUUUAGGAACAAAAUCAGCAUUUUCCAUGAUGCUUGCAUAGAAGAUACUGUUUUUUCUCCUCUGUAAAUGCCUCGACGUCUGUAGCAGAACGCGCUGCAUGAAGUUGGUGCCUGCAGCAGGGACUUCGUUCAUGUGCUACGAAGCAUGCAAGAGGAUAUUGAUAGAAGAAACAAAGAAGGAGUGGAAUAGUGUCAUGAGAAAUAAAUUCUUUCAGAUAAUGAACCUAGGAACAAAUUUGAAUCUUUUGGUCGCAGAUAUAAUUGUAUUCUACAACAUUUUAUAAAUUAAGUUAUAUCAUAGAUAAGCAAAUGUCACUAGAGAGAUGAGUUGUCGAACACUGAUUUGUGUGUUUUUAUAUUCCAAAUAGGCGUGAAGACAAAUUUAUAUAUUGAAUUGAGUUUGUAAGGGUAAUCUGGUAGUAAAUUUGGAUUAAAAAAGAUAUUGAUAGUUUAAUUAAAAAUAAUAUGGGUUUAAAUAGUAAGUUGGGUGUAAAAAGAGGUUACAUGAAUUUAAUUAAAAUUUCUCUAAAGUUUAUCAUGGUAUUAGAGCAGGUUAUUCUUUUGACACUCCUAGACCUGAUUUACUGGACUCGAAUUUAUCUCCUUAAGUUGGGCUUUCGAAAAGUUGCCCUAGCUCCAGUUUAAGGAUAUUAAAUGAAUGGACCCUCAAAAAGUUGUGUUGGCUCUUGUCCCUAAAAGAUGUCUGGCCACUUUUGAAAAGUUUCCUUAGCUCAAGUAUAAUGAAUUGACCAGUUCUCGAUGUCAGAAGUGGUUUCCCUUGUGAUCUUGUGUGGGGCCACUCGUGGGAGGGCGUAUUGGAGAAUAGGAUCCCACAUUGGGCAUAUGAUAAAAUGAUAUACGACUAAUAUAUUGGAGUGACAAGAGUAUCUAAUCAACCACAAAUUUCUCCAAUGCAUCUACUAUAAAACUGUGAUCCCACCAAUCUUUCCAUAUUGUUUUAUGUAAAUAAUCAACAGUUAUUACUUACUUUUUUUGUUGUACGAAGUCAACUAUUGGCUUGCAUAUAUUUUUUGUAUAAAUAGAAUGAAUAAAUCAAUCAAGGAAUAUUUCAUAAUACAGACUUGCUUCUUCCUGCUCUAUAUCUUUCUGCCACUCCUUCUUUCUCAAUAUGGUAUCAUCUUUUUCACCAAGCUAACGCUUCAAUCGAUCCUAAAUGGCUUCUCUUGCCUCCUAUGAUAUUUGUCUUCCUUCACCAUGUCUGCUACUAUCCUCUCUCUUCACACCACCCUCAACAUCUCCUACAACAUUAAUACUCCUAUGGAUCACAAUAAUUAUCCUAGUUGGCGAUCUCAAUUUUUGGAUAUCCUUGAAUCCAAAGAAUGGAAGAUAUCAUGGUCGUCAAUUCCAAACCACCAAAGAAGCUUGACGAUGGAUCAAUCCGCAUUAUUAGGACAAACUCGUUCUUUGCUGGAUCAAGGCCAUUUGCUCCUCUUCUCUCUGACCUAAUUUUCUUUCCUGCAUCUCUGCUUACGAUGCUUGGACUCUCUUGGAAAAUCGUCUAUCACCUCUCUCCAUGACUCACCUCCGCACCCUUUCAGACCAACUUUGUACUCUCAAGAAAGAUUAAGAGGAAUCUAUGUCUGACUAUCUGCUGCAUGCUAAAAGUAUUGCCGACUCUCUUACCGUCAUUGGUUCUGCCAUUACUGAAGAUGAACUUAUUGAAUGUCUACUAGAUGACCUUGGUCCUGAGUAUAAAGAGUUCACCACAGCUGUUCAUCUCCAGCCUUUCCCAUUCAUAUGAUGAUUGCUACGAUUUGCUUAUUCAAGACGAGAAUCUUAUAAAAAACAUGUCCUCUCUAUCUCUGUCCAAUGGCGUUGUUUUUUGCCACUUCUCGUCGAUCCGCUAGUGUGUUCAAUUCAGUCUCCAACAACAACAGUUCUUCUUCUCAUUGUUCCUUUGGACAAGGACAUGGUCGUGGUCGAGACCGUUAGCAUAGUCAAUGGCGUCCCUUCAAUCAACUCAUCCCUGUACCUUGGAAUCUUUCUCAGGCCAACCAUGGUGCCUCUUGCAACAACAGACCUCUUUCCUCCCCACGCCAUCACUUCCACCCAAGUUACCCACAUUUGAAUAUGAUUGCCUUUGUCAACUUUGCGAAGAAUAUGGUCAUAAAGCCCGCCAAUUUUCCACACGAGGAAACUUUGCCUAUCUAGCGACUACUGACUCUCCCUCAUCAACACCUAGGGUGGUCGAUUCUGGCGCCACCAAUCACAUGACCAAUGAGCCUUCCGCUCUCGCACAAAUCCAACCAUACAAGAGGUACCGAUACUAUUAUUGGUGGAAACGAAAAUCACUUGCCUGCAUCUCAUGUCGGUAACUCCCCCAUCUUUGGUUUACAUGGACCCACGUUGCUAAAUGUUGUAUUAUAUGUCUCUGCCCUUAAAAAUAACUUAUUAUCGCUUCGUCGAUUUUGCUAUGACAAUCAUUAUUUGUUUUAGAUGGAUGAUCGUUCUUUUCAUGAAGGACAAGAGGAUGGGACAACUUCUUUUGAUUAGGCAUAACUAUGGUGAACUUUACUAUAUUAGAGCUGCUUCUCAUGUCACUCUAAAGCUCGUGUUUUAUGGCGAACGGACGACUAACGAUGUGUUUCAUGCUCGCUUGGGUCACACCCUACUACCAUAUUUCAUGUUUUGGCAAAUAAGUACCAUAUAUUCCCAUCAUUGGUGCACUUUCAUCUAAUAAAAGUCAUAUUUGUCCGAUAGGCAAGGCAUGUCACCUCCUAUAUUCCUCUCAAACAUCAAUGGCUCACUAUCCUCUAGACAUGGUACAUCUUGAUGUAUGGGGCCCCACUCCUAUUGUGUCUAGUUUUGGUUACAAGUAUUAUUUAUCUAUGGUGGAUGAUAAUUCAAGAUUUGUGUGGUUAUUCUCUAUUGUUCGUAAGUCCGAUGUACUGAUUAUCUUCAUUACUUUCAAAUGCAUGAUUGAAAAUCGGUUAACUACAUAAUUAAACUAUUACAAACGGAAGGUGGUGUCGUGAAUUCACUAACCUUGUGUUUCGAUAUUUUCUUUGUGAUCAUAGUAUAAACACCAACUCUCUUGCCCACAUACGCCUCAACAAAAUGGUAUAGUUGAGAGAAAGCAUCGCCAUGUUGUCGAAAUGGGUCUGUCUCCUUGCUCAAUCUCAUUUACCCAAAUUUUUUUGGGUGAAGGCCUAACCGCCACAUUUCUUAUAAAUCAAUUGCUUCUCCAUAACCUCUGGAAUGUUUCUCCCCAUGACAACUAUUUGCCAAAGUUCCCAAUUACCGAUUUCUUAAGACAUUUGGGUGCACAUGCUUCCCACACUUGAUCCCUUACAACAAACAUAAGUUGCCGCCCAUGUCCAUCAAAUAUGUAUUCAUUGGUUACAUUAACAACUACAAAGGUUAUCAUUAUCUCGAUGUUGCUUCUGGCAAGGUGUAUAUUUCUUGUAAUGUACAAUUUGAUGAACUCACCUUUCCGUUUAAAGACCUUGGGUUAAGUUCUCUUCCUAGCGAGCAGCCUCCUCAACCACUAGUGUAAGGACCUGUAUUUUAAAAAAUAAUUAUAUAUAAUUAUGUGUUGUAUAUACUUAUUAAUUUCAAAAAGUUUUGUAUUACUUCUUUAAUCGUUAAUUCCUUUAUUUCAUUUUUCUAUACUCUAAUUUACUAUUAUUUUGAACCAAAUAAGUUCAGUACACCAUUACGAUAGUAUUUGAACUAUAUAUUCAUAUUAUUCAUUUUCUUCCCUUUUACAUUAUUUUAUUAAGCUGUUUGUUCUAUGCUAAUUGGACCAAAACCAUGGCCAAUUAAAUGGCUUUUACAUCAAUCCUAUCGAUGUACACAGACCUGGAGCCCGAGUCCAUCAAUAGCUGGGAACAGUUGGAAAGGGAAUUCCUCAACCGCUUCUACAGUACCCGCCGCACUGUGAGCAUGCUGGAGCUGACGAGCACGAAACAAUGGAGGGAAGAACCAGUCAUGGACUACAUCAACCGAUGGCGUAAUCUAAGCCUCGACUGUAAGGACAGGCUCUCUGAGAUUUCUUCAAUCGAGAUGUGCAUCCAGGGCAUGCAAUGGGGUUUACAAUACAUCCUUCAAGGUAUCAAGCCAUAGACUUUUGAAGAAUUAGCCACUCGUGCCCACGACAUGGAACUGAGCAUCGCCCACCAUGGAAAGAAGGAGCCAAUCAUCGAUUUCAAAAGGGAUAAGGUGUUUACUUCAAGAGCAGACAAUCAUGGGAAAAAGCCCGCCAAGGAAGCUUUUACCACCAAAACCAUCCCUAUCAAGACCUCGUCCGCACCCGUCAAAAUCUCCUUCAAUAACAAAGCAAAGGAGAUAAAAAGAAGUGAGCCUUCCCACACCCAAGAUAGGUACAAAAACACUUUGAGGGAACUGGAGCAGAAGGUAUACCCUUUUCCUGACUCCGACAUGGAUGCAAUGUUGGACGACUUGCUGGAGAAGAAGGUGAUUGAGUUGCCUAAAUGCAAACGCCCUGAAGAGAUAAAUCGUACCAACGAUCCCAAGUACUGCACGUACCAUCGUAUCGUGGGUCAUCAUGUGGGCAAAUGUUUCAUCCUAAAAGAACUCAUCAUGAAGUUGGCACAGCAAGGGCGGAUUGAGCUCGACCUAGAAGACACAGCCGCAACGCAUACCACUACGAUCGUGUUUGGGUCCUUUGAUCCCGUGCCUCUUCAAGAAAUACCUGACCAUUCCUAUCAAUGUACAAGCUACACAGCACCUUCUGCACAACCAUCAUUGGGGGCAAACGACCAGGAUGCACCUAUCGAUGAUGAAGAAGGGUGGACAUUGGUGACCUAUAAGAAAACGAGGAAGCCAAGACCACAAGCUAUAAAGCCAAAGGGGGAGCAAGCGAGAAAGCAUCGUCGCCGCAACAAUAGGAAGCCUAAAAGAAGUAUAAGAGCUGCUAAGUCAACAUAUGCUGGGGAACCUAUGGAGCAAGAGCCACGUAUUCCCGUCUCAUUGCACGAAUACUUCCUGGAGGACUUCUUCCAACAGUGCACUAUCACUGCAUGUCACAUGGUCGAAGUAGAAAUGGAAGAACCCUCAAAAGGCAAAGCUGUCACCACUGAGGGGGAAAAGACUCUUACAACUGAAGAAGGUCUGCCAACACACCUUAGCAUCGAAAGAGCGCUCCGGUUGCCAAAGGAGAUGCGAAGAGCACUGGCAGCGCGGUCUUGGCAAGUCCCGAUGACCAAGAAGUGCAAGAAAGCAAGAACGAAAGCUUGAAGCUUCGGCCAUAUGAAUGUGCCACAUGCUGUGCCGCCGAGGACGCAAUCCACUUCACCGAUGAAAACUUGCUGCUAGGAUCCAAGCCUCACAACCGACCUCUCUUCGUCUCUGGGUACGUAAAGGAGCAUAAAGUCAGCCGCAUGCUUGUGGAUGGUGGAUCAGCCAUAAAUAUCAUGCCAAAGUCAACAAUGACCACAAUCGGCAUCAAGGUGGAUGAACUAUCCCUAAGCCGUCUACUAAUCCAAGGAUUUAACCAAGGAGGACAAAGAGCGAUGGGCAUGGUCCAAGUGGAGAUGACCAUUGGUGAACUCAAGUCAAGCAUAAUAUUCCACGUGAUUGAUGCAAGAACUUCCUACGGUUUGCUCUUAGGAAGGCCUUGGAUCCAUGCAAAUGGAGUAGUACCGUCCACCCUUCACCAAUGCUUAAAAUUUUACCGAGAAGGAGUGAAGGUGAUCUAUGGCGACACCAAGCCAUUCACUGAAGCCGAAUCACAUUUCGCAGACGCCAAGUUCUACAUGGAUGAAGACAUGGUGCCCGAAACUCUUCGAAAAUAGAUCAAAUCCAUGGGCAAAGCAACACCUAAAAAGCAGGAGUGGCAAGCUGUGCCAAAAAAGCAAGAAGAAGAAGUUAUGCCAUCUUCAAGCAAAAACAACGAUGAGCUUGCUAAACCUGCAACAACCAAAGGGAGUAGAACGCCCUCAAAUGGACCAAACAUACCCGUUUUCCGAUACAUCCCGACGUCUAGAAGAAAGAAUGGUCAAUCCCCUUUUGAAACUGCAGCAAGCAAAGCCGAUGCAGAGCGGCACAUGGAUAAUGUAAAGUUGCUUAAAACAAAUGCAAUUCUGCCUUUAACACAGCUAGGCGACACUAAGGUUGCAGGACCAUUACAAGGCUUCAUAAAAGGCCUGCCAAAAGGGGUAGAACCAAGCUUUCUCCCAACCAAGAGGACCGAAGAAGGUUUUGAUCCAAAUGCCUACAAACUCAUGUCUAAAGCUGGGUACAACUUCACCUCCUCUGUAAAUUUGGGAAAGAAGGGUUUGAACACCGUCAAAGACAACAAAACGUGAUCUCACAAAAACUCAGAAGAAGUUGGAGGAACAUGGUUACGGGGUCAACAACAACAAAAGCUGGACUUGGCUUCAUACCAAAUGCACCGGUGAAGAUCGCCAGCAAGACAAAAAAUGCUAGCGCUCAACACAUCAGCGUGAGCAUUAUACAAAAUAAAGAAGAGCCUCAACCUUCCCCCCAGACGUCAGUAUUCGAUAGAAUGAAUCGUUCAAGACCCAAAGUUUCGGCAACUAAACUCAUUGGCGGUCAAAACAGAACUUCCGUCUUCAAAAGGCUUAACACGUCAGCAUCUCGAAGCUCUGUUUUCAAAAAGGUUGUCGAAACCUAAGAAACAAAGCAAUACGACUAGCUUUCCUCCACGACAGUCAGUUAUGGAAAGACUUGAAGAAGCCAAAAAGCCUUCUAGAAGGAGAAAGACGACACCAGAAGUAGAAAAGAUCGAUCGUCUGGCAGAAAAAGAUGACGUUCGAAGUUCCAUUCCUUCAAGAAUGAAGCGCCAAACAAUUUUGGAGGUUAACACAGUUGGAUCACUGAAAGUAAAAAGGCGCACCAUCAUCCACACUGGACAAUCUUCAUCCCAACAAACUCAAGGGGUCAACACCGAAGAAGAGGCCCAAGACGUCUUCCACAUCACAAUCCAAGAAGGUGAAGAAGAUGAAAUCCUCGAGGAAGAUGUCAUUACAGCGCCAUCACAACUCGAAGAUGAGGGGCAAGCCACAGUUGACGAUCUCAAAGAACUCAACUUAGGCACAAGUGAGGAACCAAAGCCUAUCUUCGUGAGUGCAUUACUAAGUGCAGACGAGAUAGAGAAGUAUUACCAGCUGCUAUUAGAGUACGAGGACGUUUUUGCUUGGACCUACAAGGAAAUGCCCGGCCUCGACCCCAUCAUUGCUGUGCAUCAUUUUGCAGUCAAGCCUGGAACGCGACCAAUAAAGCAAACUCAAAGACGCUAUCGAUCCGAGCUCAUCCAGUAAAUCGAGGCUGAGAUUGACAAGUUGAUCGAAGCAGGCUUCAUUCGAGAGGUGCAAUACCCCAAGUGGAUCUCCAAUAUCGUCAUAGUCCUUAAGAAAUCUGGACAAAUACGUGUUUGCGUAGACUUCCGAGACCUCAAUGAUGCUUGCCCAAAUGAUGACUUCCCCUUGCCAAUCAUUGAAAUCAUGGUGGACGCAACCACUGGCCAUGAGGCACUAUCAUUCAUGGACGGCUCUUCUGGAUACAAUCAAAUUCGUAUGGCUCUUGAAGAUGAGGAACUAACAGCAUUCCGCACUCCAAAAGGUAUCUACUGCUACAAGGUGAUGCCCUUUGGUCUGAAGAAUGCUGGAGCUACAUAUCAACGCGCAAUGCAGAAGAUCUUCAAUGACAUGCUACACAAGAACGUAGAAUGCUAUGUAGACGAUGUGGUGGUUAAGACAAAUAAAAGAUUAGAUCACUUGAAGGAUUUACGAGUAGUGUUCGAAAGGUUGCGAAAAUACAACCUCAAGAUGAACCCGUUAAAAUGUGCAUUUGGCGUCACAUCUGGAAAGUUCCUUGGCUUCAUUGUCAAGCAUCGUGGCAUUGAAGUGGACCAAUCAAAGAUCAAGGCCAUUCAAAGCAUGCCCGAGCCAAGAAACCUGCACGAGUUGAAAAGUCUACAGGGACGGCUAGCCUUCAUCAGACGCUUCAUCUCCAACCUUGCAGGGCGUUGUCAACCAUUCAGUCGACUCAUGAAGAAAGAUGUUCCGUUCGUAUGGGACAAAGCAUGCAACAAUGCUUUUGAAAGCAUAAAGAAGUAUUUAUCAAGUCCACCUGUCCUGGGGGCACCUGUACCAGGGAAACCGCUCAUAUUGUACAUCGCUGCUCAGGAAACUUCAGUCGGAGCACUCUUGGCACAGGAAAAUGAAUCCCAGAAAGAAUGAGCGCUCUGCUACCUCAGUCGAACGCUCACCGGCGCUGAGUUGAACUACUCCCCAAUAGAAAAAAUGUGCCUUGCCUUGAUAUUUGUCAUCCAGAAGCUCAAACAUUACAUGCAUGCUUACACCAUCCACUUGGUUGCUAAAGCUGACCCGGUCAAAUACGUCAUGUCCAAGCCAGUUUUGACAGGACGACUAGCUAAAUGGGCAUUGCUUCUCAAUCAAUACGAGAUCAUCUACGUCCCAGCUAAAGCCGUCAAGGGACAAGCACUAGCAGACUUCCUUGCCGACCAUCCAAUCCCAGCCGAUUGGAAAAUCUCAGACGACUUGCCUGACGAGGAGGUGUUCUACAUCGACAUAUUCCCGACAUGGACGAUGUUCUUCGAUGGAUCUGCACGAGCAGACGGAGCGGGGGCAGGAGUAGUAUUCAUGUCGCCACAAAGGCAAAUACUACCUUAUUCAUUCCAACUAAGCGAAUUAUGCUUCAACAACGUCGCUGAGUACCAAGCACUGAUCAUCGGGCUCCAAAUGGCGAUCAACAUGGAAAUUACAGCCCUUGAGAUAUAUGGCGACUCCAAGCUCAUAAUCAAUCAACUCCUGACUGACUGAAUAUGAGGUGAGGAAAGAUGAUCUCGUCCCAUACUUCCGGCUGGCAACGCAAUUGCUGCAAAAGAUCGAGGCCGUAACACUAGAACAUGUGCCAAGAAAAGAGAAUCAAAUGGCAGACGCUCUCGCCAACCUAGCCUCGAGCAUAACGUUAGGAGAUGACGAAGCCACAAACGUGCCAGUCUGCCAAAGAUGGGUAAUCCCGCCUGUCACUGAAAUGGUACUAAGUGAUACAAAUGUUAUUUCCAUACUUUCGGUCAACGUUGAAGAAUGGAGACAGCCGCUGAUCAACUACUUGGAGCAUGGAAUACUCCCAGAUGAUCCAAAACACCGUUCUGAAGUACGUCGACGAGCGCAUCGCUUCCUCUAUUACAAAGGGACACUCUACCGGCGAUCUUUUGAAUGAGUACUUCUGAGAUGCUUAGGCAAGGAAGAAGCCAAUCAAGCCAUGGAAGAAGCACACUCAGGAAUAUGUGGAGCGCAUCAGUCCGGACCGAAGCUUCAUUUCCAACUCAAAAGAAUAGGUUACUACUGGCCAAGCAUGGUAAAGGACUGCCUAGAACACGCCAAAAGGUGCCAAGCCUGCCAAUUUCACGCCGACUUCAUACAUCAACCGCCUGAACCAUUACACCCUACAGCUACUUCAUGGCCAUUUGAUGCAUGGGGAUUAGACGUAGUAGGACCAAUUGCACCAAAGUCAUCUGCAGGAGAAGCGUACAUCCUGGCUGCAACAGAUUACUUCUCCAAGUGGGCUGAAGCCAUACCUCUGAAAGAAGUCAAGAAGGAAACUGUCAUCCGUUUCAUCAAAGAACAUAUCAUCCACCGAUAUGGCGUGCCUCGCUACAUUGUCACUGACAACGGAAAACAGUUCUCCAACCGACUCGUGGACGAGCUCUGCGAGAAAUACAAGUUCAAGCAGCACAAAUCCUCUAUGUAUCAUGCUCCGGCCAACGGUCUUGUAGAAGCAUUUAACAAGACAUUGUGCAACCUCCUGAAGAAGGUAAUCGGCAGAACAAAGAAAGACUGGCAUGAAAGAAUAGGCGAAGCACUUUGGGCAUACAUGACGACAUAUAGAACGCCUACCCAAGCUACACCUUAUUCUCUCGUAUAUGGCAUGGAAGCUGUUCUACCGCUCGAAAGUCAAUCCCCUCGAGUCAGUGAAUCUUCCACCUUGUCACCUUCUCUGUUUCUCCUUCGAAAUCUUUUUCAUGUUAGCAAACGCCUCUUCAAAACAAACUCCGGUCUGUUUUCGGACUUCUGACGGUGUCACGUCAUAGAACCGGCAGAAUCAGUCUAGACUCAUCGUUGCCGCAAGUUCAACCAUACUUGCAAGUUCAUCCAGGCACCAUGUGGAGGUUGCGUAGUUUCUCGAAAGAACAACGACGAAAAUUUGCGAUUCUGCGAUUGCUUCGGCGAGUUCCUUUGAGAUGGGUUUUCCCGCUCUCGAGUUGUUCUUCAUCCCUGAAAGUGUGGAUCCCGUCUCGAACUAGAGCAUUGUACAAAUGGUCAGUGAAACCUUUCCGAGUGUCCAAACCUCUAAAACUCACGAAAACCUCGUAUUUCAGUGGAGGGGUCGGAAAAGGUGGCAAAGGUGACGAGGUUUUUGGUGGUCAUGGGAUCAGCCAUUGGAGACUAAUCACCAGCAAACAAACUGGUAAUUAAUGGAAGCUUUGGCAAGUUGUUGCUUAGAAGUGUUUGCAGAACUAGCUAGCUUGGUAUAGCUGCGAAGAAUCACAAGUAAACGGACUCAGAACCGCAAUACAAGGACAUCAACUUUUAUGACACGAGUAGUUACGAGUACAUUGUACAUCUGCAUCAUUAAAUUAAGAGUCAUUAAAUUAAGAGUUAUUUGUUGCUUUGUUCUCUGAACUUGUUACGAGUACAUUGUACAUCUGCAUCAUUAAAUUAAGAGGUAUUUGUUGCUUUGUUCUCUGAACUUGUAUGCAGCUGCCAAUUUUUCGUCUGAACUUUAAUUUUAGCCGAUUACCCCUAUGAACUUUUUAAAUUAGCCAAUUUCCUCCUUAAACUUUAAUUUUAGACGAUUACCCCCUGAACUGUUAUAAAUAGCCAAUUCCUCCUUUGGCGUUAGAUUUUAAAAACUUUCAUUCAAUUUUUCAUCCAUCCAAUGUUUCAUCCUUUUUGCCCUCAUACAGUUGUCAUGUGUUGUUUCCGUGAUCAAGAUGGAUGAAACUUUUAAAAUCUAAAGCAAGGGGAAAUUGGCUAUUUAUAAAAGUUCAGGGGGUAAUAGACUAAAAUUAAAGUUCAUGGGGGAAAUUAGCUAAUUAUAAAGGUUUAAGGAGGUAAUUGACUAAAAUUAAAGUUCACAGGGAAAAAUUAACAGCUCUAUACAAAUUCAGAUGAUAGAUCGACAAAUAUACCUUAAAUUAAUGAUAUAAUGUUAUGUGAAUAAAAAAUUGUAUUUGAUAUUAUAUUAUUAACACAAAACAUGAUGUACGAGAGUCACAUAUAUUAUAAGACUUCGACGACAAGAAUACAAAAAUAACUCUCGGACUGGUGGAGUGCGUACCCGCAGCUGAAUAAAGGGCAACCUAGUACUAUAUUAAUAUUAUAUGUUAGCAAAAGCUGGGAAUUUUUAUAGGUAAACAGCCAAAAGAGCAGAAGCUUCAAAGUCCCUCCACGAUGACUGGUUUUUUUUAAUGUUAACUUGUUUGAUUUUCUCGUGUAAAUAGGAAUUUUAGUUUUAUUUUAUGGCAAGUUGUUUGAUUUUCUUGUCUGAGAUCUUAAAAAAAAUACGGAGACAAAAACAAAAUGAUAGUGUGAACGUGAACCUGCUUCCCUUUUUUUCAUAUCGACAAAUAUACCUUAAAUUAAUGAUAUAAUGUUAUGUGAAUAAAAAUUUGUACUUGACAUCAUAUUAUUAACACAAAACAUGAAGAUAGUAAUGUAGGAGAGCCAUAUAUAUUAUAAGACUUCGACGACAAGAAUACGAAAAUAACUCUCGGACUGGUGGAGUGCAUACCCCGCAGCUGAAUGCAGGGCAACCUAGUACUAUGUUAAUAUUAUAUGUUAAUCAAAAGCUGGGAAUUUUUAUAUUUAAACAGCCAAAAGAGCACAAGCUUCAAAGUCCCUCCACGAUGACUAGUUUUUUUAAUGUUAACUUGUUUGAUUAUCUCGUGUAAAUAGGAAUUUUAGUUUUAUUUUAUGGCAAGUUGUUUGAUUUUCUUGUCUGAGAUCUUAAAAAAUACGGAGACAAAAACAAAAUGAUAGUGUGAACGUGAACCUGCUUGCCCUUUUUUUUUUGUGGGGCUCGACGUUCGAGAAUUAAUAAAUCAAGCAAGUCCACAAUGGAUGCCAUUGCAUUGCCAAUUCCAUUGAUUUAUUAAAAGAGAUUUGAAAAUAUACAACCACGCGUUUGAAUCCUUAGUCUUAAUGUGGCUAUUUUAUCUGACAAGAAGGAGAAGGCCGGCGGCAAGGGUAGAGAGAGGAGAGAUGUGUUUGUAGAAUUAUAGAAGAAUUAUAUGUUGAUGAUUUGUUAUUCACUCUACGUAGUGCAUUUAUUUAUAGUAGUAAAAUGAGAGAAUAACUCCUUCAUCCCCAAGGAAUACAAGUUCAUAUAGGAAAGAAUAACUAGAAUCAAAUCUAAUAUAUGAUUUACACAAUCACACUUAAACUAGAAAAGUUCACAACACUCCCCUUUGAGUGUGUAAAUACUCAAGGUAGAUUUCAGCAUCAUGCAGAAGUUGAGGAAGUCGACUUGUCGGCACUAAUUAUGGGAACAACGCUUAUUCUCAAUAAGGUAAGACCUUGCAUAAAGUAGUAAGUCUCACUGAAAAACCCUAAGGUUAUGGCAAAAACCCGAGUAGGGACAAAAUCCAUAGUUUAAGGAAAAAUGCAUGAGUAAUGCAAAGUCAAAUGAAACGUCUACGGGACGUCAUCAGGGAAAUGAUCAACCCAAGGUGGGUGCCUCGUUAAUACCUAGUUAGGUAGCAAAAACCCAGUGGGAUAAAUGCUCCUAAUCGUAGGGAAAAGAGUACAUUAAGAUAGGAGUGGGCACAGGCCGGAUCGGGCCGAGCCGAGCCGAAUUUUGAAGGGACCAGACCGGACCUGGACUUAGAAGAGACGAGCCAGACCAAGCCAAGGAUUACAUUUUCUAAUAUAGGAACCAGACCUAACCCGGCCCGUUUGAAAUGGGCUAGUUCGGGCCGAGUCCACAGGUCCUUUUUUUUUUUUUUAGUUUACUAAAAAAUCACUCAAAUUCUCAAAAAUUCAUUCCUAGUAUAGAUUCAUUACCAGUACACACUGCAGUGUACAAAUUUUGGACAAAAGAAGACUAGUACUUUCUUCCAAUCAGCAGAGUAGCCCCACUUUCUUCUAAACGUUCACACGAAAUUCAAAAAUAUUAAUCAAGACAAUCCCUUGAAAUUUAAAAAAUAUAAUUAAACGUCUUUCUCAUUCAUUUCUUUCGUCUCCCGAGGAAUAUUAAUCAAGACAAUCCCUCGAAACUAAAAAAAAAUAGAAUUAAUAGUCUUUCCCAUUCCUUUCUUUCAUCUCUCAAGCACAAGACUCGGUAAUAAAUGACACGUGCCACAAAUAAGCCGCUAAAAAUACUCAAAAAAGAAUUAUGACAAAAAAUAAUAAGCAGCUAAAAAUACGCAAAAAAUAAUUAUGAAAAGAUAAAAAAAAAAAAAAGAGGUGGGGGGAUGCAACACGAGAACUUCCCAGGAGGUCACCCAUCCUGGUACUACUCUCGCCCAAACUCGCUUAAAUUUGGAGUUUUGAUGGGAUUCAGUGCAUGUGAGUUAGUAUGAUCGCAUCCGUUGGUCUAUGACUUGUAAUUGUAUAUAACCAGUUCUUUGCCCACGACCCCGUAACCUCUAUGCAUGUGCAAAUCACAUUGGCUCUAAACGUUCACACGAAAUUCAAAAAUAUUAAUCAAGACGAUCUCUCGAAAUUUAAAAAAUAUAAUUAAUAGUCUUUCUCAUCCAUUUCUUUCAUCUCCCGAGGAAUAUUAAUCAAGAUGAUCCCUCGAAACUCAAAAAAAAAAAAAAAAAAAAUUAAUAGUAUUUCUCAUUCCUUUUUUUCAUCUCUCAAGNNNNNNNNNNNNNNNNNNNNNNNNNNNNNNNNNNNNNNNNNNNNNNNNNNNNNNNNNNNNNNNNNNNNNNNNNNNNNNNNNNNNNNNNNNNNNNNNNNNNNNNNNNNNNNNNNNNNNNNNNNNNNNNNNNNNNNNNNNNNNNNNNNNNNNNNNNNNNNNNNNNNNNNNNNNNNNNNNNNNNNNNNNNNNNNNNNNNNNNNNNNNNNNNNNNNNNNNNNNNNNNNNNNNNNNNNNNNNNNNNNNNNNNNNNNNNNNNNNNNNNNNNNNNNNNNNNNNNNNNNNNNNNNNNNNNNNNNNNNNNNNNNNNNNNNNNNNNNNNNNNNNNNNNNNNNNNNNNNNNNNNNNNNNNNNNNNNNNNNNNNNNNNNNNNNNNNNNNNNNNNNNNNNNNNNNNNNNNNNNNNNNNNNNNNNNNNNNNNNNNNNNNNNNNNNNNNNNNNNNNNNNNNNNNNNNNNNNNNNNNNNNNNNNNNNNNNNNNNNNNNNNNNNNNNNNNNNNNNNNAGGAAGCCAAGACCACAAAGCUAUAAAGCCAAAGGGGGAGCAAGCGAGAAAGCAUCGUCGCCGCAACAAUAGGAAGCCUAAAAGAAGUAUAAGAGCUGCUAAGUCAACAUAUGCUGGGGAACCUAUGGAGCAAGAGCCACGUAUUCCCGUCUCAUUGCACGAAUACUUCCUGGAGGACUUCUUCCAACAGUGCACUAUCACUGCAUGUCACAUGGUCGAAGUAGAAAUGGAAGAACCCUCAAAAGGCAAAGCUGUCACCACUGAGGGGGAAAAGACUCUUACAACUGAAGAAGGUCUGCCAACACACCUUAGCAUCGAAAGAGCGCUCCGGUUGCCAAAGGAGAUGCGAAGAGCACUGGCAGCGGUCUUGGCAAGUCCCGAUGACCAAGAAGUGCAAGAAAGCAAGAACGAAAGCUUGAAGCUUCGGCCAUAUGAAUGUGCCACAUGCUGUGCCGCCGAGGACGCAAUCCACUUCACCGAUGAAAACUUGCUGCUAGGAUCCAAGCCUCACAACCGACCUCUCUUCGUCUCUGGGUACGUAAAGGAGCAUAAAGUCAGCCGCAUGCUUGUGGAUGGUGGAUCAGCCAUAAAUAUCAUGCCAAAGUCAACAAUGACCACAAUCGGCAUCAAGGUGGAUGAACUAUCCCUAAGCCGUCUACUAAUCCAAGGAUUUAACCAAGGAGGACAAAGAGCGAUGGGCAUGGUCCAAGUGGAGAUGACCAUUGGUGAACUCAAGUCAAGCAUAAUAUUCCACGUGAUUGAUGCAAGAACUUCCUACGGUUUGCUCUUAGGAAGGCCUUGGAUCCAUGCAAAUGGAGUAGUACCGUCCACCCUUCACCAAUGCUUAAAAUUUUACCGAGAAGGAGUGAAGGUGAUCUAUGGCGACACCAAGCCAUUCACUGAAGCCGAAUCACAUUUCGCAGACGCCAAGUUCUACAUGGAUGAAGACAUGGUGCCCGAAACUCUUCGAAAAUAGAUCAAAUCCAUGGGCAAAGCAACACCUAAAAAGCAGGAGUGGCAAGCUGUGCCAAAAAAGCAAGAAGAAGAAGUUAUGCCAUCUUCAAGCAAAAACAACGAUGAGCUUGCUAAACCUGCAACAACCAAAGGGAGUAGAACGCCCUCAAAUGGACCAAACAUACCCGUUUUCCGAUACAUCCCGACGUCUAGAAGAAAGAAUGGUCAAUCCCCUUUUGAAACUGCAGCAAGCAAAGCCGAUGCAGAGCGGCACAUGGAUAAUGUAAAGUUGCUUAAAACAAAUGCAAUUCUGCCUUUAACACAGCUAGGCGACACUAAGGUUGCAGGACCAUUACAAGGCUUCAUAAAAGGCCUGCCAAAAGGGGUAGAACCAAGCUUUCUCCCAACCAAGAGGACCGAAGAAGGUUUUGAUCCAAAUGCCUACAAACUCAUGUCUAAAGCUGGGUACAACUUCACCUCCUCUGUAAAUUUGGGAAAGAAGGGUUUGAACACCGUCAAAGACAACAAACGUGAUCUCACAAAAACUCAGAAGAAGUUGGAGGAACAUGGUUACGGGGUCAACAACAACAAAGCUGGACUUGGCUUCAUACCAAAUGCACCGGUGAAGAUCGCCAGCAAGACAAAAAAUGCUAGCGCUCAACACAUCAGCGUGAGCAUUAUACAAAAUAAAGAAGAGCCUCAACCUUCCCCCCAGACGUCAGUAUUCGAUAGAAUGAAUCGUUCAAGACCCAAAGUUUCGGCAACUAAACUCAUUGGCGGUCAAAACAGAACUUCCGUCUUCAAAAGGCUUAACACGUCAGCAUCUCGAAGCUCUGUUUUCAAAAGGUUGUCGAAACCUAAGAAACAAAGCAAUACGACUAGCUUUCCUCCACGACAGUCAGUUAUGGAAAGACUUGAAGAAGCCAAAAAGCCUUCUAGAAGGAGAAAGACGACACCAGAAGUAGAAAAGAUCGAUCGUCUGGCAGAAAAAGAUGACGUUCGAAGUUCCAUUCCUUCAAGAAUGAAGCGCCAAACAAUUUUGGAGGUUAACACAGUUGGAUCACUGAAAGUAAAAAGGCGCACCAUCAUCCACACUGGACAAUCUUCAUCCCAACAAACUCAAGGGGUCAACACCGAAGAAGAGGCCCAAGACGUCUUCCACAUCACAAUCCAAGAAGGUGAAGAGAAGAUGAAAUCCUCGAGGAAGAUGUCAUUACAGCGCCAUCACAACUCGAAGAUGAGGGGCAAGCCACAGUUGACGAUCUCAAAGAACUCAACUUAGGCACAAGUGAGGAACCAAAGCCUAUCUUCGUGAGUGCAUUACUAAGUGCAGACGAGAUAGAGAAGUAUUACCAGCUGCUAUUAGAGUACGAGGACGUUUUUGCUUGGACCUACAAGGAAAUGCCCGGCCUCGACCCCAUCAUUGCUGUGCAUCAUUUUGCAGUCAAGCCUGGAACGCGACCAAUAAAGCAAACUCAAAGACGCUAUCGAUCCGAGCUCAUCCAGUAAAUCGAGGCUGAGAUUGACAAGUUGAUCGAAGCAGGCUUCAUUCGAGAGGUGCAAUACCCAAGUGGAUCUCCAAUAUCGUCAUAGUCCUUAAGAAAUCUGGACAAAUACGUGUUUGCGUAGACUUCCGAGACCUCAAUGAUGCUUGCCCAAAUGAUGACUUCCCCUUGCCAAUCAUUGAAAUCAUGGUGGACGCAACCACUGGCCAUGAGGCACUAUCAUUCAUGGACGGCUCUUCUGGAUACAAUCAAAUUCGUAUGGCUCUUGAAGAUGAGGAACUAACAGCAUUCCGCACUCCAAAAGGUAUCUACUGCUACAAGGUGAUGCCCUUUGGUCUGAAGAAUGCUGGAGCUACAUAUCAACGCGCAAUGCAGAAGAUCUUCAAUGACAUGCUACACAAGAACGUAGAAUGCUAUGUAGACGAUGUGGUGGUUAAGACAAAUAAAAGAUUAGAUCACUUGAAGGAUUUACGAGUAGUGUUCGAAAGGUUGCGAAAAUACAACCUCAAGAUGAACCCGUUAAAAUGUGCAUUUGGCGUCACAUCUGGAAAGUUCCUUGGCUUCAUUGUCAAGCAUCGUGGCAUUGAAGUGGACCAAUCAAAGAUCAAGGCCAUUCAAAGCAUGCCCGAGCCAAGAAACCUGCACGAGUUGAAAAGUCUACAGGGACGGCUAGCCUUCAUCAGACGCUUCAUCUCCAACCUUGCAGGGCGUUGUCAACCAUUCAGUCGACUCAUGAAGAAAGAUGUUCCGUUCGUAUGGGACAAAGCAUGCAACAAUGCUUUUGAAAGCAUAAAGAAGUAUUUAUCAAGUCCACCUGUCCUGGGGGCACCUGUACCAGGGAAACCGCUCAUAUUGUACAUCGCUGCUCAGGAAACUUCAGUCGGAGCACUCUUGGCACAGGAAAAUGAAUCCCAGAAAGAAUGAGCGCUCUGCUACCUCAGUCGAACGCUCACCGGCGCUGAGUUGAACUACUCCCCAAUAGAAAAAAUGUGCCUUGCCUUGAUAUUUGUCAUCCAGAAGCUCAAACAUUACAUGCAUGCUUACACCAUCCACUUGGUUGCUAAAGCUGACCCGGUCAAAUACGUCAUGUCCAAGCCAGUUUUGACAGGACGACUAGCUAAAUGGGCAUUGCUUCUCAAUCAAUACGAGAUCAUCUACGUCCCAGCUAAAGCCGUCAAGGGACAAGCACUAGCAGACUUCCUUGCCGACCAUCCAAUCCCAGCCGAUUGGAAAAUCUCAGACGACUUGCCUAACGAGGAGGUGUUCUACAUCGACAAAUUCCUGACAUGGACGAUGUUCUUCGAUGGAUCUGCACGAGCAGACGGAGCGGGGGCAGGAGUAGUAUUCAUGUCGCCACAAAGGCAAAUACUACCUUAUUCAUUCCAACUAAGCGAAUUAUGCUUCAACAACGUCGCUGAGUACCAAGCACUGAUCAUCGGGCUCCAAAUGGCGAUCAACAUGGAAAUUACAGCCCUUGAGAUAUAUGGCGACUCCAAGCUCAUAAUCAAUCAACUCCUGACUGAAUAUGAGGUGAGGAAAGAUGAUCUCGUCCCAUACUUCCGGCUGGCAACGCAAUUGCUGCAAAAGAUCGAGGCCGUAACACUAGAACAUGUGCCAAGAAAAGAGAAUCAAAUGGCAGACGCUCUCGCCAACCUAGCCUCGAGCAUAACGUUAGGAGAUGACGAAGCCACAAACGUGCCAGUCUGCCAAAGAUGGGUAAUCCCGCCUGUCACUGAAAUGGUACUAAGUGAUACAAAUGUUAUUUCCAUACUUUCGGUCAACGUUGAAGAAUGGAGACAGCCGCUGAUCAACUACUUGGAGCAUGGAAUACUCCCAGAUGAUCCAAAACACCGUUCUGAAGUACGUCGACGAGCGCAUCGCUUCCUCUAUUACAAAGGGACACUCUACCGGCGAUCUUUUGAAUGAGUACUUCUGAGAUGCUUAGGCAAGGAAGAAGCCAAUCAAGCCAUGGAAGAAGCACACUCAGGAAUAUGUGGAGCGCAUCAGUCCGGACCGAAGCUUCAUUUCCAACUCAAAAGAAUAGGUUACUACUGGCCAAGCAUGGUAAAGGACUGCCUAGAACACGCCAAAAGGUGCCAAGCCUGCCAAUUUCACGCCGAACUUCAUACAUCAACCGCCUGAACCAUUACACCCUACAGCUACUUCAUGGCCAUUUGAUGCAUGGGGAUUAGACGUAGUAGGACCAAUUGCACCAAAGUCAUCUGCAGGAGAAGCGUACAUCCCUGGCUGCAACAGAUUACUUCUCCAAGUGGGCUGAAGCCAUACCUCUGAAAGAAGUCAAGAAGGAAACUGUCAUCCGUUUCAUCAAAGAACAUAUCAUCCACCGAUAUGGCGUGCCUCGCUACAUUGUCACUGACAACGGAAAACAGUUCUCCAACCGACUCGUGGACGAGCUCUGCGAGAAAUACAAGUUCAAGCAGCACAAAUCCUCUAUGUAUCAUGCUCCGGCCAACGGUCUUGUAGAAGCAUUUAACAAGACAUUGUGCAACCUCCUGAAGAAGGUAAUCGGCAGAACAAAGAAAGACUGGCAUGAAAGAAUAGGCGAAGCACUUUGGGCAUACAUGACGACAUAUAGAACGCCUACCCAAGCUACACCUUAUUCUCUCGUAUAUGGCAUGGAAGCUGUUCUACCGCUCGAAAGUCAAAUCCCCUCGCUAAGGAUGGCUCUACAAGAAGGCUUGACUGACGAAGAGAAUGCAAAGUUGCGCCUUCAAGAGCUGGAAGCCCUGGAUGAGAAAGACUCGAAGCCCAACAACACUUGGAGUGUUAUCAAGCACGACUCUCCAAGGCCUUCAACAAGAAAGUUUUCCCUCGUUCUUUUCAAAUGGGAGAUCUCGUCCUUUCAUUGCGUAGGCCUAUCAUCACAACUCACAAGACAAAGAGCAAGUUCACAUCAAAAUGGGAUGGACCAUACGUAAUACAAGAAGUCUACACCAAUGGCGCCUACUUAAUCAUGGCGGAAGACGGCUUGAAGAUCGGCCAUAUCAAUGGCAGAUUCUUGAAGCGCUACUACCCCUGAAAGGCGACAACUCAUGCUCUUUGUUCGCACGAGCCUAAACUGCAUGAACCAAAGCUCCUGGCCCGCAAGAGCAUAAACUGUGUACGGCAAAAUCAUCAUCAAAAUUACUGUUAAAUUCAUCACUCAUUUGAACUACGUUAUGGCUUGAUCUCUUCUUUGGAAGGGUACGUAGGCGACUCGAACAUUCAAUUUCGAGUUCAGUCAUAUCAAAAUAAAAAAAAUAUAUAAAAGUUUUAUUAAAGAAAGUCAAUUUUAUUACAAAAGAAUAAAUAAAUAAAUACAUAUGUUAUUAUGUAUUUAAAAAAAAACAAAAAAAAAAAAACAAAACAAAACAAAUGCAUUAAGAGAAAUAAAGUCCGUUUUUUUUAUUUAUUUUUUCUCGAAAUUUUACAUAAAUUUGCAUUAUACAUACUUAAAAAAAAAAAAUCAAAUCAAAUUUACAAGAGGGGAUCUUCAAGGACGAUCAGGUGCCGCCUCACCACUCGGCAGAGCUCCAGAAAUGAGAGGCGCCGGAGGUUGACUGUUUGAAGCUACACCACUCGGCGGAACUCCAGGAAGAAGAGGAGCCAAAGGUUGAUCAUUUGGAGCUUCAUUACGCGGUACAGCCCCAGAAGACGAAGGCAAAUGCUGCUGGAACAAACCCACAAACCUCUGAUGAUCAAGUAAAAUCUGACCAUCAGAUUCCUGCAUCUGGUCAAUCUUCCUCUUCAUGUUUGUCGCAUAGCUAUGUGCGAGCUUAUGCAAUUGUUUAUUCUCCUGCUUGAGCCCUCUAAUAUCCUGUUUGAGACUCGUCACUUCAGCCGCCAAUGAUUCAACUUGACGGGUUCGAGCAAAUAGGCGUUGGGCCAUAUUACACACAGAACCUGCACACUGCACACUGAGAGCCAGAGAAUCCUUAACAGCCAACUCAUCAGACCAUUUGGAAAGUAAUCUGUUAUCUCUGGGAGUGACAAGGUUUCGGGCCACCACCGCAGCAGUCAUAUCAUUCUUCACCACCGAAUCCCCAACGGUAAGAGGACCAGUAGGGGAUAUGAAGGAUGGGCGCCAUAUGUUAUCUGGAGAAGACGGGACUACCUCUUCACCAAGGUUCAAAUCAAAACGACGGUCGGAGGGUCCAGACAUUUUCAAAGGUGUUGAAGAAAGAAGAGGUCGGACAAAUCAAGAUCUUAGAAGUGCAAGAAGGGAGUUUCUACAAGCGAAAAUUCAAGUGUGCUUUGAAACGAACUGCGUGCCUCUAUAAAGAUCAACACUCGACGGGAUUUCAAAGAUCGAAGAGGCGAGCUCAGAAUUCGAAGAGGCCAAUUCAAAAAAAUCAAAGAAGCAAGCUCAGAAAUCGAAGAAGCAUCUUGCUUUUCCAGACGCGUUAGCACCCGUCACGUGCAAACUCAGCUUUGUGGAAAUCACGGGCAAUUUGUUAAAGCGCCAAUCCCAGAUAUCGAAGAGGCGCCGGUCUUUUUCAGCCUCGUCAGCACCCGUCACGCGCAAACUCAGCUUUGCGGAAAUCACGGGUAAUUUGUCGAAGCGCCGAUCCCAGAUAUUGAAGAGGCGCUAGUCUUUUUCAGCCUCGUCAACACAUGUCACAUGCACACUCAGCUUGACGAAAAUUACGGACAAUUUGUCGAAGAUUUCUGAUAAAGAAGAAAGCACGUGAAGUCAUACUGAUCAAACACGCAUUGGUUGCCGACACGAGUAAAAGAAUAGUACCUCUACAGGUACUAAAGAAUUUCCUAUAACUGUCCACCUUCACCCUCCAUAGCAAGGCAGACAUACAUAACCUUUCUUCAUCUCCGAGAAUGCUUUCCCAACGAAGCCUCUCGAGUCACUCAGUGUUUCUUAUUCCUUGGGGUACCUCUGCAAACAAAUGACACCAAAGCAAAAGUAUCUCAUAUCACCAGGGUAGAAAGCAAGAGUAUCUCAUAUCAUGCGUUCUCCCUAUCCUUUCCUUUUUCCUUGUUCUUACCUACAAAGACAAGGAUAAAGAAAACAAUAUGCCGGAACCUCCACUCAAACUCGGAUGCCACAUUUGCCUGGAGAACAGAUAAGGCAAGUGAAAAUGAUACCUUGCAGCAUGUGGAGACAACGUGCAGAAGAAAUAAGCAGAGAAGAAUGCAGUCUUCACAGUCAGCUCAGCAGAAGGAGUUCGAGCUGAGGAACUCAAGAAGCUGCCACAUCUGCCUGAAGAAACAAGCAGAGAAGAAUGCAGCCUGCACAGUCUGAAGGGAAAACUAUGAGAUUCUAGCAUGGGAUUUCAUAAUGACUAUCAUGCAUAUCCAAAUCAAAUUUAAUAUACGAAAGCAGCGGAAGCAUUUAUAACAUAUUAUCAAAGCUAUAGUCAUGCAAAUCCCCUUCAAGGUUCAUAGGUUUAUAUAUAAUGCAUCAAAACAAUUUAUAGAAUCAAGAACAAAGUGAAGGUUAGUCUUAUACCUCUUGAUCUAGACUUGAGACCAAUGAUGGACCACCUCCAAGCCCUUUGCUCCUUGAAAUCCUUGAGCCUAGCUUCCCUCCUUGCCUCCUCCACUUUGAAAGAAUGAGUGCUCCUAGGUUCUCUUCAAGUUUCCAAAGUAGGAAACCUCUAAAGAUCCUCACCCACUAGUGUAGUGAGAAGGAUGAAGGAAUAACCAAAAGGGUGAAAAUAUGUUUAGCUAAAACACCCCAAUGGUGGCCGGCCCUUUGAUGUGUUAGAGAGCUUUUUUCUUUUGCCUCUUUGUUGUUUAAACACUUCAAAAACACCCUAAUGAACUUUAUCACUAUAAAAGUUCCUUAUAUAGACAAAAGAAAACCUAGUCAACACUUGACUAAAUAUCUCUCCUUCCCCACAUAAUAUGGCCGGCCCUAUUUGUGUUUGUUUGGGCUUUGGGCUUUCAUUUAUUUCAAGUCAUCCAAUGCUUGAAUAAAAGCCCAAUGGGUUUAGGCCCAAUGGGCCCAAUUAAACCCGAACGUUUCUUUAAGCCCAAGACGAUCUUUAUCGCUUUUAUGAUUUCUUUUUAGACUUUUCUAAAUUAAUCACAACACAUAAUUAAUCCAAUUAAUUGUUUCCAUCAUCCAUUAGUUACUCACCACAAUAGUGUUUUGGUGAACAAUCUUUUAGGUUCUAAUUAGCAAGGCAGUGAGGUGAUUGGCAUCAAUCCAAUUGCUUAUAUUUAAUUCAAUCACUUAGUGAAUUAAAACUUCAUUUUAAUUCACCUUUCUUCUUUGACGACUACAUUUAAUCAUCUAGAAGAACUCACAAGCUAUGAGUGACAUCUAACCAUAUGUCAUAGCUACCCAAGCUAAUGUAGAAGUUUAUUCGAAGAACCUAGUCAGUUGGAAUUACAAUGUAAUUCAAUCCUUCUCUAAUACAAUACUCUCAAUCACAUCAUUAGGGUAUGGAUAUAUCAUGUCAAACCCCUAAUGUGAUUAUUCCUUCAUAUAUGAUUCAUUUGAGUCGUAUAGGAACGCUUUCCAAUCAAUACGCUCGAUACUUCGGCCGAAGAUUCCCGAAUCAUAUCUUAGAGUAUUCUUCCUCUCUUAUCGAGGAUUAGAGAUUCCUUGUUGUGCAUACACUUGCCUUCAUGACUAAGUGGCUUAACCCCAAUUAUGCCGUGGACACCCUCGAAUGGGGAGACAUUGACAUAAUCAAAGAUUAAGUACUUAACCACAAGACAACGACGAUGCCUCAGGUCUAAGGAUUACUUACAUCUUUCCAACCAUUAGAGUUACUUGCUUGACAUGUGAGUAGACCUCCAUGCAAGUUCUCUCGUUCGAUUGUGUUCAGUGAACUCAUUCCCCUAAUGAGCACCUACAUACUUGUCUUAGUGUCACAACACGAAUGGGAUGAGACUUUCCAUCCUUCCAAUUGAAGCAGACAUAGUAUGUACCGGUCUACGCAUUGUCAGUAUCCCUCCGACAAUCCAACGACCAGGAACCUUUUGGACACAAUGGUUAUGUGAAGAAGGUCUCUGUAGUCUAACAUCAUUAGAUUACUUCUUCAAUCGAUCCAUUGUCCAUGGAUACACUAUUUAGGACAUAUAUUGUUAAUUGAGAUAGUCUUAAUUCGUGUCUUUGCCAUUUUAUGUAUAAGAAUCAUCCAUACAUCGAUUCAUUUGUCCUGAAAGAUUUCUUCCAAAGAUUGACUUUCAGGGCAUAUUUCUAACAAUCUCCCACUUGCACUAAAGUCAAUCACUAGUGUAUCUUAUACAUCUUGUCGAGAGAGUUUAUGCUCGUAGGUUAACUUGGUUAUGUAUUAAUCUCUUUUAUAUUUAAAAGGGAUUUACUUAUCAAAUGUUUCCAAGACAUUUGAUGAUGUCUCUUUAAUGUGUUCAAAUACUUUGAUGAGACCUUGAUUCCAUGGCUUGAGCUAUCGCCCCAUUACGUCGUAGUACUCUACUAACGACCUUAUGGUUUGGAUUCAAUCAUGGGUUCUUAAAAGAGCCCCUUUCAUUCAAAACACCUUUUUUUUUUGAAGCAGUUUCUAAAACUAUAUAUCUACAUAUAUUUCGUUUGUAUACUUUAUACAAACUUUGCUCCAAGCUUGAGACCAUUGUAGUACAAUACUAACAAUUCAUUCAUAUGAUUAGUACUUCAUCCAUUAUGAAGUUCCAUUUGUUAAAAUGGUUUAUUUUCACUUUGGUUAACAACCUAAGUGAAUGCACGCUUCCAGAGUCCCACUCUGAUGUUUCUUUCUCAAAGGCAAUAAUACUCUAUCAGUUGCUUUGGUUCUGAUCCUGGGAUAUAGUAAUAUCUUAAAGUGAUAAACUCAGUGGUUUCUUCACCUUUGGAUAUCUACUUCACAGGUCAAUACAUGUGUCCCUUUUGUGAUUUUAUGACACAUUCAUUAUAAGGGUUUUGAAAGUGAUUUCCUAUCACAUAGGAAAAUGCUUUCUUAAAUCUUCAACAUUUGAGAUUUAAUUCCCAUAUAACAUUAUUGAGAUAGCCUUGCUAUAUCAGUAAGUCCAAUUUCAAGUCUAUACUUCAAAAUUGACCGUGUCAUGUUUUGUCAUUUUCGAGUAACAUCUAUGUUUCAUCAAGUCUAUCAAAUAGACUUUAUUCACAUCUUGUUGCUCAAAUUAUGACAUCACUCCCACUGGCUUUGUUGUAACUUUAGCAUUCAUUCAAAAUUAACAAUUAUAUUUUCUUGAUUUGAAUGCAUAUUGCUCCCACUAAUUUAAAUGAAUCAUACAUAAAAGAAUUCCUUCUCAAGCAAUUCCAUGAAAUGUGUGACUUGCUUUAUCAAAUCUAUUCAUUUAAAUUAUAUGGUGUCAUACACCAUACUUUAAGUUUUAGUCAUACUAAGACCUUUAAUGUAGUCAUAUAAGAAUUAUCUAAGUCUUUAGUGGAAGCAUGGCUCCUACUAAGGAUAUAAAAACUCAACCAUUCCUUCUAGGUGGUUGAUAUAAUUCUUUAUCAAAACUACAUAGAGCAAUAUCGUUACAUGAGAUGUUGAAUUUGGAUUGUCUUGUUGUUAAACCAUAUGUUGUGACUCAUUUUUGAAACUUAUUCCCUUUUGUUUCAUCAACUUGUCCAUAUGCUUUGUUAUUAGCAUGUUCUCAUAAAAGAGAAUGAUGGACAACUCCCAACAUAUAACCAUUUUAUGCUAGGUUGACGAAACCAACAUUCAAAGACUAUUCUUUAAAUGUUACACAACAUAGAAUUUUAACGUUUGAAGAGCUUGAGUCCUUUUAACAAUUAAAAUUACAAACUCUUAAUAAUAGUCAAGUACUAUUAUUCUUUAGACAACUAUAAACCAAUCACAUUCAAGUUUAUAUCCAUUUUCAUACCUCCCACUAUUUCUCAUGACUUUAAUGAGAAAUUAUUUCAUACAUUCAAAAUGUAUAAAAGUGGAUUAUAUUGGUAGAAGACAUUGUGUAGUAGCUUUGAAACAUUUCAAGCUUAUUUGUUUCAUUCUUCACUAAGUUAAUGUCUUGUUAUUUAAGUGACUAAAGUCUUUAAACCUUUUAUAGAUUUAGACACUUCUUUCUUGGUUUAAUCACUAACACAAUUGACAUUUUAAAACAAUUUUAAGAAUGCCCAAUUAAUUGUUCAAAACUACUAAUUGAAUCAAGAGUGAUCUUGAUCAUUGUGUUUCAAGUGAUAACCAUAUAAGAAACGUUUUUCUUAUUACUUAUAUCAUUAUAAUGUGAUCUUCCUUUUCUUCAAGAAAGGAUUCUCUAGACUUUUGUCAAUUCAUAUAGAACUCAUAAGUAGACAAAUGGAACCAAAUCUAAAGAUUCAUUGUAUCCUUUUAUGUCCUACAUGUGAGAUCUAUCCAUAAUUGAUAAAUCUAAAGUUUGGUUUAUCACAUUACAAUUAAGUGAUAUAACUCUUGUAUCUCAUCUAGGAUACAACAAGACAAUUUUUAAUUCAUAACACCACUUUAAGGAAAUAGUAUAUUAAAAAGGCAUACUUCACAUUACAUUAAUAUGAUGGUUCAAACAUUCAUAAUGUUUAAUACAAAAAGUAUUAGCUCUAUACAUUUAGAGACUAAUAUAAAUACCUUUAUACAUUUAGGCACUAUAUAGUGGUCUUCCAUCACAUGAAGCCACAUAAUAAGUUCUUAUAAAAAAUAAGAAAGUUUAAAGACAAUCUUUAAUGCCUAACAAACUUCCUAAGUAGUGAGCAAAAAAUAUAGUGGCCGAACCCUUCACCACAUUUUCUUGCUUGUUCUUCUUCUACUUGGCUUCUCCACCUAUAUACAAUUAUACAAGUGAUUAGCUCUUUAUAUCAAAUAUAAAUAUUUAGAAGAUCUAACAUUUAGAAUUGAAGAUAAGGACAUAAACCAUACCUUGUGGCUUGUCCUUAAGACUUGCAAGGUAUAACUUGCAAUUCCUUCUCCAAUGCCCCUCCUUUCCACAGUGGUGGCAAGUCCCUUUGGGCUCCUUUGCCUUCUUUUUCCUCACUCCUCCUUUCGGCUUAGGAGUGGGUGACUUCUUCUCCUUCCCUUUGCCUUUGCCUUGCGGCAUGGCCUUGGAAGAGGAUGGCUUGUUGUAGGCUACUGCAGCAGUCCCUACACCGCUCUCUUUCUUCAUAGUCUUCUCAGCAGUUACUAACAUGUUUAGUAACUCAGAGAGAGUACUAUCCAUCUUAUUCAUAUUGUAGUUCAUUACAAACUGAGCAAAUGAAUCAGAAAGAGAAGCCAAUACGAAGUCUUGGGCCAAUUCCCCGUCAAGUGGAGUACCAAGGUUCUCCAAUUGUUCAAUGAAUCCUAUCAUCUUCAGUACAUGUUGGUGUACUGGAGCCCCCUUGACCAUCUUGGUCUUUACAAGUUCACAAACAGUGCUAAAGCGACGGUUGCGCGUCCCUUCGCCAUAUAACUCCGUAAGAUGGAGUAUUAUGGAAAAUGCAUUAUCCAUGCCCUCGUGCUGUCUCUGUAGCUCCUCAUUCAUGGAAGCCAACAGAUAGCACUUGGCUUGUAUAUCAUCCUCAACGUGCUUGUCAUACUUAGCACGUUCAUCCUCAGUAGCCUCAGGGCUUAGAGGUAUGUGAGGUGGAGCCUUGUCUAGUACGUAAACAAUCUUCUCCAAUGUUAGGAGAAUCUUGACAUUACGAUACCAUGAGGGGAAAUUGUGCCCCUCUAGGCAAUGUUUGUCGAGUAUUUUCGCGAGUGUGCUUCCAACCAUAUCUAUAUACAUAAACAAAUAAAAUAAUUAGAUUGAUUGUUGUUUAAGUCAAACGAUUCGGGUCUUUAAACCGAAUGACACCACCCACCAUUUUUGGCAAAUUCCAUAUCCCCCAUAAUGGAAUCCGGGAGAUUUCAAAGAAAGCUCCUAGCGGGUUAUGGGAGGCUCACUAUUACCAAGCCCACCUCACGAUGAUACGAUGUUUGGCUAGCAACAAUAAUAAUGAGAGGUUACAAUUACCCAUUCACAACAACCUCUUGUGAUUACCCAUCUUUUUGGCCUCUAGAAAAUAAUACCUCACGAUGAUACGAUGUUGGCAUUAUGUUUCUUAGUUAAGUUCUUUCCUACCAUGCCGGUUUAGCUAGGGGUUCAAGCAUGACCUCACGAUGAUACGAUGUUUGGCCAUACUCGUUGCCUACCUUAACCUCAUCAAAUAUUUUAAAUAAAACUCCUCCUGAAUAUAAGCAUGCACUUUGUCACUUCCCCAUGAUAGGGUGAAGGCGGUGUACAAGUCAUAAACGCUUAGAGCCUACCACGGUGGAAGGCCACGAAAAAGUGUUCUAAGCACUCUUACGCUUUCAACUUAAUAUUUGUUUGGUUGAGGGAUUUUAAGGUCUCAUCAAUUUUAUUUAUUUAAUCACAAUCAAAUAAAUAAUGUCCUAUUACAACUACUAGUCCAAAGUUAAUGAAAUUAGUAGCAUAUGAUAUCCCCACUAUUCGUUUUCAUAAAACAAAUCAAUAUCAAAACAUUUUUCAAAAUAUUGGAGAUAUAUAUAACUACUAAUUGUAUUCAUUAUAGUCUAGUAGCGUAUGAUACUCCCACUAUUUGUUUUGAAGAAAACAAAUCAAUAUCAAAAACGAAUUUUUCAAAUAUUGGAAGUAACUACUACUACUAAGGUUUUUGCAUUCCUUUGAAAUUGGACUUUAUAGUUAUCUUAGGCUCUUGGAUGACUAUGGACUUAUUAGGUUAUUGCAACAACGAGCCAUCAUUGUUGAAUAUAAACUCGGGGAGGUUGUGUCAAUUUAAUUACGUGCUUAACAAUCCAAUUAAAACCAUUUUCAUUGAGCCAUUAGAAAUGAAAGACAAUCAUUCAUUGCUAAUUUGGGCAUUGGACCCUUUUAAUCUUUAAUCUCAUGUCAAAACCCUCUUUUAGUUAUGUCUCCUUUACCAAUAGUUAAAGAAACUCUAGUCUAGCACUAGAGGGAAUCCACUAACGAAUAGAGAUUAAGAAGUAAUAAGAAUUACAAACCGAUUUGUACAAAUUCCUAUAAAUUACAUAUACUAAAAGGGGAGAGAAAGAUUAACGUCAAACGUGACAAGGUCCAAUUAAACAGUAAUUAAACACAUUCCCAAGGUUCAAACAAUUUGAUUUUAGCGCCUUAUCAUAUAACUCAAUUAUCGUUUAAGGCAUAAGUCCAAAGUCAUCCAUUUCAUAACUACUUAAACACAUUUAAAUAAUCAUAAAGGAAUGCAACAUAAACAUUUAGAUUUAGUGCAUAUGGGCAUAAUAAUAUUAUGAGUUUAAACAACUAACAAAAUUAAAAUCAAAUAUUUUAACUUUCUAGUUAGUAGGGGCCUAAAUGUAAAUAUGAAAAGGUAGGGGUAAAACCGUCAGAGACUACGAGUGUAAUAGGAGCAUCCGUCGACAAAAGGAUCACCCUAAGAUGAUCAUCUCAUGGCUAUUGAGAACGAAUCAAAUCAGAUGGUUCUAUUUCUCAAUCUUUCACCCGGAGAACUAAUUGGAUUGCUGCGAGCUGAACGAACGGGGCGCGCUUUGGAAGAAGCAAUUUGUUACCGAGCUAUAUUAUUAGGAAUAACGAAAGCAUCUCUAAAUACUCAAAGUUUCAUAUCCGAAGCGAGUUUUCAAGAAACUGCUCGAGUACCGCCUCUCAGGCCCCCGACUGAUUCUACCAUAGAGGCCAACGAUAGACAAUAACUCCCCCCCGAACACAGA